GUAAGAAAAGCUCUCAGGCUUGUUUUUGGAUUCACGAAGUUGCAAACUGGUAUUCGUGAUAAUUUUUCGAAUGCUGAGAUUGUAACCGGGAUAUGGAGGCCAGUGGCAGUGUUAAUACAGAACAAACAGCAGCUGUGUUUAUCCCGUUUUGCUCGUCUGUCGUCAAUGUCUUAUUGCAUUAUUAAUAUUUAUUUGCUUCUAUUUUUGUCUGUAUGAUGCAGUUUGAUACGCUACCCUACGCGAGUGCUUUAUUUAUCCCACAGACGAACGUGAUACUUGUUUUGCAGGAAUUAUUGACAAUAUGUUUCAUAAAACAGAUUAAAAUUAACAUUUCAUUUCAGUUUUUUUUUUUUCUCUUUUUUUCCCCUAAUCGUUGAAAUCAAAUGAUUUAACCACCUCAAAGCAUCAAUAAAUUCAAUAGCAUUAAAAUUGGUAGAUCCAGUUUUUAAAGUAUCAAUGGUCCAGGUUGUGCUAUAUUAUUUGGUGAAAUGAUGUGGCACAAUCUCGGUCAUCGGUCUUUAAAAAUCGAGUGUAUCCAAGUGUGAGACAAUUCAAUAACGUGUAAUGUGGAAGUCUUUCAAGAACAUCUUGGGGGUAUGCAUGGUUUUGGAUAUCAGUUCCGUGCACCAUUUGGCUGACCGAAUUCGCACUUGGCAGGUUAGUCAUUUUUUGACCUAUAUUCGUCUCGCAUAUCAGUGUCUACUUGAUUAUCGGAUAUUCACGGAAAGAGAGUCGGGUCAAUGGAUAUCUGCUCUCCUACUCAUCAUUUAAUGUUUUUAAAAAAUAAUUUAUACUAAUUUAAUUUUGUAUUUUAUAUAUUCAUCUAAAAUUCAACAUAGAUUUUUUCUAAAAAAAAAUGGUCUUUUAUUGAGAAACAAACAAGUAAAAAGACUACAAGAAAAAAAAAAUAAAAAAUUCAAAAUCAAUGAAAAUUUGAAAUAAGUAGUACCUUUUUUCUUAAAUAUACAUUUCAUAGCAAUAAAACUCUUCUCUAAAAAAUAUUAGAUCAUGACAUCUACAAAUAAAUCUUGUAAGCAAACUAUAGCCUCUCAUAUUUGUAGCGCAAUUUUUUCUAUCAAAUUAUUUAGUUAGCUUUAAAAAUAUUAUUUUGUAGUAUGUGUAUAAAUAUAAAAAAUAAAAAAUAUAUAUGUGUGGGAUAGGUUGGAUACCCGUAGGUUCUUAAUUCUUUUUGACCCCAACUUGCUAUGUAUAUAAGCCGGUAUGUGACCUCUUUUGAUCCGAUCAAAUAGUGCGGAUCGCCAAUCACGGACCCUAGUUUUCAGAUUGGAUUUGUUCGAAUAUUGUGGGCAUUUUUUGCCAACUCGUAGGAACAUCUAUACUUCUUAUUUCUUACCUUUGGGGCAAACACUUGGCCCAAAUCUACUAUAAUUUACUCUUAAUCCAUAGACUAACUUUGGUUUGUACUAAUCUUUUUCAGUCAUUGCUUUCAUAAACUCAACUUGUAUCAACUGCAGCAAUCAUCUCCUCAUUGUCAUACUUUGCAAUUUACAGUUUUAUUUUCCACGCAGUAUGGUUAAACUGCUAACUAUUAAACAUGUCAUUAAAAGGUACUGUUCUGUUUGUUCUUGAAAAAGGAAACACGCCCUUCAAAUUGAAAAUCACAGUGAUGUUUGAAGAAUGCCUAUACUUGGAUAGCUAUUCUUUCCCACACAAUUGCUUAUACCACAGCAGCAACACCUUGUUCUACAGACAAGGCGAUAAAAUUCCAGGGCUUUGUUAAUAGGCCUCUACUUCACAUGGUAUGGUGAUUAUUAUGGAGAUAAAACUACAGCAGGUAAAACUACUUGAUGUUGAUAUGCCUGUAGGCUACUUGGUAUGUUAAUCUGAUGAAAAUAUGAAAAAGGAAGCUGUGUUGAAGAAAAAUCUGGUACUCAAAAUAUACUUAAAAAUGUUUCCUCAAUUUAUUAAGAAAAGAUAGUCGCUGGAAGUCAUCUAUGCAACACGUCAGAGAGAAAUAAAGGUGCCACUAACUACAUGAAACUCAUCUAAAAGGAAACAUCACUUUCAGCAGCCGUUUUUGAGCAACAAAAGCACAGAAAAUGAACAUGCCAAAGGAUGUUAGAUUCUGAAAUCCUCCAUAAGAGAGACAGGUAUCACCAUCGAGGCAUUGCCAGUGAAUUUCCUGAUGUUAAACCCUGCUGUUUGCUGGCAAUGGCAAGACACCAUCAAAGAAAUCCCCGAAGUAACCACGGGGCUCAUGCACUAGCUUUGAAAUGAUGUCUCUUAGCGUGAUCACCCCCUCUAGAUUUCCCAGACCAUCAACGACGUAUAUCCGAUGGAUUUUCAUGGAAUCAAGCUUCAUAAUAACAUCUUUAAGUGUACUGUCUCUUGUGCAUGUUACCAUGUUCUUCAAGAGUGGGGAAUCCUUUUGAUGCUCCUCCAGAUAGCUUCGAACAGCUGUCAGGAAGUUCUUGGCCAUGAUAGAUCUGUAAAUGGAAUAGCACAUACACUAUCAGUAUUUGAUAAAUAGGGGUAAAGUCACUUGUGUACCAACACUUGAACAGGAAAAGCACCCAGUAAAGUCCCUCAAAUAUUAAUAAACCAAACCAAAAAGCAAAAACUGAAUGUCCAAUAGUUUUGAUUGCUUAGUAGAGUACACUUUUAAGACCAAACUGCUAACUUACGGUAUAUGAAAGCAGAAUUGAAGUAGAUCUUCAGUCUCAUGUUAUUUGAAGCUUCGCUCCAUGAACAAGUAGAUGCCCCGUACAGCUUUUAAAUUUAGUCAUUUCCACAGAAAUAGUGAUACAUGAACCUUUUAUUCAACCUCAAUUUACUAAUGUGUGUAUAUGUUUUUACUUUGUAUAGGUUCUCAAAUUUUGAACUAUGGGGUAAAUGCACUACAAAGAUGCCAAUAUAUCUAGUAGAAAUAUUUAAGCUAGACCAAAGUUGCCAACCUGCCCAAAGUCUCGGCUCUAUUACAGCCUCUACACUUUCCAUUUACUGAAGCAUACAAAACAAAAGCAAGUUUGUACUGCCAUACAUGUUCUAAAAUUAACUCCAGACCUCACAAUUUCUCCCCAUCUUAUAAUUUUUCUGAGAAUUCAGGCAAUAAAGAACAUGAACAUUGUAAAGAGAAAACGCACUAAAUUGUUCACAGACCUGAAUUCUUUGUAUAUCUCUGGUGCAAGUAGAAGGAACUGAAUAUCUCUGAUGCUUAUGUUACCAAUAGCCUUUCUUCCAUUACUUGCAACAACAGGAAUCCCACCAACUCCUUUUUGUCUCAUUAAUUUAAAAGCCUGAAGCACUGGUUCAUCCUCAUAGACCUGCAAAAAGAGGAGGAAAAAUGUGUGUAAAAGAUAGCACCAUAUAUUUGCACAAAACUGGAUGUUUGUCAUUGAAGACGAAGAAAAACUUUGAAAAGCGAGGCAUAAAUCUUCUUUUACUAUGAGUUUUGGGUAGUGCAACUAGAACGUGACCUUAGCUUGUCAUCUAUAAGGGAGAAACUAAUGUGGGAAAAUUAGAAAUACAACUAAUUUCAUCAAAAAGAGAUGAAGAAAGGAGAGCGAGUCCAAGUUUCAGUCCAGAUGAAGUAAACCAGAAAAAGCAAUUCAAAAAGUACCAAAUGUAAUGUCUGUGGCCAAAGAAAAAAUGAAUAAAAAAAGAUCUCUUGUUCAAAUUACGCAAAGGUGAACUUUAAAGAGAAAUUCAAACAGACAAUGGUCUGAUUUAGCUUGUAUUCUUAUUGCCAACCAUGCAUCCAUGUCUAGAUGCCAAAAAUGUCAUCGUUUGGAAUUGAAAGAAACCAAAGAGAACAAAAAUUAAGAAAGUUAAUACAGUCCAAAUUAUUAUUCUUCUCAGAUACACCAAACCAAUUCCACAUUGCUAAAACCUAUAUCUUGUUUCCUUUUAAAUUCUUGUGCUGCACAGUGGAAGAAGCAGCAGGUAUGUUGCAAAAGGACAACUUACUCGAAGAUAUAUGUUGAAUAAAAAUGUUAAGAUUCAUAAAUACAUUGUUGUUCCUUGCCGAAUCUGGAAUUGCUAUAUGUAUAUAUAUACACACAUACUGGGAAAGAAAAUAUCAACUAUCUUGACAAAAACUAUAUACUGCUAGAUGUCAUCGAGUAAAGUAACCAAGUCUGGUACCUUAAUAAUGUGGCUGGGCUUCAUUAGAGGGAGACCAAGUUCAGAUAGUUUCUUUGAACCCCAGCUCUCAAACCAAUGAAGGCCAGCACAUUCUUCAAGCAUGUGAAUGACAGCUGAUUGAGUAAUGAUGUUAUCAAUCUUUUGUUCCCCUGGGUCAACCACAGGAACACUCUUCAUCCUGUACUUGGAUAGCAGCAAAAGCAUUGUCAAGAAAGAGUUCGAUUUUUGCAGGGCGAGAAAUGGAGCCCAGCGGAAUGACCCUGAUAUGUCUCCAACCUGCGAAAUCAUCAGUUAAUGCAAGUAGAAAUGUCUCAAGAAGAAUAACACCAAAAGCUUUGAGAACUACACUAUAAUCAAUAAUAGCUGAAAGAUUCAACUUCAAAUAAGAAGGAAAAACAACCUUUGUGUUCUUAUAGAAGUCAGAAGAAGUCAAGGUCUCAAAAAAGUCCCCAGAAGUUGCAGUAGGAGAUUCAGGGUGCAAACUUCUAUAUCUUGGGGAAGACAUUCCAUUAGCCGCCGCAGCAACAGCAGGACCAAUGCCAUCCUCAGAUUCACUGAACAGCUCAAAAGCUAAUGCAGCAGAUCCAUCCAUUUUUUCUGACUGCAGAAAGAAGCGCAGACCAUACAUCUUUUAACUUAUGCCCCACAGGUGACAAUAAUUUACGGAAACAUUAUUGAACAUCAAAGGGAAUAAAAAGAUCAAAUUGAAGAACAAUCCAGUUGGAAAAAUUUUCCAGUAGCUCAUUGCUAAAUAUAAUAAAAUAUUCCAUGGAAAGAAAAAUUUCUGAAAGUUAAAAUCUGCAGUUUUGCUCAAGGCACAGGGGCAAAUCAGAUUAGCGGAGCCAGAGGACCCAAGAUCACCAAAACACUUAACAACACCGCCAAAUCCCCAAAAAGCCUUACUUUCUGGUGAAAAAGAUUGAAUUAUAUUGCACAACGUCAAGAAACAAUGAUUUCACCCCAUUCUCCCCCCCCCCAACCCCCCCACACACACACACAAAAAGAAAAAAGAAACAACAAAUUUUAACUCCAGUAACUGAAGAACUCUGUCUAUCUUGAAUUUUUUAUUCUUUUUGGGGAUAAUUGCUACUAUUACCAUUAGACAAGCUCAUUAUUGUAGUAUUUAAUGUGUUGGAAAACCAAGAAAUUGGUUAAACCUAUUAUCUGAGAACGACAUGGAACAGUUCACAGAAAAUUACUGGUUCAAAGAAAAUGAUUCCGCCCUUUCUUGAGUCAUGCCUCAGAAUGAUAAACUAAACCAAGAGACAAACUGAGGAUUUUGAUUAUUCCAAGAGAAAAGUUUAAAGGUCUAAGAGUGACAACUUUCCAAAAUCUGAAUGAUAAUUAAGUCCACAACUCCAUUUCCUAAGAAUUAGUGGUUGAUAAAACUGACUUUGAUAAAUUCCAUUGAAACACCAAACCUAAGUUGUUUGCAGAAACAUAUGAUUUCAUAAUAGAGGCAAUUUGACUACAAAUACAAACCUGAUGUAGGAUCGAUACAACAAUCCCAGCAAACUCAACAAUUCCGAUAUAUCUAUCAAUCCAACUCGCAUCCUCUGGAGCUUUAACAUCCACGACAGGUGCACUCAGGAUUUUAUGUUGGGCUAGUAACUUGACCACUUCAGCCAAGCUGGAAUCUGAGUUUAUCUCAACCACUAAACAAGAAGGAGAAAAAAAUCUUAGCCCUUAGGCUGAUAAAGUCAAACCAAGCUGGGGCCAUCACAAAUACGCAAACAUGAAACAGAUAAUGUAAGUGCUUUGAUGGGAGACAAUGGCUUCUAAAGCAGCCAUCAAAUUGUAUGGUGGAUGCACCGUAAUGGAAGGAGAUUGGGCAUAAUCUAGAACAUUAAAAAUAACCUCCACUUCCCCCCCCCCCUCUCCAAAAAAAAAAAAAACCUUUCUAUAUACAACUAUUAGGGUUGUAUGGUGUCUAUUUUUCCAUCAUCCAAGCAAUGUCAUUUCUUCAGUCUCAAAGAGCACCUGGUUAUAAAAAGUGAUGAAUUUCAUACUUAUCUUUACAAUAACAAGUUACUGAAUGUGGAAAUUGAUCUCUAUUAUCAUGAUCAUAAAUAUUUUAAAAUUAUUGAUUUACUUGAGAAACCUACAAAAUAUCUUUUUAUGUUCCAUCUUCUUUUUGGGUUAAAGCUCUUCAACAUUUCAAGUAUUUAACUAGUAUUCUGAAAUCAAGCAUGGUUAGGAGGACUAUAGAUGACCUGGAAGUGGGUUAUGGAGAAUUAAUUGAUCAUUCAAAUUGCUUUCUUUUAUGCUUUGGUGGAUAACAUACAUUAUUAGCACAAGCAUAAUAAUUUGGGAUCCAUCAAAUGUGGGGUAUUCUUGUUUAUCUAAGCAUUUUUAAAGGCAGAUAAGUGCAUAAGGACAUAAGUCGAACAGGUGUAGUGCCACCUACUUUUCUUUCUCACAUUCAUUUUCUUGAAAAAAUGCUCAUUAUUAGAGCCUGGUGCAGAGUGUGGGCAUGUAAUGGAAGUAAACAUAAAAUCACUGGAUCUCCAAGGACAUUAUGGAUUAAGCCAGUAUUGCACAGAAGGUGCAACCUUUGAGUUUCCUCAAUAUAAAUAUUAAAUGAGGUUGAUUGGAGGACCUGCAUUCACUGCUGCUAAAAGCAAUGCAUUCCAACUCUCAAUCUUGCUCUUGUAAUUAUAUUAGGUAUCCUGUUAGUGAGAUAAACAAUCAUCUUGCAACCAAAAAAGAAACAUGACCCUGUGUAGAUUUUCAAACAUUACCUCAUACCUUUGUUCAACAAAGUAGCAUAAAACAGAUGAAUACCAACUGAGAAUACAUAACAAACAACACAAUCAAUUCCAAUUCCUUUAUUGAUCAAUUCAAUCCCAUUUUUCACUUAGAAACCAAACCAGAUAAACGAGAAUUAACCUAAGGAAAAAACUACUACCUCUCACAUACAACAAUUUCCACUUAUUCAAUCGAUCAGACAACAGUCAUUAGCAUGAGAUCAAAGACCCUGAUCCUGAAACUCAAAAAUUAACGGUAAACUUAGAGAUCAUGCUACAAGUUUCUGUCUUUAAUCCAAAAGGGAUCAAAGAACAACGAAAAACCACUCAUAUCAACACUUUUCUAAGGACCUCAAUGUUUGCACAGACAAUUCUCAAAUUUGUACCCGACUAUAAAGUUCACUUCUUUGUUAAUCAGAGGGGAGUUUGAGAUCAACUUGGGAAGAUGGAGCAGGAGGAAAAUCAGAAACUGGGAUGCUCUCGAAACAAGCAUUAAGCUUCUCAGUAGGACUCAACUGAGGUUCUUGAACAUCCCAUAAAUCCUCCACUUGCAUCCCCACCUUGGCUUCUGGGCUUCUUGGAGUUGAACUACCUUCUUCAAUCAUCAUCUUUCCUUAAUCUUCACUAAAACAAACCCACAACCCUCCUCUUUUCCUCUUAAUCUAUCAAUUCUUGCAAACUCCGCAGAGCAAUCAGAUAGUUACAGACAAGAAUUAGAUACUUGUUACGUUCAUGGAACAUUGACACAUUUCGUAGCAUAGGUAAUGAGUAGUGACAAUAAUUGCAUAAAAUAAUGAUGAGACUUAAGACAAAAAGGAACGUUCCUGAAUCCUGCGCAACUCACACGAGUUCAGAUCAAGGAUUAGAACUUGAAGUAAAAUCUCGGACGUCCAUCAUUUCAUAUGGAUACACGUGUUGAAAAUCUGAUACCAAGAUCCAUGACUUGUGAUGGAGUUGUAUGGUCAAAGUUCACCUGUAAUUUCCCCAGUCCUACUCGGCUUCUUCUUAUCCAUACCACCCACAGUAUUACUAGUUUAAAGCCACGACUUAUCCGGAUUUGCAUCAUGUCCACUCCUCUUGUGGCACUAAGUUAAUUCUUUUCUUCUUAGGACAUGUGUAUUAUAUACGUAUAUAUGUAUAUCUAUUCUAAGUUGACGUGUAUGCAAAAAUAUCUUUGUAGACUUUGCUAGUUCACGCUUGGUGCCAACAUCAUUUGAGCUGAUAUGCAUGAAGUCGACUCAGAUCAUUGUCUCGACCUUGAUUUCUGUCGAUGAUAUCUUGUAAAGAAAUUUUGUUGUUCGAGCUAGAUUUAGUUAAUAAAGAGCAUUGACUCAAACUUCCAACAAGAUUAUAAGUUUGGGAAAAUUAUGUAUAAGAUACAGGGAUCACUUGUAGAUCAUGUGAUAUAUUCAAAAGUCAUUAUAAUUUUUUUUUUUAUCAUCGUACUUUACUUAUUACUUACGAUCAUUCAUUCUUCUUAUAUCAUCGUACAUCAUCCUAAAUAUGUGACUCUUGAAUGUACCAUAUGAAUUAUAAUGUAGCAUGUAUAUCAAAUCUACCCAAGUAUUAUUUGAGGUCAUUUAGGCUAUGAUCAAAUUAUCAUUCCCAUAGUUAUAAAAUUUGGUUCGAUCUGAACCAGUCAUAAGAUCGGAUUGGAUUGCUAAUUAAACUAGUUAAAUAAUAAAUUCAUUGAUCAAUCAACGAUUCAUCGGUUCAAAUGAUGGGUCGAGAAAAAACCUCCAAUUGAACCGACAACUAAAAAUUUUACUAUUUUUAUAAUUUAAAUUAUAUUAUUAUAUUAUACAAUAUAAUUAUUAUGCAACCUACGGUUGAACUGAUGACUCAAUCACCUUUUCAAGGUGAGCUCCAAGCCGAGUUUAAUAACUAUGAUCAUUCUUGAUGUAUAAACCUUGUUAGAAUGACCCAAGGCUCUAUCAUUCCAAACUUGGCAAGAUUUAUGUGCAUAGUUGAGUUUGCAGUAAAUGUACACAAAAAUUCUCCUAAUCAUCACAUGGUGAAUUUGCGAGUUGAGAUAACAAUUGACAUAAAAAAGCUUAUUUGAAACAUAUAAGAUCAUAAAUACGUUAAGUACAUACAUUUUCUCUGAGCCCUAAACAAAUGUAAUUUCUUCUUAUUGAGCACAACUAGCCUAACUUAGCCUAACACAACUUAUCCUAGUUAAACCCAAGUGAUUAGCAAGCCAUGUGAUCUUAAUUACAAGGAGCCCAACUAGACAGUUAAAGAGGUAAGUAAGGGUUGGACUUAUCAGCCAUUGGGCGAAGCCCUUGAAUGUGCAAAAUUUUAGAUACAAUGUGAGUUUUUUUUUUUGGUUCGAAUAUACUGUCAAAAGAUAAACGAGAGACUUAUUAGUUUAUGCAUUAAAUAAAAAAAAGGUUAUCAAAUUGAUAAUUGGCCUAUACAUUGUCUAUAUACAGCAAGUUUAAAAUUAAAUAGAAUCUAAAAACUCUUCAAUUCGCAUUAAUGUUCUUAAAAAAUAUAUCGCUAAUAUGUAUCAUAUGCUUACAUUCAAUUUUUCAAUCAUAUCAUUUAAGUUUUAAAUUAAGAGUUCUCUUUCAUUGUUUUGUUAAACUAACAACAAAAAAAAUUGAAAUGCGACCACCUAACUCACAUGUAACUAAUAUUAUUAUUUUCAUCUCAAAACCUAUACAAGCAAAUCGAAUCGAAUACUAGAUGAAUUUAAUUGUCAUUCUAAUAUUAGUGUGUUUGAAUUGUAAGUUAUUUGACAUAUUUUUACUGUAAUACUUUUUGUGAUGUAAUGUAUGUGAGAUAAAAAGAUAAUUGAGAAGAUAAAAAGAUGUAUUGAAAUUUGUAAUGGUGAAAUAAGCAAAUAUAUUUAGGCAAAUAACUUACCAUCCAAACACAUAUAUUAUUUCCCGGCCCAAUUAUGAUGUUUUCAGGUUGGCCCACUUCCAUGUCAUCCACUGCCACAUCAUCAGAGAGAAGUCCCCACCACCAUGUCAACUAUCCAACAUGCCAAUCUUUGAUGAGUUGGCAACAUGCAUCUAAAGGGGUAAAAUAGUCUUUCCAUAUAUCAUCGUCGUCUUCUAUAGUAAACACAUAAUGACUCCUGUCUGCUAGCCCUCGGCUCUGCCCCUCCCCUUCAUAUAUGUCUAUUUCCCCUUAAUUUUAAUUUUAGUUUCUGCAGGAAGGUUUGAUUUAAUUCAUCUGGUAGUUUUUCCUGGUUCCAUAAAUGGAGGGCUCUUCAGCUCUGCCGUCCGAUUCCAACAAUCAAAAUCCGAUGGGCGGAGCCGCCGAAUUUCUCUCCAACCUUCCUUCUCGCGGCCUCUUCUCCUCCACUGUCCUCUCUUCCAAUCCGGUACUUCAAUUUUUCGUCAUAAGUUUUCCCUUUUUAAGCAUUUGAUUUUUCUCUUUUUUUUUUUUGGAUUGGAAAAAUUUGUAAUUUAUGGUACUAAAGUUAAAUAUAUAAUGUAGUAAAAUUGCUUAAGUUCGUAUAAGUCUGGAAAAUUGUAUAGCAUUUGCUAAUGUGAGAAUUAGUUGGUGAAAAUGGAGUUAAGAAGGGACGGUAACCAUUGACGUUAAGGGUUUGGGGAGGUCAAUUAGAUGCUAACUGUUUGCUAUUCAGGUUUGAAGAGUAUGCUAUUUGUGUUUGAUGUUGUGGGGGAUUUCGAUUACGUGCUUUUCUUUAAUCAGUGUUGGAGGGGAAAAAAAGGGAUUUUUUUUUUUUAAUUUCAUGGUUUGAAUUUGAUUCACAACAUUGGUAUUUAGCGGCCAUUUUUAUGGUGUUUUUAGUUGGUAGUGAACCUAAUUCAUGGCCUUGUGUGCUUAAAUAAUUGUGUUAUUGUGAUUCUUACCUUGUUUAUGGUAAUAGAGGUUGUCUUAAGUAGUGUGGCGUGUUUUAUGAGAACAAGAAGGAUGGACUUUGUUUUCACGCUUUUGUUUUAGCUGAUGAUACUUCAAGUCUGAUCUGCACUGAUAGGACUGCAAUUUAGGUAGUGUUGGUUUGUUAACAAUAUUUGAGAGGUUCUUGGCAGAGUAAAAUUGAAGUAUUUCACACUGUUGUUUUAACUGAUGAUACUGCAAUUCUGAUAUGUGCUGAUAGGACUGCAACUUAGGGGUUUGUUAACAAUUUUUGAGAGGCUCUUGGCGGAGUAAAUUUGAAGUAUUUUACUAUGUAUGGUUGUAAUAGGUGAUUCAGCUUCAAAGUCAAGGUUGCUUACUCAUUCAAAAGUUAAACAUUGCAGGAAGAAUUGUUACAUUUAUGCUUUAAUUGUUGGUAUAUCGCAUUUUGAAUAUCCAUAUCCAGUAGUUUUACAAUUUUGUAGACGUCCAGACAUGAGACAUGCAGUUCCUCAUUGUUAAUAUGCAUCUGUAUUCUGUAUUCUCCUUUUCAGUUUAAACUCUACUAUUUACUUUUGUAAGAAACUUGUGCAGGGUGGCAUGCGAGUCUACAUAUGCGAUCAUGAUACAGCACCACCAGGUCCUCUUCGUUAACUAUAUAGAAUGUAUUUGGUUUAUUACUUUUGAAAGCUUGUGCAGUGGACUAUUAAGAUGAGAUGGACUUCUGCUUUCUUAUUUAAAAAAAUGCAUAUAUAUCAGGAUUCAAAAACCAAAUUAUCGUGUAGAUAAGAUGAUGUGACAGUUUUGGCCAUAGUUGAUGUUACACUAGAAAGGUUAGAGCAAGAAAUAUGACUCGCAUGACAGUUUCCUUGAGGGUUUGUUGAAUUUAGCUUAUCUAUAUUAGCUGUUGAAACUACACCAUUGUCUUUUUGCCCAGUUAGAUGGCUAAUACUCUUACUUCAUGGAAGGAGUACCGAUACUCUCUGACUUUCUAAGGGAGAGUGACUAUUAGUUUAUGGUAUUACUUGUGAACCAAAAAACAGAAAUAUUUGUAGAAGAUUGUGAUGAAUUAGGUGAUUUAAGCCUUGUGUACAAACAAAAUAGGGGAAUGAAAGUGGUAGAAAGUGACAAAUAUUCUGUUAUGGGUACAUGAUGUAUCUUUAAACUACUGGAAGAUUCCAUAUCUUGUCCAAUGGAUUUUCCUCUGCUCGCCUGGUUUGCAUUGUGAGUAAGGAACUUUUAGGCUAACCUAACUUUGGUGUGGACACUUAAAGGAUUUGUAGCUUCCUUAGCUAAGUCGAGUUUAUAUGUUCAGGAAGCCUAGAUCUUGAUUCAAAUUUAACACAAAGUUCACUCUUUAUUACAUGAUUUGCAUGCGAAGACAAGAUUCUGUGUGGUGCAUGAAGAUUCGAUAGUUACGUAUCUUAGUCAAGGACAUAGCUUCUUUCAUUUUAUGAGAAGCUGCUGCAUUGGUUUUCCACUUUAAUUAUAUUAGACACUAGAUGAUGUUCGAAAAGGCUUUGCAUGAUUUCAUUGUUAUAGUUGUGCUUUCUGAGCCAUAUAAGUAUAACCGAAUUGUUGACUCUGUUACUACUAUGUAUGCAGCGGAGCAACUCAUAAAGACAAACCAAACAAACAUAUUAAUUAGGUCAUUAAUGCUGAAGAAACAAAAGGGUGAUUCCGGUUCAAAAGAUGGAAAGGCUAAUGCAUCAAAUGAAUCUUCUAGAAAAAGGUUAACUCUUUUCCUCUCUCAGGAUUUUGUUAGUUGCUUUGCAGUUAUAACAAUUGCAGUUGCUUUUUUUUCUACCUCUGGAUAAAAUCUAGCGGUUGCUUCUUGGUGUUUUAAUCACUUCAUGGUUACAAUGUUUGUCACAGUAUUUACGUGAUCUCUAAUUUCAGGACUGCUGAUAGAGCGUUAGACAGCAGGGCUAAAAGGGCAAUGACCAUCAGUCAGGUUGCUUCUCGGCAAGGUGAGUACGAAUCGUUCAGUUGCUUAUUAUCUUUAGCAAAAUGCAGGACCAGAAGAUAACUUCUACAGAAUGAGAAUGUUCUGCUGGUACAAUGCACUUAUGAAAUUGUUUGGCAGUAAAUGAAUUUGCGAGUGAAAAAUGGUCACCAUUUUGGUGAUAGGCUUAGUGGCUGCGUUUGUGCUCCCUUUUCCCUGAGGAAUUCAGUGAUCAAGAAUAAAGACUGCAUUUUUGGUCUGCCUUGCAGUCCAAGAGCCUCGGCUUUUUUAGCAUCACUGAAUGCGCCAAACGUCCACACUAGGUUUUCCUUUAACAGACAAGUUUAUUGUCUUCAGAGCGUAUGUAUUUUAUUAAGCAAGAGUGUCACGUUCCUUUAGCAGAUGUGCCCAUUAUUUCUCUUUCAUUGUUUAGAAGAUGAAGGCAUGUGUCAAUUACGGAAUAUGCCUUCUGCAAAGCUAUUUGUCAUGUUGUACUCUACCAUCCUUAUUAUCAUUGUUGGUGUCAUUAGUAUUCUUAUUAUUAUUCACUUGUAAGAAGGUUAUACAAAGGCUGGGUUUUUGCUCUUUUAUUUGGUUCAUGUUAGACAUUUGAUGAACCUUAUCUUUUGUGAGCUUGCAGAGGGAUCAAAAUCACGCUUGCCUGAGAGGGAUCUGCAGAGUUUAACGGUUGAGAGAAUUCGUGCUCUUCUGAAGGAGAGAGGUCUCUCCCUGAAAGGAAGAAAGGCAAGUAUCCUUUUACUUUUGAUUGAAAUAAAGUUUGACUCGCCUAGAAUUGAGUGUCAUCUCCAUCAUCCAUCUCUUGCAUUUUGGUUGAGAGACCUGUUUUUGAAGUUUAGAUUCUGAAUGAUUAUCGGAAUACUAGAUGCUAAUACUGAAGUAGAGAUAAAUGUUCGACUAGUGACUGUAGAAGAUAAAGUCAUGUUCAUUCCAAGCCAUAGCACAGUGAGUAGGCACAUGUAUGUAGUGUAGUUAUUUGAAUUUGGAUAUCCACUCUGUGUCUUAGAUAUCACCUCAAAAUGGGCAUUAGCUCUACCACUUUUGUUGUGAGAAAACAAACACAAUUUCGUUCUAGAAAUAGUAAUGAUGCAAUCUAUGGAUAUUCUGCUUUGCGACUUGAAAUUUUGGGUUUUUGGAAGUUGGGGUGUGUGGAUUAGUAGCCAAAUAGCUUGCUAAUUGUUGUCUGGAAAUCUCUCUUGCAUGUUUGCUUGAUUUGUGAUUAUCUAUCUGUACAGGAUGAGUUGAUUUCCCGCUUGAAAGGCGCAAAUGAGUAAUGCAUGAUUUUUCAAAGCUGGGAAGGUGACCGCACCUACAUGUACCAACUUUUGCUGGCAGAAUCUAGGUUUUGUUGUAACUUUCUUAUACUCUGGACUAAUUUUGAAAGAGAUGUCGUGAUGCAACUUGCAAUUGCCCGCUUUGACUGCCUCCGUGUGUUGUAUUAUCAUGGAACUCUCUUACUUGUGGAGUGGGAUGCUUGGUAGUAGAUAUCUCAACUUUGACCAAUGUAACAUGGUGGGUUUAUCAUCCUUGCCGCAGUUGAUGAUGACAUCCUUUUUAGCUUCACCCUCUUCCUUUUUGUUUGCCAGGUAUUGCUUAGACUUGUCGAUCAAGUGCAAUUAAAGUUUGUCUUCUGUUUACAUAGGUUGAUCAUGGCUGUAGUCUACGGCCUGCAAAUAAAUCGCCCUCAUGUUCUAUCCGUUUGAAUUUCAUAAUCCGCAUUGCCUGGUGUAGGGGGGCAAAAGAAAAGGAUCCCUUACCCGAGCAGGGAAAAAUAGGGAAAUGAAGAGUGAAAUGAGAAAUAAUAUAUAACUAGUUUACUGUGCCCUCCUAGUUGGAUAGAUUUUAGACAAUUGAGUCAGUGCUAGAGGUGUGUUUGGAUAGCAACUAUUUGACCAAAAAUUAUUUGCUUAUAUCACAAACGCGUCUCACCUUUCAACACAACUUCUUAUCUCGCACGCAUCAUAUCACAAAGAUGCGAUAGUAAUUAUUUCAAAUACGAUUCCAAGUAAUCUUAAGGCUUUGUACUAUAUCAUUGUAAUUGAUCGAAUCCUUCCAAGCAAGUAGUAAUAUUUAUAGCUCUUCUUCCAAGCAAGUAGUAAUAUUUAUAGCGCUUUAGAGUUGUUUGCCCUUCCUAAAGUUUCCAUUCCUAUGAAGUCUCAUUGGGUUCUGGGUUUGCUCUGCAUGAUGCUUCCGGGCUUUCAUCGAGCAAUGCCUGAAGCACACAUAAAAGUAUAAAAGGAACGUUGGAAGAACACUAGAAAUUGAUUGCUGGAGUAUCAUUCCAUGUCUAAUGUGAAUGCUACCCGCCAACCCCGAACGAUGCACCAUCGAUUUAGCAAAGUUGUCGACAAUUUUGGCCCUUAUGCUGGUCAAGGCUAUCCUUGAUUUCUUAUUAAUAUUGCGAUCUCAAAAGGGUUUGUUGGGUUCUUACGUGUACAAGGGAUAAUGACUAUUGCAGGAAGCUCCCUUCUAAUUUAAAAAAUUACACCUACCUCCUCUAUGAUUAGUAUUUCAGUAACAAUAUAAACCCAAUAUGCUAACUUUCUCCUCGAAAAUCCUAAAAUACCCCUUUGUUACUUAAAAAGGGGGAAAAACAAACUAAUAAAUUUCUUUCAUAUUGCAACUAUUGUAAACGACAUAACCACCACUGUAACGAAUUUAAUAAACCACUUCACUUUAAUUCCUAUAUUCUUACAAUUUUGAGAGUCUACUAUUGCCACCCCAAAGCUUCCCCUGCAAAUCAACUGUGAUAAUUAAAGUUUGCAUUCAACCUAAUAUUUAGCCCUUUUUUUUUUUUUGCCUAAAUUCAAUGUUUGAAUUGACCAAUAUUACUAUUCAACCUCGUUGUUACUAAAAUAAUAUAACCUACCAAAAAUACCAACAUGAGCAACCAAAAGUAACACUAGAAACCACAUCCCAUGUCUCUAGUCAAAUCUGAUUGUAGUUUUUAUAUCUCAAAAUUCUUUUUUACCCAAUUGGGCAUAAUACCGUAACCUUCUUUAAUCCACGUUUCCUUUUUAGCUAUCAUUUUUAUUUUUUUGUACGUACUCAGUAUCACCUGCAUCUUUUGCACCUUCAUUUGUUUUGACAACAAAUAUGAUCCGACAACUUGUCAUUUUGUAAUUUCGAUUCAAUAAUACUUAUAAAAAAAAAAAGAAUACAAAAAAAAAAGAGUGUGUCUAUUUGCAAAAAAAUAGUGGUUUAUGAGACGUAGGAGAAAGAAUGUAAGAGAAAGAGUUGGAGAGAUAGAACAAGAGUUUAGUUUGUGUGGCAGCAGUUACUUAGAACAAGAGUUUAGUUUAGUUUAGAACAAGUGUUUGUAAGAAUUAUUUAUAAGUGAAUGAUGAUAUUAUAGUCAUUUUACUACAUGAAGGGAGGUUAGUGUAAUUAUUCAAAUCUGAAGGGAGUUUAGUGAAAUUGUCAAAUUAUCCCCGUGUACAAAUGUCUAACUAUAUUGGAGUUUCCAAGAGAAAAAGUCAACGCUAGUUGAUUGAUCCAUCAGCUCUAAGAAUCGAUUGUUUGACAUUCAUACGAAACAGUCAACCAGUCUUAAAUUCCCCUAAAUCUUGUCUUUUUUAUUUAACCUAAUGCUUUUUUGACUUUGGUUGAGUAAUGGCCUGCAACUUUUGGUUUACGAAGGCUGGCCAAAAGAGCAGCGGCGUAAGUCGGCAAGUUUGGAGACUGGACAGAGAUUAUAAAAUUCUUUGACGUCCAUUUUUUGGAUUUGACCUUAAGUACGUUACUUAGUCAAAAUUGGCUUCUAAUUUGGCUGUUAUUGCAAAUUAAAACUGAAUGAAGGCAGAAAAGAUAUGUGCAAGAAUUUCAAGAAAGGAUGAUCUUCAAAAGCAGCAUUUUUUCUUUUUUUUUUUUUUUUUGGAAAAUGAAGACGAAAUGUAGCAUUUGGUAGAGAGUUAGGUAUACGAAGAAAAGCAAAGAGAUAAGGCAUAACGAAGUGGGCAUCAGCAUAAUACUGUGCCCUUAAAAUAUAUAGAAAUAGAAAAAGAAGAGAAAUCAACUUGAAAAAGCGAUUCGUGAAAUAAUUGAAAUAAAAGACUUGCAAAAAUGAUCGAAGAACCGAAAGGGGUUCAACUAUUGGAUUUUGCACUUAGUCAAAUACUUCUUUUUAGAUUUUAAAAAAUCUCCGAACACAUUUUCUACUCAUCUUUUCAUUACGCAUUCAUCAAUUAUAUACUACAUAUUAUAAUAAUAUUUUUUCAAAGCCUCCCCCAAAAAAAAACACAAUUUUGACUGAGCUAAAACCUCAAGAAAAGCUUCUUAUAUUUUGGUAUGUUUUAAUUUGCAAAAAAAAAAAAAUUGAUUACAUUAUAAUGCAUUUUUUAAAUCAUCUUUCUAUUUUACAUAUAUCUCACUGUAAAAAGUAUUAUUUUUAAAAAAUUGUUCUGUAUAAUCUCCCAUCCAAACACACGUUUUUAAUGGGAAAAGGGACGUACACAUACAAGGCCAAAUUUCUAAUUCCUCUAUUAAUGUUUAUCUUAUGACCCGAAGAAAAGAGCUCGAGCUCAAACUCUUAACUCAAUGGAUUUAAUUCCUAAUCUUCCUCUUAGCUCACUAGUCUUUACAGAGGACAAAAACAUCUGCCUUUUUUUUUUUUUUUUUGAGUGAAUGAGAAAAUGUCACUCUAUUUACCUCUUCCAUUGAUAGACAAAACAAAGUGUUAAUUUGGCCUCUGCAGAAAUGCAGACUCGUUGACACAAGUGACAAGACAAGACUAGAGACAGCCACUAAAGAAUUACUGCACAUUUUCUUUCUCUUUUCUAUUUUUCUUGAUUUCAAGCAGAAUUUUUAACAGUAACCUCCUUAAGAGCACGUGAUUCAUCAGCUCUUAUAAAUAGCCUGCAUGAAAGUUGUAGAAGGGACAGAUGUCAUGUCACGCCAGGAGAUGGCUUUCGUUACUUGAGACUGUAGCCAAAGAAGAAAAAGACUAAUAGCCACAAAAUAUUACCGACACAGCAGGUUUUGAAUUAUCCUUUCUAAAAACCAUUCAAUAAAUAGUGAAAUUUUUUUAAAAGAAAUUCUCUUUGCAACAUUUGAUGUAAUUAUAUGAGAUAUAUUUUAACAAGUCAUUUCAAAUUCCAAUUCGUAUAAAAAUAAAAAUACCUCCAAAAUUGAGUUUAAAAAAUUUUAAAUUAAGAACCUAUUUAGAUUACUAUUUUUUUGAAAUUUUUGUAAAAAAAAAAAAAGGCAUCACAGUGAUUUGAUAUACGUGACAUAAAAAAAUCGAAAAUGUGUUCAUGUAAAAUGUAAAAUUUUUUUGGAGAAAAAAAUAUCAAUACAUAACUUUAUUUGUUCAAAUAUUGUCGCAAUAAAAAUUAAAAAGCAACCGAAAUAAUUGAAUAAUGCCUAAAAAAUUAUAAACUAAAUGAUUUAAGUUUGACGGAAAAGUAAGCAAAUUAAGGUUUAAAAAAAAAGGUCGGUAAAAGCAGACGGGAAAUGAUAACUGGGCCACCACUUUUGGACGGCGCUCGAUGCAAUAUGGACUGCAAUUGGCAGCGAAGCUAAGGCCCAUAUUCUCGCCCUAUCUUAAGCCUGUAAGGCUGCGCCACCAAAACGGCGCCGCAGUUUUCUAGGUGGAUCUUGAGAGAAAAUAUUGGAUAUGGCAGUCGUCUGCUCUGUUCUGUCUUGUCGCAUCUUGAUUUCUUCUGAAAAGAAAUCAUUGUUUCGAUUUUUUCAGUUGUUUUUCCCUGUUGCUUUUAAAGUGGAAUUUGACUUUUAUGUUGAUGUUAAAGGACAAGCCCUAAGAUGCAUUAUGAACAUAAUUUCUACUUUUUAAAGUAAGGCAGACCAGUGUGUUUGGAUUGAGAUCAUUUGAAAAAAAAUAAUUUAAUUCACAAAUCUCAAUCACCUUUUUAUUUUUUCAAUCAUUUUUUUAUCUCACAUAUAUCACAUUAUAAAAAGUGUUACAGUAAUUAUCUCAAAUAAACUCCUAUCCAAACAAACUGUGUUUAGAUAUUAAAUUAUUUGGAAUAAUUUCUUUAAAAAUAUUGUAAUAUUUUUUUGUAUGAUGUAUAUGUUACAAAAAGGUGGUUAAACAGUGUAGUUAUCGUGUAAAUAAGUAUAUCUGAGCAAAUAAUCUAAUAUCCAAACAAUGCUUAAUAGUUACCAAAAGGGAAUUUUUUUUUUUUUUUUGAUAAUCUUCCAAAAGUUUGAUUAAUUUGCUGUGGUAAGACAAGGAUUGGAUAACUCAAAUAAUGCUAAUGUAAGCUUUAGGACUUUUUAACUUUGAAUUAACCAAUUUGGAGUUUGCUACCUUAGUGGGCUAGUUUUUUCUAGUGUAUGCUAGAAUUUUAGCGGUUUAUUUAGUUCAAUGCAAUUAAAAUACAAUACAUUGAAUGUACUCUUCAAUUUUCUAGUUUGUCAAAGACAUUAAAAGAAUAGUUGAUUUUAAGUUGAUUAAAGAAAUUAUAGAACAAGAUUUAAAAUAGGAACAACAAAUGUAAUAACACAUCAUAUAAUAUAAGUGAAUAUUUUAUGUAGUAAAAAAUUUAACAAAAUUCUCCAAUUUACAUGUAUUAAUUUUUUAGAUGUCCUAAAAAUUGACAUCUGUAGCUGUAGCUAAACUAUGUUGAUAAAAUAAAAGAAGUAAAAUCCUCGCAAAAUUGUGAACAUAUCUGUUAGACUAAUUAACCCUAGGUUAAAAGAAGUAACUAUUUUCACUUUGAAUUUUUUUAUAAACACACUCACGAUUAAAAGAAGUAAAAUCCUAAGAAUAUACACACUCACGAUUAAUUAGCUGUGGUAAGACAACGAUUGGAUGGCUCAAAAUGCCAAUGUAAGCAUUGGGACUUGUUAACUUUGAAUUAACCAAUUUGGAGUUUUUCUACAUUCGUGGGCUAGUCUUUUCUAGUGUAUUCUAGGAUUUUAGCAAUUUGUUUACAAGUUCAAUCCUAUUAAAACACAAUGCAUUGAAUGUACUAUUUAUUUAUCGAGUAUGUCAAACACGUGAAAGGAAAAAAAAUACUGUGUUUGGAAAGGAAAUUAUUUGGGAUAGUUUUUUCGUCAACUAUAGAUGUAGCAGCUAAAUCAUGCUAAUGAAAUAAAAAGAAGUAAAAUUCUCACAAAAUUGAGACCGUAUUUUUUAGACGACUUUUGCAUAAACCCUAAAUUAACAGAUCCUUCAAAAAAAAAAACUCUAAAUUAACAAAAGAAGUAACUAUUUUCUUUUUAAAUUUGUUAUGAACACUGGUUAGCACACGACUAAAUUACAUUUAAUUUACUACCUUGAUUCCCUACACACACACUCGCAUUUAUCAUCCUUUCGUUUAGUCCUAUCAUGACUUGAUGAUAUGAUAUGGCCGGUCGAAUUUUUAGUAUCGUGACUGCCGGCUGCGCCGAAAAUGGCAUAUGUCCAAAUAAUUUCCGUUAGUAAGUUUCAAACUUCCAUCAUAUUGUAAUUGUAGUACCCUAGCCAGUCGUCCACUACUGCACUGGGAAAUGGGGAAUAGAAAACGUGCUGAAAAGCCGACGGCAACUCACAUGCAUCUAUUGCUUCGGGUUGGGGUCCGGACCGCUGCCCAACAAAUUAUUACUAAGAGAAGAUGAUGAUUACGACGCAAAUACGCACAGGAUUCUUUUCUGUUCAUUCUAAGCUAAGAGGAGUUGUGGUUUGAAAAUUACUUCUCCUACCGUACAAUUUAGUCACAUUUCAGUUUCUAAAUAGUAGUAUCUUUCAUUUUUUCUAUAUAGUAGGCUACUGAUUUAGCUGUUCUAAUUUUUUUUUCUGGUACCAAUUGAUUAUAAUCGUGUUCGCACGUCCUUAUCUACGAUAAAUUAUAACCAAUCCAUUAAUGAUCUACUAUUAGUCAUGCCAUUCUCUUUUCUUUUUUUUUUUCUUAAAAAUCAACUCAUAACUUUCAUAUUUUAAUUAAAUUCAAUCAUAUUCUGACAUGCUGUGAUUAGUUUAAUCAUUUAUUACCCUCGUUCUUUCUUCUAAUAAUAAUUUAUUACAACCCUUUCUUGACUUUCUUAUUCAUGAUAAAUUUCUAUCAAUCUAAUAAUAGCCUGUCUUACACAUACUUGAAUAAAUUAUGACAUUAUUUCUUACUUCAUUUUUUUUCCUUAAUUAAUUCAUGGUUUUCCUAUUUUAAUUAUCUUCAAAACAAAAUUACAUGAUUUUGCUGCUAUAUAAUGAUAAUGGGAAAGCAGUGGAUGUUCACCUGUAGUUAAAUGUAUGUGGACAAGGAGCUUCAAAAAGAAGAACAAAACAAAGUUCUUGAAUAGUGGAAUAUUCUCAUAUGCUAUUUAUUGUAUUUUUAGAAAAACUUUUCAAAUAGAUUGGACAUUGACGUGUUGUUUUUUGCAAAUGGUUGCCUUAUUUUUGUUGGUUUCAAAUAAGAAUGGACAAGUUGUAGGAUUGUGAAAACAAAACAUAUUACUAUGUAAAUAAGGUUGUAGUAUUUUAAUACUACACAUAAAAAUGCUGUUGUUUCGUUAUAUUUUAUUUCAAAUUACUAAAAAAAAAAAAAUUCCUUACUGACACCGGAAAAUGGAAGAAUUCAUUUUCAGAAUUAAUUACCAGAAUAGUUUUAUAUAGUUGGAAUAUCAAUUUGAAAUAUAAAGCAUUCUUUGCCAAAUUCCUUACUGGCAUCUCUAUAAUAAGCACAAAAGGGCUCAAAAUUUUUCUCCAUAUAACAACAAUCAGAGUAGAAUGAUCAUCAAGUCUCACUAAAUUUUGUUGUGCCAUUUAGACGUAGAAUUCUUGAAGCAGAAAGGCAGUUUGUACAAGUUUCAUUAGUGCCGUAUAUUGAAAGUCGCAAAAGACAUAUUAAUUUGUCAAUGUGAGAAUGCGUAAAAAUCUUCACUUUUGCAUUUUAAAGCUGAAGUAGACUGAAUACUGGAAUCAAGGGGCCAGUGUACAAAAUCAGAAAAUUGAGCCUAGAUUUGCUUCAAGAAUGUAGGAAUAUUAAGGCUCAGCUAUAUGAUCUAUACUUUCAUCCCCAUGGUAUUUUCUCUUUUCUCUUGUGUAGGGUCGUUCCUCUUCUACUAAAGAUAAUGUCCGGUCUGAUAUAAACUACCUACAUGUUUGACAAAAGAAAUUCAAUGGACUCAUUUAUGCACAGUUGUUGGUGGCUUAUGUUGAGCCACAUCCUUCAUCUCAGUCAUCUAUAUUUAGUUGGCACACUAUUGACCAAUUGACGCAGUCUAUUACUCAUAUGCCAAUGCCACCCUUAAAAGAUGAGUUUGCCGACUUCAACCCUAUUAAUUUAUAUAAUCAAUCUUUUACACACUUACAAUGUAUAAAUUAAUAGGAUUGAAUAUAUGUUAUAUAUGCAAAUUUUAAAUUUGAAAUUUGAAAUUGAAAAGUUUACUUACAAUUCACGUACAUCCAAACGCAUUAGUGUGUCAAGAAUAUAUUAUUGGAGUAUUGAAAAUUAUUCCCUAAAUAUUUUCAUGAUUAAAGCUCAAAAUUGGGAUUUUUUUUUUUAACGGUAACGAUAACAAUCUAUAACCUAACCUAUCUCAAUAUAGAGGAAGGGGAGUUUAAAGAGGCUGUGCAUAAGUGGUUAAUAUGUAUAAGUACAUGAGUACAUCAAACGAGUGCUCUAACAUCUCCUUUGAAUUUUUUUCAUUGCAAGUGGAGUUCGAAUCCCCGACUUACGGCCAAAAAGAGAUUUAGUCAUUUUUGGUGGCCAUUGAACCAAAGCUUAGUGGUUCAAAAUUGUGAUAUCUCAGUUGUCCUGGAAUACAGUUUUUGAUGUGGAGCUUGAGAAUCAUGUGCUUAAAAAGAUUUGAAUGUUAGUGCAUACAUGCAACUGUCCCAUUAGUGUGUCAAGAAUACAUUAUUGGAGUACUGAAAAUUAUUCCCUAAACAUACAUGCAACUGUCCCAUCUCUCUUCCCAUUUCUAUUCAGCAUUCACCCUCUCAGACCCUGUCCAUGUGUUGUAUAUAUAGUCACCAUUCUGCACUCAUUUUCCUCAACUUCUAAAUUGCAAAAUCUGCUUUCCUCCACUUUCCAGAGUCCUAACCCCACAACCCUCUUAGCGGUUGGCAAAAACCAUGUUUUCCUUUCUUCUUCUUCUUGUUGCUACUUCACUUCUUCUUUCCCCCUACCUUCCUUCAUUGUUUCAAAGAUUUCUUGAUCUCAAAUCCGGAAAACUCAGCUUCUCUCAUGGCCCUAAGUCCUACCCAAUCAUCGGUUGCCUCGUUGCAUUCUACCAAAAUCGCCAUCGUCUUUUAGACUGGUACACUGAAAUCCUCUCUCAAUCACCUUCUCAAACAAUGGUGAUCAAGAGGUUUGGUGCACCUAGAACCAUCGUCACAGCCAAUCCGCAAAAUGUUGAGUAUAUCCUGAAAACCAACUUCAACAACUACCCUAAAGGCAAGCCCUUCACUGAAAUCUUAGGCGAUUUCCUCGGUCGAGGAAUAUUCAAUGCUGAUGGCCAUCUCUGGCAGGUUCAGCGCAAACUCGCAAGCCAUGAAUUCAGUGCAAAGUCCUUGAGAGAAUUUGUUGUCAAAACUCUCGAGGAACAAGUUCAAAACAAGCUUUUCCCAGUGCUUGAAAUGGCUGUGGAAAAGAACAUGGUCUUGGAUUUACAGGAUGUGCUUAGGAGGUUUGCAUUUGACACAAUUUGCAAGGUCUCACUGGGGAUGGAUCCUCGUUGUCUAGACAUUUCUCAACCUGUCCCUCCUCUUGCCAUAGCAUUCGACAAAGCAUCAGAGAUCUGCGCGAGACGCGGUGUUGCUCCAAUCCCCGCAGUCUGGAAAAUGAGGAGAGCCCUUAAUUUAGGGUCUGAGAAGGAGCUCAAAGAAGCAGUUGAUCUUGUUCAUGGCUGUGUUGAUGAUAUUAUCCAAACCAAGAAAACGAAACUCAAUGAGAGUGCUGAUAAAAAAACCAGCAAUAACGAUCUUUUGUCCAGGCUGUUAUUAGCUGGUCUUGAUGAUGAAAUGGUUAGAGAUAUGGUGAUAAGUUUCCUCAUGGCAGGAAGGGAUACAACUUCUUCUGCAUUGACAUGGUUGUUCUGGCUUCUUUCUAACCACCAUGCUGUCAAAAAGAACGUCAUGAAUGAGUUGGAAAUCCUCAACCUUAAAGAAAAGCCAUUGGAUGUAGAGGAUUUGAAAGAAAUGAAGUACAUAAAGGCAUGCUUGUGUGAGUCAAUCAGACUAUAUCCUCCAGUAGUUUGGGACUCCAAGCAUGCUGAGAAUGACGACAUCUUGCCUGACGGAACAAUUGUUUACAAGGGAAAUAGGGUGACCUAUUUCCAAUAUGGGAUGGGGAGGAUAGAGGAAUUGUGGGGAAAGGAUUGUUUUGAGUUCAGACCAGAUAGGUGGUUUGAUGACAAUGGGAUGCUGAAAAUGGUUGAUCCGUACAAGUUUCCAGUGUUUCAGGCAGGUCCAAGAGUCUGUCUUGGGAAGGAAAUGGCUUUCAUUCAAAUGAAGCAUGUUGUGGCUUCGAUUCUAAGGAGAUAUGAGAUCAAGAAAGUUGAUGAUAAUCAGCCUAUUUUUGUUCCUCUCUUGACUGCCUUUAUGGCUGGUGGACUCAAAGUUAGGAUUCACCGCCUCAGCCAACCCGGGGUUGUGAUUUUGCGAGAAAGCGAAAGUUUGGUGGAACCAUAAUGUGCUGUGCUGUCCAAUUCAAUUCACAGAUUUGCUUGAACUGAUAUCCCGACAGAUAUUACUGCAGCUUGUUAAUUAAGACACAGUAGUUGUGUUGUUUUGUUCACAUUAAUGUAGAGAGGUUGGAGUAUGAUUUCCCAAGAUCCCAUUCCAAAGAGGACGAAAUGAAAAUUUCUGGAAUGAGAGUAUGUAAAAUAAGGAAAAUAAAAUGUAAAGUAUAUUAUUAUCAUCCUAUGAAUAUAGUUUUUUUUCUCUAAUUUAUAACCUAUAUUGAGCAUUUUUUUUUUUUUUUUUGUUGAAGAAGAUCGCAUCAACCUACCUGUAUCCCCAUGCCAAUAAUUUGGAAUGAUCAUUCCAAGAAGGAAAGUCGGAAACUUUUUUUUUUUUUUUUUUUGCCAAGCUGGCUAUUCUCAUAUUUUGUCAAGUUGACAUUUUAUCUUCGUACCGCACGUAAAAAAUUAAGUUAAAAGAAAAAGUGCGCUCGUUUAUAUCUUUGUGGAUUUUAUUCUUUUCUUUUUUUGGUAACAAUUAAUUAUAUAAAUCCUUUCACUCAAGCUAUUAAUUAAUGACUUACCUUAUGCAAGUUUGUAUUAAUUGUAUCUUCUUUAUUUUUUGGUCAAUCAACUCUUGUCUUCCCUUCAAAAAUCUCUUCAAUCACAUUUUCUAUUCCUGCUAUUGGCUUGAUUAUUUAUUAUUAUUACUAAAAUUUGGAUAAAAUAUACUAUAUUAAUGCUCACAUAGAUAGUUUUUCCCCAUGGUAAAUCACCAAGUUAGCUAUGCCAACAAAAAAAGUUGGGUAUAUAUUCUGAUUUUUUGCUUAUGUUUCUUGGUGGAUUUUAUUCUUUUUAGGCUAAUGAUUAAUUAUAGUUCUUUAUUACUUUCUUAUUUAUAGUAAAUUUCAAACAAUCAAUCAAUUACAUACUUUAUAUACAUUUAUAUAAUUUAUGCCCUAUUUUAUUUUAUUUUGUUUUUUAAUUCUUUACAAUCACAUUCUCUAUUCCUAUUACUGAAUUGAUCAUUUAUUAUCAUUACUAAAAUUUGGAUGAACUUUCAUUUUUUUUUUCUAUCAUUCUAAUACUUCCUUAUUUAUAAUAAGUUUAAAACUAUUAAUUCGCUAUUUCAUAUACGUUUACAUUGAUUAUGCUUUUCUUUUUUUUAAUAAAUCAACAUUAUCUUUUUAAAAUUUUCUUGAAUUAUGUUGAAUAUAUUUCUAUUAUUUGACUUGAUUAUUUAUUUGUAAUUCUAAAGUUUUGACAAUGAUCAUUUUCCAAUGAAUUUAUAUUUAUCAAUUUUAGCAUAUCACUCAUACAAAUCCACUUAAAUUGUAGAAAAUGGUCAUUUUUUAAAAAAAAAUUUCUAUUGAUUUUUAUGCUUUCUUUCCAUUGGAAUUCAAUUUAGGUUGAAACGAUAUCCAUGUAAACACAGGAUUGCAAAAGUUUUCUCAAAUUACUUUUUUGCAUUAGCUUUUAAUGAUUUGGUCAAAUAAUAAGUUAAUUAUCGAUUAGUUUGCUUUUCAACAUUCUUUUUAGGUGUAAAAGAAUCAAAACAUUAAGUGCAUUUACUUCCUGCUAUAUCUCGUUUAUUCAUGUAUUGACCUACCACCAUUACUAAACAUAAUUACAUCAUGAGAUAAGAUUUGAUUGAAACAAAUUAUUAAGUUGUUAAGAAUUAACUAAUUUUAAUCGAUUUAAUUUAAAUGUUUGUUUUAUGCUUAGUAUAUAAAAUUUUAUAAAAUAGUAUUUUUAGUUAUUUUAUAUCAAUUUUCUUUAAAAAAAAAUAAAAACUUUAGAGCAUAAAAAGUGCCCAUGCAAAUGCACGGGUGAAUAACGAAUUCCUAUGAAUAACUAGUUCGUUAGGAAGCUACAAAGCUAUCCGCCCAUACUAAAAUUUCCAUUUCAGCAUAUAUCCAUCUUGGAAAUCAUGAAGACAUUGCAUCUACAAACACAAACAGAUCUGUAAAAGCAGUGCACCCAGUAAAUUGUGCAAGUUCAACUAAUACAGGUCCAAACCCAACAGCUGAAUGACAUGGAUUAGGUACUUCUGAAAUGAAUUACAAGAAUACCAAAUGACAUCCAGAAAGAUAGAAUUAAAGAAACAUGUUACACGGGAGAGAAGACAAUAAACAGAAAGUUACAACUUAAGUGUGAAAUGCCUCCCCCAACAAGCAUCAUGGUUGUGCAGCUUCCAGGAGUUUCUCAUAUACCUGUCUAGCAGUCAAAUCCUCCACCUGUUUCAAGAACCAUAACUCAGUACUUUAAUCCAAUUAAACGACAAGCAAACUUUACCUAGCGAAACAGUUUCCACCAGAUCAAUAAAGUCAAGACAAUCACACUUUCAUAAGCCAUUGAUGAACAACCUUGUUCAAAAGAUCCAAGUACAAAGCUCGAUCUGUAUAUGACUGUUCAUGCCUUACUGGAAAUGAAUGAUGUAUGGCACGACAAAUUCUCAUGUCUCUCAAUUACUGGAAUAGUGCAUGUGGGGUACUUAGGGAGCCCUUGGACAUUAAUGUUGAUUAAACUGAAUGAGGACAGUGCCUGCUGGCAAAACAGCUUCUUCUUGUGUCAAAAGCCUUUUUAAAUAAUUGCACAUUGGUGGUAUGGGGCGAGAUACUUCUUUUAAUAUGAUGUAAUGGAGAAGAUGCAAUUCACUUUUCUCUUCUUCAAGAAGUUGAUAAUGGUACCAUAUUUUGGUAAGCAUGCAUAUUUACCAGGGUUUCAAUGGUGGCCAAACGGUGGUAAAAAUGUGAUUUUGGCUGUGCUGAUCUAGGAUCAUUCUAGAAUGGUGAAUUCCUAAGGGAAAAAGAGAACAGAAAAGAAAUUUUCAAAUAGGACAAAAUUCUACACACAGCACCCAGCUCUUUACUGCUACAUAAAGCCAAACAUAAUCUUUGGCUAAAGUCGUUAAGUUCUAAAGAUAGUUUUAGCAGGUCUGAAUAGUACAACAUGUAAUCUGUCUGCAGACACAUUGCUUGAAACUAAAAGCAAACAGCUGAGAAAUCUAUAGGCAAUAAUAGAAAAUAGAUUUUGUUUUUCUGCAGUGUUUUGAAGAAAGCAUGAAGGGGUCCCUUGUCCAAUGAAAAACAGGCCUUGUUCCUAGACAUUUAGUUUCUAAAAUAUCUUGACUGGAAUAUGGCUCAAGAACAUGAACUAAUCUUCAACAAUUUGGUCAACUAAUUCUGCAGGAGGAGCAUAAUGCAGAAGAAAGUUCAAAGAUCAGACACUUUACUUAAAUUAUCAGCAAAACAUAGUGGAUAAAAUAACAGAAUAUUUGAGCUCGAAUAAUUCUGAAAACCCCAUUUAUACAAAUGUAUGUACGCAUAGCUGUGUGUGUGUGACGUGCACAAAUGUAUAUAUGGACACAUCAGGAAUCUGAAUGUCAACUCACCACAAGAAGCUUUGAUUUGCUAUUCCAACCCCUUUGAAGAGUCAUCUGGCUCAAUUUUAAUCCCAACACCUGCCACAGAACAAAUGUUAAUGGCUCAGCCUAGAAAGUGAAGUAGUAAAUCAAAUCAAACUUCUGGCAGCAAAAUUCAAAAGCACCUUUCCCAUGUGUUCUAGAAGCUCAUUGUUUGCCUCUCCUCUUGCUGCAGCUGCAGCUACAGUCACCCGAACAUCAUCAGCAUUUACUCCUACAAUCAUAUUAGGCUUACUAUUAUUAGCGAAAUCAAAAUGCAGUAUCUAACGUCAUUUGGGUUCUUAUAAAGAUACAAAUGCUAUAUACAAUUUAAGGUAAAAACAAAAGAAAGUUCUCCAUCCUGGAAACUGAUUAUUGAUUGGGCACUGCCUGGGUUCAGCAUUGGAUGGUGCAGCACAAAAUUCAUGCCAUCUCAUUAAACAUCUUGAAAACCAACUCUGUGAUCUUUGAUGGGUAACGAGCACAAAAUAAGAAUAAUGAACUUUGAUUUUUAUUUAAAAGUAUUUAAGAGAAGGACCUAUUGAUCACAAUAAGUUUUGAAGGACUUGAUAACCCUCAUAAAUUUCAAAUAACACAAACUUAUGGUCUUCCUUAUCAAUAGAAGUAAAUGCACGAAAGGGAUUAAAAUGACAAAAAUGAUAUCAAAUCCGCAUCAAAUCACAAGAAAGGAAAAGAACCUUUUUGGCAGAAGUAAUUAUUAAUUUGAUUCCUUUUAUGCUCUAAAUCAAAUGAGAGGGUACCUAGGAAAACGUGAGAAAGUUGCAAAGUCGUACCACAUCAACCUGUGACACCAGGAUUCUACUUUUUUCUUCCCUUAUCCUCUUUGUAGGACUGCAUAGCCUAGGAACUAUAUAGCUAAUCUGUAUAAGGCUAAGGACCUUAAAUCACUUAUCGACAUUAUCAACUCUCAUGUUUUCAGUUAAAAGUAUAUUCAUCCACAUUGUUGAAAAUUCAAACGACAAAAAAUUUCUUUUUUCUUUCCUUUCCUUCUGUUAUGGUGAAGAACACAAGAAAUAAUCAUCAAACAAGUCAUGUAAAACAAAUAUGCACACCAGAGUUCUGUGGAAGGUAUAAAAAAGUAAAGCUAACCGAUCUAAUUUGAGUUAAUUAACCAAGAUUUAGAGGCUGUAUACACAGGGCUCGCAGAGUGGACUUCUGCUUUGUAGGAGUUGUGGAUUGAACCAGGUAACCAAAGGACUGCAAUUCUCCAAAUAACGAAGCUCCAACAAACAUUAGCCCUCUUCCCUUUUCACUUCUUUUUCUUUUCCCCCUUUAGAAAAGUUAUGUCUACUCCUACAGCUUUCCCGAUUUUCACAAUAGAAUUCCCGUUGCAAUGAAAAUAAAAGAACCAAAACAAAACUAGAGGCAUCCUUUAGCCAGCUUCUAAAAUGCCCUGUUUCCUCCAAAACUUCCCAAACCUCGAUGGAUCAGCUGUGCCCUCUCAAACUUUUAAUUCCUCAUUACCCUUCUCUGUUCUGACAAUAUUAACCUGAAGCCUAUCAGCCAAUUUCACCACCAAUUCUUUUCUAAAAUGGCCUUUUUCACUCUCACAAACAAAAAGAACCAGACUUUUGUUGUUUUUUUUCGUUUAAAGAGCAACAGAAAAUUUGGUGAAUAUAAAGUGCUGUCACGGUAUUUAAGAAUGCAAAAGAGAAAGAAACAAGGUUGAAGGGGGACUUUUGUUGCAAAUUGUGCUAGGGGGUAUGGAGGGAGGGCAGCCAGAGCAGGGAAUUGAAGAUUUGGAAGUGGCAAUGGGCCAACAAAGGAAGGAAGGGAGCGUGGAAGUGGACCUAUGGAGAUGAAAGGCCAAAAACCUAGAUUUCACUUCGUUCAAUAUUUUUCUUUGUAAGGACCUUAAAACUUUUAACUUAAUCGAAGCGCCAAAACUGAUAUUAAUAAGUGAGCGAAUGGACAACAAGUCUAAGUUGGAAUAAUUAGAUGACCAUUUUAGCCAAAAAACAAAAAUUAGUCUAGUAACCAGCAGCAUGACAAUGGAAAAAGCCUAGUUAGCUUCUGUUCCAUAUGCUCUAAAUAUUCUAUUCAUGCUUUUUUGCAACCAAGGAUUCCUGACUUGGAGAUUUCAGAGCAUCAGAACUUUGCCAACAACCUCAGGUAUGUCAAAGAUAGAACGUAAUAAUCUAAUAAAUUCAUAAAUUUACUUGUGAUUGCAGAGCGCUGUGCACGAUCUUCUACUUCGAUGGCUACUUGAACAAGGCCUCCUUCUAACUGUGAUAUGCAUGGUGGCACAGGAGCAUCCUAAGUGCUCGCAAACAAUGAAAUUGAUAUCUUAGAAUAUACAGUUUCAGAUAUAGAUUGCCUCUACACAACAGUUCAACAACAUUGCGCAGUGUCAAUCACCAGAAGUGGUAAAAUAACCAAUAUCAAGACUGGAGAAUUCUAACUUGCUCAAUUUCAGAAAAUCCAAUCCACCAAAAGAGGAAUUCCUAGGGUCUUCAAUGUGAAUUAAAAACAAGAAACAGAAUGUACCAUGAGAAUUUCCUAAGCACAUACCUGUGGAUUUGUCUCAGCAGCUAUUGAACUGAGGGCCCCGUCAAUGACAUAAAUGAAGGAGGCAGAUUCAAGAUCUUCUUCUGCUCGAUAGCAAACAAAGAGCCCACAAGUAACACAAUUCAUGCGAUACUGCUUCUCCAUUUUCCCCUCUCCGCUGAAAACAAUUUUAUAAAUGGAAAAGUUAGUUGGAAAAAGCCACACAGCAAUGUUCAUCCAGCAGAAGAACUAAGUUCUUAAUUCUAGCACUUGAAACAACCCAAAACAUUUAUAGAGGUAAAUUUAUGGACAAUUUUCAGAAUUUAUGAACUGGGUGUGCUCUCCUAGGAUAACUUGUCAAAGUGGAGACUUUGGUGCAUGUUCUUGCCCUAAAUGAUAACUUCAUAUCACAAACCAAAAUAACAUCUUCAAAAGCAAAUGGCAGACAGAGGGAUGCUGGUUAUACAAUUCAAAAGCACCAGGCAAGCAUUCCAUACUCACACAGUUAGCAUAAUCCUCUAUGACACAGGAGCUUAUUAACAAUUCGAUCAAAUUGAAAGUGUCUGAUAGGGUCAGCUUUACAUUUUAACUAUUCACGACAUAUUUACAGUCAAUUAAGAUGAUAAAAGGCAAGAGGUUAUAGUGGCAGUCCAUCGAAACAUUUUAAAGGCAUUCAGAAAAUCAAAGAAACGACCAAAAUCAAUCUAUCCAGCUUAUUUAACAGCAGAAGAGAGUUCAAAAGACCUCGACGCCACUCACAUUCCAACUAAAACUCCAGCUUCCACGUUAUCCCUUGCGCUUAUUCAGAUAAAUUGGUGAAAGAUACUCAAGAACAGAAACUCUAGGAUACAAGCUUUUACCGUUUUAAGAGAACUUUUCCAGCCUCUUGUAUGUUCAGCCUAGCAAGAUACUUCUUCUUGUCCAACACAUAUGCUUUGUCAGUCUUCCUUUUUGGUAUCUUCUGCAAUUGAGUAUCUAUACACAUUCUUUAGGCUCGACACACGUUAUAUUGGAGAUACAAACCAAAAACAGAAAAAUAAACGUCGAUUCAUUCUGGGCUGGAUUUUGUAUUUUAUUACUGUAUUUUUUGAGGGAAAAUUGACUGAGCAAUCAAAUUCAAAAUUGACGGGGUAUAUAAGAAACGGCGGUUGGCGAAACCUGUAAUGAGGACAUGAGAGCUGCAGUGCUUGCAAUAGUAAACGAAUAGGUCAGAAUCAGGCCCGUCGGGGGCGGCGUCUUCGCUCGAGUAGGUGUGGGUUGUUCUCUUCGGCAUCUCUUAUUGUUUCACGACUUCGGUUCUGAAGUUCAAUGUGAGGUUCCCGCCGGUACGCCGGCACGCCAACGGAGAAGAAAGGAGUAGCAGAAAAAAUGUCCAAGAUUUUUUAUACUAUUACCACCGUUUUGAUGAAUUACACGUUUGGACUUCCCUCGUCCUUUGGAAAUCAUUUGAUAUUUGCAAGAAUUUUUAUAUAUUACUCACUGGAUACCACCUUUUAAUAUUUUCCAACUCAAUUAUAUAUAUAUAUAUAUACUAUGGUGGGAUAGCCCGCGACGCGCGGGAAUUUGGUACUUAUGAUUCAAGAUAAUUAAUAAUUAUUAUUUAAUAUUUUGUAGUAUCAGAACUAAAGUAUAAUGAUUUUAUCAUGUAAUUUUAAUAGAAAAAUUACAAGUUACAUAGUGAGUUAAUAAAAAUAAUGUGUAAUAAGACAUCGCUAUCGUUAUACUAUUUAAGAAUCCGUUGUGAUCAAAAGCUAUGUUUGAAUUUCAACGGCAAAGAUAGGGGUAGUUUGAAAAUGUAAGAAUGUUUGAAGUGCAAUUGAACAGUAUUCAAAGGUCUCUUCUAAAACUUAUCUAAGAUGAUAAAACAUUUUAAAAUAUCAAAUGGACCCUUCAUCUCUCGAAUCUAUAUAUGCUCGUGAAAGAUCCCUCAAGCAAUGUUCCUGAUUUCUCCCUCGACUUAAAUUCAACCUGAAUUAUCAAGUCAAGUUUAUCCAUCAAUCACUUUGCGUCCAAUCUAAUCUAAAAUAAUUUUAUUUUUUACUAACUAUUUAUAUAAUUUGGUGCGUAUAAUACGAUUUAAUCACAUGUUUCUUACAGAGAUAAUAAUGCCCAAAAAUGAUAGAUAGAUAAAAAACUUAAGUGGUCUUUUUCAAAGUUUUGUAGAAACUAUUCAGAUUUGGUGUUUUUGGUUAAGGGCAUUUCUUUAUAAUCUCAUAAAUAAGUUCAAAUCUGCAUAAAUUAUUAAAGAUCUGAAUUGAAACUAUCUUGAUUAUAAAAAAUUGGUGCAAAUAAUAUUUUCUAAAUUUGAAAUUGUAGAAAAUGGUAAGUAAAAUCAGAAGAAAUUCCUCAUAUGAAUGUUUGAAGUGCAAUUGAAAAGUAUUCAAAUGUCUCUUCUUAUCCAAUAUGAUAAAACAUUUUAAAGUAUCAAUUGGACCCUUCAUCUCUCGAAUCUAUAUCUGUUCGUGAAAUAUCCCUCAAGCAAUGUUUCUGAUUUCUCCCUCGACUUAAGCUCAAUCUGAAUUAUCAAAUCAAGUUUAUCCAUCAAUUACUUUGCGUCCAAUUUAAUCUAAAAUAAUUUUAUUUUUUACUAACUAUUUAUAUAAUUUGGUGGGUAUGAUACGACUUAAUUACAUGUUUCUUACAGAGAUAAUAAUGCCCAAAAAUGAUAGAUAGAUAAGAAACUUAAGUGAUCUUUUUCAAAGUUUUGUAGAAACUUUCAGAUUUGGUGUUUUUGACUAGGGGCAUUUCUUUAUAAUCUCAUAAAUAAGCUCAAAUCUGCAUAAUUGUUAAAGAUCUGAAUUGAAACUAUCUUGAUUAUAAAAAAUUGGUGCAAAUAAUAUUUUCUAAAUUUGAAAUUGUAGAAAAUGGUAAGUAAAAUCAGAAGAAAUUCCUCAUAUGAAUUCGAAUUGCAAACUAUAGGUAGAAACUGCUUAAUGAUAUUUUUCAUUACUUAUUUGUAUAAGUAUUCAAUAUAACAUCUCUACAUAAUUGACUCGUUUGAACUAUGGAUAAUAGUUGCUUCAAUCAAAUCAAGAAACAUUAUUUAUCAUUGUACAACAUACAAUUAUGAGUAAAUGAAUUAAUACAAUGCAAUCCAAAUGGUGCUGUAGUUAAAGCAUUUAAACUCAUCAAGUUCCACUACAAAUUCUUUUACAUAGCAUAAAAAAGCAAAUUUUUUGUAUUUGAAACUAUAAAAAUAAUAUAAUACAAGAACGAGAUCAUAACAUGGAAAGCAAAUAGAGUGCAAAUGACAUCUUAGUAUUAUGUAGCAUGAUUAAUUUUCUUUUUUAGUUUCAAUGAAGUACAAAAUUCUAAGUUAAUAAAUUUUACAAUCAUAAAAUUUCCAAUUAAAAUAAACACAAGUUGAAUUCCAAAUCAUAUUACAUGAAAAAAUAACUACUUGAACCAUAACUGCUGGAAUGUAGUCAACAGAUCCCUGGAGUCAAGAAUAAUAGGAGAAAGUUCAUGAGAAAUAAGGUUAUUUGACUUAAAUAAAGAUAUAAUACCUUGGUUGAGGAGGAGAAGAUGAUAAAAUUACUUUUCUGAUUAUUUUAGAAAGUGAAAAUAUUAUCUCAAAUUGUACUUUGAUCAGAGACAGAAUCUCUGGAAUCUACUAAGAAAAACAAUACAAUUAGUCAGUUUUUGGAAUUAUAAGUAUCAAAAGACAAACUAUAUGGAAUUCUUGAAUAAACUAAUCAUCAUGAAAAAAAAACUACAAUCGAAGAAGACAAACCCAAAGAACUUAUCUCAAUUUAAAGGAAAAACUAUGCAUUCCACCAAAUAUUUAAUAGCUAUAAUAAAAUCAAAGAAGUGAAAUCGAAAAGGAAUAAAAGGUAUCAGCUAAACAUGAGGACAUAAAUAUGAUAAUAAUUGUUCAAAUAAUAAUUAAGUUAAUUAAUUGUAAUUAAAAUCCAAUUAUGUAAACAUCCAAUUAGUUCCUUAACGGAUGAGAAAGGUUUCAGGAAAUUGGAAGGUUUGAAUGUUAGUAUAAUAAAUGAUUAAAAGGACUUUUAUGUAAUUCUAUCAAAAUACAAGCUUUAUUCAGUUGUACUUGAUACUCAACUUGGCACCAAACAUUGUAACAUACCAAACCUGCUCCUAACCUUAAAUGUCUGAAUGGUUAUAUAAGUAAUUAUAGUGAAAUUAAAGCUAUAAUGACUUGUACUCAAUGUUUCAAUUACUCUUUAAACACUCUCACAUUCCCAAAAUAGCCUCACCCCUGCGGUUGAAAUCUAAUCAUAAACUCGUUCUUAUAUAGUAUAAGGCUUGAAUGUUAGUAUAAUAAAUGAUUAAAAGGACUUUUAUGUAAUUCUAUCAAAAUACAAGCCUUAUUCAAUUGUACUUGAUACUCAACUUGGCACCAAACAUUGUAACAUACCCAACCUGCUCCUAACCUUAAAUGUCUGAAAGGUUAUAUAAGUAAUUAUAGUGAAAUUAAAGCUAUAAUGACUCGUACUCAAUGUUUCAAUUACUCUGUAAACAUUCUCACAUUCCCAAAAUAGCCUCACCCCUGCGGUUGAAAUCUAGUCCUAAACUCGUUCUUAUAUAGUAUAAGAAUAUGUAUUGCAAUCUUCGAGGCAAGUGGAGAUUAAUACUUUUAAUUAUGGGAAAAUCGUCUAAAACGUCCCUCACAUUUUGUAAAAUAACUUUUUUCGUCCAUCACUUUUAAAAGUGUAAUUUUAUAUCCCUUACAUAUUCACAUCGGACAAAUUUAGUCCCUAAUUAGAUUUUCGAUCAUUUUUUGGCCGGAAUCCAUCAUGUGCAAGGCACGUGAUCAUUUUUUAAGGGUAAAUUUGUCAAAUUAUGUUUUACAUAAUAUGAUCUAUAGUCCUCCAUAUUUUAUAAAAUAAAUUUUUUCGUCCCUCAUAUUUUAUAAAAUGAUUUUUUUCAUCCCUCACAUUUCACAAAAUAAAUUUCUCCAUCUCUCACAUUUCAAAAAAUGAAAUUUUCAUUUCUCACUAAUUAUGUGUGUGAAUACAUUUUUUUAAACACAUGUAUAUAUUUAUUUGAUUUUACUUAAUAAUAAUAGCAUAAACACAUGUAUGUAAUUUGGUCCAACUUGUGGGCUAUCUUCUCUUUUUGUAUGAUUAUGACUAAUAUUUACUAAUAGAACCUUAAUUUGCAUAUUCUUAUUGUAUUUUGACCGAAAAUAGCUUUAUUGGCCAAUUUGACAAUGAAUGCAAGAUUAUUUACUAGCUAAUACCAGAUGAAAUCAAAUGAUCACGUAUAAUAUAUGGUAUUCGUAUUGUUAAGUGAAAUCAAAUAGACACAUACAUAUAUUUAUGCUAUUCGUAUUAUUGAGCAAAAUCAAAUAGAUAUAUACAUGUGUUUAAACAAAAUGUAUUCACACAUAUUUUUUUUUUAGGGUUUCCCUCACAUACAUAAUUAGUGAGGGAUGAAAAUAUUCAUUUUUUGAAAUAUAAGGGAUGGAGAAAUUCAUUUUGUGAAAUGUGAGGGAUGAAAAAAUCAUUUUAUAAAAUAUGAGGGACGAAAAAAUUUGUUUUAUAAAAUGUAGAGGACUAUAGAUCAGAUUAUGUAAAAUAUAAUUUGAUAAAUUUACCCUUCAAAAAUGAUCACGUGCCUUGCACGUGAUGGAUUCCGGCCAAAAAAUGAUCGGAAAUCUAGUUAGGGAAAAAAUUUAACCGAUGUGAAUAUGUAAGGGACAUAAAAUUACACUUUUAAAAGUGAAGGACGAAAAAAGUCAUUUUACAAAAUGUGAGGGACGUUUUUUACGAUUUUCCCUUUAAUUAUUACAUUUCAAAAGCUUUUUUUAGUUGUUUUCAAAAUGAUGCAAUAUACCGGCAUGUUGACGCUUGUAAAAUAAUAGCCUUGCUUGAAAAACAAGUUUUUUGUCAAAUUUAUUUGCUAUAAGCUUUUUAAAAACUUUAGUCAUCUUCAAAAAAAAUUUUAAAAAUUUUAAACUAUACAUUUCAAAAAAUUUUAAAAAAAAACACACUUCAAAAUUUUUUUUAAAAACAUCUACAAUAAAUUACAGUAAAGUUUUAGACAAAUACCCAAAAAAUUCAUUUGCUAAACGGGGCCAAUGUCUACUUAUUUAGUUCUCGAGUUAUUGGGGGCAAAAGAAAAUGGAAACAAAGUUGAGGAGUAUUUGACCCCUUCGUUAAGUACUAUUUAUGUAUCAAUAUUAAUGAGAGUAUUGUUUAUACAUCGUAUCACAAAAAAAUGCUUUUAAUAUCUGAGACAAAAAAUAAAAGUUUUUCAAAUAAAUUUUUAUUCAAACAGAGUUUAAUACUUUUGGAAUGAAUACAUUUUAAAACUUUUUUUUAUAUGAUGCAAUAUCAGUAUGUAUAUAAGCCUAAUAUGAUAUUUAAUUAAUUUAGUGUUCGGAUAGACGGGGAGUAAAGGAAAGAUAAGCCAAAAAUAAGGAGUAAUUAACUUGUUUGACAAGCAUUGUUUAUGUAUGCAUUAAUGAAUUAUAUACCAAUUACUGCAUGGAAAAAAUACAUAUUUGCAUCAUGCAAGCCUUUUACAUGUGCUACGAGAAUUUAAACCUAAUAAUGAAGUAAAUCUAGAAGUGGUAUUUCUUUAUAGAGCAUUGCCAUAUUAUGCAAAAUAGAUUUCAAAGCCAAUAGUUUGAGGCUAGAAUUAACUUCAUUCGUGGAAGAGAUAACUUCGGUUGUGGAAGAAAGAAGCAAUAAGGAGUGAUAAUAAAAUGAGGGAAAUGAUAGGUUAGGUGGUUGGAGGGAGAAAGUGUAAAUAAUAGAUUUUGAAUUCAAGUUCUCCCACUUAUAUUAAAGUAUUCGUUUGGAUUGAGUGAAUAGGAGGAAAGAAAAUGAGAGAAAUUGAAAGAAUUUGAUUUUUGUUGUGUUGUAUGGUUUUUGAGGAGAAAAGGAAAGGGUCUAGUUGUUUUGUUGAGUUUAAAUGUAGGGAAAUGAAACUAAAUUAAUUGAAAGAAUUUAAAAUUUUUUAAAAGAUCAUUUUUUCCUAUCUUUUCUAGUAAAUUUAAAUAUAGAUUUUCUUUUUUCUUUUUCUUUUCUAUUUUUCCUUCUCUUUCUUUCUCCCUCUAUUACCACACAACCACCGCUACGCCGCCACCGCUAUCUCCAUCUUCCUCCUGUCACUUGCUACUAAUACACAUCACCACCCUCUCUCCCUCCUUCCUCCUCUUUCUCUUUCCCUUCUCCUUUCCCCUUCUUCUUCCCUUCCUCUCUCCCCUUUUCUGCCCCCUCUCCCUUUAUUCCUCUCUUCCCUGACAAUCAGAUCUGGUUGCUGAAGAGGAGAUCUAAUCGCUGCCAAAUGAGUUUAUGGAGAGAGUUAAAGGGCAAGGGAAUAGGAAACUUGGGCUUCCCUGCCCAAGAUACCGAGACAUGAUUCGGUGGGUGGUUUCUUGACACAUUAUGGUUGGAGUUCUGUAAUUGAGGGAUUUUGGUUUGAGUGUGCAUUAAUAAUGUUGCCAAUAGUCGUUGAUCAAAAAUUGAAUGUAAGGAUUCUAGUCGAUUCAAAUGUAGCUGUAGAAAUUCCUAGAGAUGAAAACGAUGAUGAUUCUUUCACUAGAGACUCGGUGACCCAGUUAGUUAAUAAAGUAAUGGUUUGUAAAGAUGAUUAGAUUUUCAGGAAUAAGGCAAAGGAGCUGAGUGUGUGUUUGGAGAUAAAGAUAUGCUUAGUAGAUACAUGAACGGUGUAGGUAUAUUAUUAACAGCUUCAUUGAGUAUCUUGAAAACCACAAGCCUCUUGGGAAAUUAGAUAGUAAAUUAUGAUUUUUCCUUUUUUGGUUGAAUUAUAAUUGUAACUUGAAUGAUUAGUUUUGUGAAAAGUUUUGUUGCAUUGAGCAAUAUAAUGUUAGUUGUCAUUGUUCAAUUGUAGGAGUGCAUAUACAUAUGAUGCCAUUAUUUCAACUUGUUCAGAGGUGGAGGCGAAGGAGGAAAAGAAAGUGAGAGGUAGGAAAGGAGGGAGAGAGGAGAAGCGGGUGAUGGGGCAUAGUAGUAAAAGGUGGAGGAUGGCGAGGAAAGAAGAAGACGGAGGAUGAAUAAUUUUUAUAAAAUUUUAAAAUUUUGUAAAAACACCGGUGAUAGUUAAGUCAAAGAAUUUGAGUAUCAAAAAUAAAAGGAAAAAUAAUAUAAAGGAAAAAAAAUUAAAUAAGAAUGAUAAUACAUCACUUGCAUGUGACAUACAGGUUACAUGUGAAAUUUCAGGAUAGUUUAAAAUAUAAGGGUGUUAUAUGGACAUUUCAAAAUCAUAAGGUGUGUGGUUAAUUUUCGGGAAAACCACAAAGCGGUUUUCCAUAUUUAACCCUACUAAUAACAAAAUGCAAAAUUACAAGUUUGACAUAUUUGCUUAAUGCCUUUUGAUUUUUAAAAACAAAAAUACGAUAAAUGAAUAUAAAAAGUUAUUGUGCUUUGAAACAAGAUAAAUAAGAAAAAAAAAGAGAAAACACCACACACCAAUUUUAUUUUAAAUUUCAAAGUGACAUGUGCAUUACAUGCAUCUAUUGAAGUUGUUUAAUACCCUAUUAUUCACCGUGAAGAUACUUUUUAUUUUUUAUUUUUUGUCAAUUGUCAUCCCUACUCCUACUCCUACUCUAACUACGGGGAGGCUCAACUGAGCCUACGAGGACCGAUGGGGAUAGAACCACCAUCAGACCAGACGAUGCAUAGUGCACCCGUCUGGAUUUGAAGCACAGCCACAAGAGUGGCAUUUCCCACCAAAGUUUUAAGGGUUUGGUGGUGGCCACCAGCUCAAGAGUUGGUGGUUUUUCACUGUGAAAAUACUUGCCAUAGUCUUCUAUUAAAUAGAGAAAAUACUCAAGGAGAAAAAGUCUGGUCUUAUUGCUUAUUUCACAAAAAAUUUCAAAGGUUUUUAAAAAAUGCACAUUUUCUUCUUCUCAUGUUUUGGCAAAAUUGCAAGCACCAGUGCACUAUAUUACUUUUCACACGAGAGAAAACAACAAAAGAAGCAAAAUAAAAAUUAGAUGAUAAAAAUUUGGAUAAGAAAAUUAACUUUUAACUUGUAUCAACAUUUAAAAUUCAAACAAGAGUAAUAUAAACAAAAACCAAAUGUAGGAAUAGUAAUUUUAGUAUAGGAGAUUAUUUGACAUCCUGAAGUCUUACAACACAAACAAGAGUAACAAAAUAAAAGCAAAAACAUGAAAAUACAUUUGCAUAAGGAAAGUAAUAUUAAAAUUAACUCAUUUUAAUGUCGUUAAAUGCUCAAAGAAAAGAAUAUAUAUGAAUUAGAGCUUAAUUUGGCAACAAAUAACUAACUUAGAUUACGACCGCUCCGCUUCACCGUGUGAGUCCAUCUGUAAAAGCAUCAUUUCAUCGUGUGAGUCCAUUUGUAAAAGCAUCACCGCAUAUGCAAGAUAUGAAAAUACACCUGUACAAGGAAAUAUUAUUAAGUUUAAAUUAUUCCCAUGUCGAUAAAUUUAUAAUGAAAAGAAUGUAAUUCAAUUAAAGUUUAAUUUAGUUAACAUGCACCUAAUUGUGAAAAUCCACACCCAAAAGCAUAGUCACGCCCAAAAUAUGAAAAUAAAUCUGUACAACAAAAUAUAACAUUUACCUUUAACUCAUGCACCUAAAAGCAUCAUUACUAUCCAUAACCAAAAUAUGACACUAAAUUUAUAUGAGGAAAAUAAUAUUGAUUUUAGCUCAUUGUCCUGCUAUUAAAUUCUUCAGCAGCAAAAGAAUGUUAGGAGUUGACUACAGCAUAAUUUAGCCAUCCAUUACUAAAAAAUGUUAUUGGAGUACAGCAAAAUUCUGGGACAAAGGAACCAAAACUAGUAGCUAGCUAUUCAGCUCCGGACCAUGUAUGUAAUUGUAUAUCCAAUGCCCAGAAACACCACUUGACUCAUCUUCGCAAUAUAAAAACCCCCCAACACCCACAGCCAGUAAAUCCCCACACCAACCACAAAGCUAAAGAACAAAAGUAGAAAACAGAAAACCUUUCGCCAAAAUCCAAUAUAAAAUAUAUUUUUCUGCUCUGCAUUUGUUUACAUUUGUUUCAUAAUUUUUUUGGCUUUUAAUUAUUGCAAUCUUUUUCUUUCUUUUCCUUUCUCUCUGUCUCCGCGAGUCUCUGUCUCUGUCGCUGUCGCUGUCGCUCUAUCAGAGAAGAGAAAGAACUCAAAGCCUCAGCCAUGGUUUCUACGAGAAGAAGCGGAUCCCUCCCGUCCAACACCAGCAACAAGAGAUCAUCUUCUUCCUCUGAUAAUAACCCUCCCUCUCCAAAGCGUCCCAAGGUACUCCCAAACAUUUCUCCCACCUUUUUUAUGAAUUUUUUUCCCAAGAGAGAGAUAAAGGAGAAAGAUAGACUGGGGGAGAGUGAAUUUUCUUUAGGGGGUUUACUGGAUUGAUUUGAUGGAUUUCUAUAGUUUUUGAAGUGUUUUAAGAAAUGGGUUCUUGUCAUUUCCUGAUUUUUCUGAGGGGUCCUUGAAAGUUUUGAUUUUGAUUGAUUUUUUUGGAUUGAAUUUUAGGGGGAAAGUAGCAAUGCAAAGGCAUCUGAGAAAUCAACUGCGGAGAAUUCUAAGGAAUUGUGCUCUACUGAUCCACCUGGAUUCACAGGCGGUUGUCCUCCGGCUACUGCAUGUGGCGGCGCUGAGGUUGUCAGUCACCCCACUAGAGUUGACCCUUCUGCUACUGUCCCUGCUGCAUCCCUUGCCACUCCUGUUGCUGAAGGUACCUAUAUCUGUAUUUCCUGUUCAUUUCUUGAAUAAGCUGUUGAGUUUUGCUGUCAGAAAUCGAUUAAUUUCUCGGUUUUCUUGCUACAAUAGGGACCACACCGGUUAUUUUGGACAAGACCAGAAACUCGUUUUCAUCAUGGAAGCAGCAUCCGGGGUAUGAAAUGCCAGCGCCUUGGUGUAGGUUACUAUCACAAUAUCAGCAGGUCAAUUCCUUUGCUUAGAAAUGUGCUUGUUUUUAAUUGUUGUUUUGAGCUCAAGUUUGAUUCUUUCUAUGCAACUUGUAAUGGAUGCACAAAAAAGAAGAAAAAUUUUUGAAUGAGAUUGAAUGGUCUGCAUUUGCUAUUCUUUUGCUGGAAAUUUAUAGAUAUGAAAAAGGUUCGGACUUUUAACUGACCAAUUGCCAUAUUUGGAUUUUUUUUGCAGAAUGCUACUGUCUCUGUCAAUCGUACACCUUUUUUGAUCGGACCAAGCAAGAAUGCCAAUCUUCUUAUCAGGGAUCAAAACGUUAGGUGUACAAUAAGGCUUUCAAAGGUACUACCUUCUAGUUUCAGUGGAGUAUUUAUUGCAUGGCUAAAAUUUCAGGUUGGAUAAGAUGAAUGUUCAUGUGUGGCUGUUAUUUAAAGAAGGGACUAGUUUGAGAUUACCUGGAUUGGGUGACUUUGUGAAAUGUAGAUAUAGAAGCUUGAGGUUUGUAUAAGAUUAAUUUCAUGAUAUUCAUGUUGCUCGGUUAUCCUUUUGCCUAGGCUAACAAAGAGCAUUUCCUCCUCUUUCUUGGGUAUCAAAACUAGCAGAGCCGCAAGGCAUUGUGUAGGAAUAUUAGAUUGAAUAGUAGACGAUCUUUCUCUUCUCAAAUAAUCUGAAUUUUGGACUGCCUUUUUUUGGUACAAACUAAUGCUGGUUUAACAUAUUUUGACUAACAAUCCCAUGAUUUUAUGAGACAAUUUUUGCUGAAUCCCAAGACUCUGGCUUUUGAAUCAAUUAAUCAAAGGAUGAGUUCUUUUAUAAAUUGGACAUAUUUUUUGUUCCACUAGGAUCCUUUUUGCGUAUUCCUUUAUUUCUGUGCACGAAAUCUGUAUUGCUUUACAUACUAGAUGAUAUUUGUUAUCUGUGGAUGAGCAGCGUGCAGGGAGUUCUGUAGCUCUGCUUGAGAGCCGAGGAAGCAAAGGAUCUGUGCAAGUCAAUGGAAAGACAAUAAAGAAAAAUACUAGUUGUGUUCUCAGCUCAGGGGAUGAAGUGGUCUUUGGUGAUACGGGAAACCAUGCUUAUGUAUCCUUUUUGCCUUUUGGGAUGAGAGCCUCCAUCAAGUCCAUUGUUUUGUCUUUUAGUAUUUCCACUUCUUAAAUUGCAUUUAUUUUUUGACAGUGUGGAAAAUCCUUAAUGUUUCUCUAAAUAGAUUUUUCAGCAACUUCCAUGUGAGCUUGUAGGGAAGACACCCUCAUCAGAUCUUCAAAGUAAUGUGGGAAAACUAUUGCAUGUUGAAAGACGGGCUGGGGAUGCUUCAAUUGUUGCUGGUGCUUCUAUAUUGGCUUCGCUUUCUAGUCUGCGGCAAGAUAUUUCACGCUUGAAGACUACAUCUCAGGCUAGUGGUAAAUCCUACCUGGGGAAUGACCUAGCUUCUUCUCCAAAUGCAAAUGAAGAUGAGCUUGAUGGCCUGGAAGUUGAUUCAGCUACCAAUGUUAGAGGAGAUAAUGCUACUGAAAGCGGGGCCAACAAUGCAAUCAUAGAGGCAGGCAAUGUAAACUUCUUCCUGGAAAUUUUCUUUUGAUUCAUCUAUGAGCCAAUUUACUUAUUACACAAAAUUGACCAAGGAAAUGUGAAAACAGAUAUUGGAUGAUAGAGAGUGGACAAGGGAUUCAAUGCCAGCAUCGACAUCAGGGAUGUCUUUACGAUGUGCAGUAUUUAGAGAAGAUAUUCAUGCUGGUAUAAUUGAUGGCCGUGACGUUGAAGUUUCAUUUGAUGACUUCCCAUAUUAUCUCAGGUUGGCAUUCUGACAUAUCAUAUGCCUGCAUUUCUUCAACGUACUAUAGGCUUGAAUUGUCAAUUUUCCUUAAUUUCUAGUUCUUUCUGCUGGAUUGCAUUCAGUCAUUCUUAUUUGUGUUGUUGAUAAAGCCUUGGAAGAUUCAGAAAUUACUCAUGUGAUUGUUAAGUAGGGGAGCUUGACAUGUUGGAUAAGAGGUAGCUUUUUAGAUGUUAGGGUGGUCGUGAUGUGGUUUUCUUAACCAAGGAGGCACAAGGGAACUUAUCCAUAUUAUUAUCCUUAAUGGGCUGUGAUGUUUCUACUAAGAAGGCCUAUAUCUUAUGCUUGGCAAUAGAAGGCAGCAUGGUUACAUGCUCAAAGGCUCCCAGAAGUAAUAUAGAAGGUUUCUACCAUUUAUAGGUGAAUCAGUUGUUUGUUCCAUCCCCCUGAAACACUCCGCACCCUCUGUCUGCUGCCUUUCAUAGCUUGCCUUGGCACUUUGAGUCUCCAUUCUACAAGUUAAAAUGUAUAUUUGUGGUUAUAUUGGGCAAAUGUAAUAUCAAAUAUCAUGUUUAAAUUGGGUUUGGUAAUCAAGCUUGGAGAAACUAGAGGAAAAAGAAUUUGAAGGAAUGUUGAUGUUGAUCUGUGUACACAAUAAUAUGCAUGACUGCUGAGGAAAAUUCUUGUUUAACAUGUAACCUGUUUUGAGCUUCAGUGAGCUUAGACUGGUGACACAGUUUCUCUGAAAAUGCCUUUGCUAGUGAUAAAUUAGCUUACAUGGCCUUCUGACUGGUGACGCUGUUUUGGUAAGAUAACAGUACUGGCUUAACAUAAGUGUCUUUGUUAUGUAGGGACAAAUGUUACUUGGAAUUUAAAAUUAAGCAGAAUGCUGGACAAAUUAUUAGACGGAAUAACAUAUAGAGGGGAAUUGCAUGAUUUCAUUUUUGUCCGUUACAAGUUUUAAAGAAUUCUGGAGCUGCACGUUCCUGAGUGAUCCGCUAGUGGUCAUUACUUUAUUUUUCUUAACCAUUCAAAGUUGGCAGUAAAGGCAUCUACUGUCCUUGUCACGCUUUUUUUUUUGGUUAUUUUUUGUUUGUUUUGCUAUGAUCCUUGUCAUGCUUGCAUCUAUAGUAUAAACAUAAAAGCUUUUGUAAAGGGACAGAAAUGACUUCUAAAUAAAGUAAGUUUUUCUAACCUGGUUCUAAGCUAGAAUCUGUUGUUUGAUAUUGAUUUAUGUUAAUAUACGAUUGCUUGCUGUCUAUUUCGUAUGGUGCAUGGGCUACUAAUUAAAACAAAUUUCACUUGCUGUUGACUCCAUUCUUCCAUCUAUCUUCGGCUUAUCUCUAAUUUGUGUUUAUGGUAAUUUUUUCAACAUGCAGUGAGAGUACAAAAAAUGUGCUCAUUGCAGCUACAUAUAUACAGCUGAAGCACAGGGAACAAAUUAAAUACACCUCUGAGCUUCCAACUGUGAAUCCAAGAAUCUUACUUUCUGGUCCUGCAGGUCUGUUACAAUAUUCUGCGGAUUAUUUUUGUUACAUUCUUCUUUCUCCUGCCACGUCAAAGUUUGUUUGUCAGCGUGGAACUUAUAUUUAUAUUUGCUUUAUCAGGAUCUGAAAUAUACCAGGAGAUGUUGGCCAAGGCACUUGCUCGUUAUUAUGGGGCUAAAUUGCUUAUAUUUGAUAGCCACUUGUUUUUGGGUGUAAGAUACAUUUAUUUGGAUAAGAUUUUUUUUUCGGGUUUGAUCUUUUCAUAAAUGAUUUCUACAGUUUGUUUUUCCAAUAUUUUUGCAUUAUCAGUUUAACUUUCAGGACACUGAAAGUUUUUUAUAGUAGUUAGUCCCUGAUAUCAUUCAUAUUGUUAUCAUCUGCAUUCUGAGAAGAUGCAUUUGGUGUCAUUGAUUAAACCUAUUUUGUUCUCUAGGGUUUGUCUUUUAAAGAAGCUGAACUACUGAAAGAGGGUUACAAUGUGGACAAAAUCUGCAAUAUUGUGAAAAAACUUUCUGGAACCUCUGACUUGACCAAGGGCAUCAUGGCUUCAUCUGGUGAAGUAGAUACAACACUUGGCUUGGAGUCCCAACUGAAGUCAGAGACCGACAAUUCACCUGCCUUAGCUGGGACAUCUAAGAAUCCAUCGUUUAGAAUUGGUAUAUUAGUUUAUGGUUUAUAAGUUAGUUCCAUAUUAAUGUGCUAUGCAAUACCAUGUGAAUUUAGGACUUAUUCUGUAUUUUUCACCUGACAUAACUGAAAAUCUGGAUUCCUAGGUGAUAAAGUGAGAUUUAUUGGUUCCACUUCUGGUAGCUUGUAUUCAUCUCCUACAAGGUAAAUUUAGCAUGUAAUUCAUCUCUAAAUUGUCUUCUGUUUUUUAGUAAAUGAGAAACAUUGUUGCUGUGAUUCAUUAUUAAGUUUAAGUGGAUUCCUUGAAUUGUCUGUCUUUAUUGGUGGUGUUUCUUACUAAUUGGUGUUCUGCUCACUGAGGUUUCUGUCUUUUCUGUUAGACUGGUGUCUUUGUUAGAUAUAUACUUGAUUGUAAUUAUAGAAGUUGCUCUGGUUGGAAAAACAACGCUGUUUAGAUCCGGAUAUUUUCCUCUUAUGUACAAUAUGAUUGUUUAUCUAAACGAACAUCCUCACAAUAAUGGUUUUAUUUUUUUAUGUUUUUUGGCUGCUUAGGGUCCUCUUUGUGAUUGCAGUGAACUUUUCUCUUCACAUGUGCCUGUCUCUAUAAAGCAGUGAUCUUCUUUUCCUUUUUGUGGUAAUGACUUUGUGGCUAAAUGAAAUAGCUGGCUGUCAAAGAUGACAAUUAGGGAAGCUAGACAUCAACUGGGUGUUCAAUUUACUCCAAAAGAAGCUCCACUAGAAUUUUCCAAGUUCAAGCCUAAUUCUUUGUUUUGCUAUGAACUCUGUCCACCACAUUUUUUCCUUUUCUUUCUCCUCUUCUGGCCUUCUGUUUGAUAUUUCUAGUGAUAAAAGUGCUCUAUAUCAUUUGAGUUUGAUACUGGAGUCUAAUCUAGGAUGAGUCUGAACAGUUCAAUUCAUAGUUUCUCAAUCUCAUGCUUGGUGAAUCAUUUUUUUCCAGGCUGUAGUCCUGUGAUAUCCCACAUCAGUGGGAUAGAGGUGCAUGACUUUCAAUAUCAGUUUGAGCCCAUGGGGUAUCUAACAACCUGGGUAAACCAUUUUGAGCCUGUGGAUUCUGUUCAAAGGUUGUUGGGCCACGUCUUGGGCCCUGGGCGUUACAAAUCCAAUAAUGUGUAGUUCUAUCAAGAUAUGUGAUGAGUUUAAUUAUACUGAUGCUGCAGCAAGCGGGAUUAAUAUGGAGUAUUUGGGGGUUUUAAUCUGGCUAUGUUAAGAAGAUAUGCUUUGUCACUCAUAUUAUAUGAAGUGAUGCUUUAGACAAUAUAAAUAUAUUCAAUAAAUAAUGACAAAGAAAGAUCGUAAGACUAUCAAUAAAGUAUGGUUUAUCUUAACAUGUAAAUGCAGCCUAGUAGAGUUCUGAAAAGUGAGGCCAAACUUUUCUGGACAUGUGGAGCCCAAAGAUUUUAAUUGUUGUCUUUCAAGCAGCGGAGAGAGUUUUUGUUGAAAAUGAAUUGUGUAAUUAUAAAAAUGUAAACCAGAGAGACAAAUUGGGUUCUUUAAACGCAAUGAAAAUUGUAUUUGUUGCAGAACUUAAUGGAUACUAGUGCAGCUAACAAUUAUAUAUUUUUUAUUUUUCUUUCCCUUUUUGUGCCUAGUUGGCUUCAAAAUUGUAAACCAUGAACUUACUAGCGUUUCUUGCAUCUCUGUUUCUAGUUCUAUAUUGCGUAAUUAUGUUGCUAUUGGUUUUCAAAUGAUUUGUCAUGAGUGUUUAUUUAUGCUAAUGCUGGUUCUUUCUCUGUCGUGUCGUUUUAAAGUUUCUACUGCAUGCAAUCUCUGCUCGUUUGCUGUAUAUGACCAUUAAUUCUUGGCCUAAUUUCUAGGGGCCCCGUUUUUGGAACGCGUGGGAAGGUUAUGUUGCCUUUUGAAGAUAAUCCCUUGUCAAAAAUUGGUGUAAGAUUUGAUAAACCUGUAACAGAUGGUGUUGACUUAGGAGGUCUUUGCGACAUGGGUCAUGGAUUCUUUUGCAAUGGUAUGUCCAACUAGAACUGAUACCCAUUAACAGAUGAACCCAAGUUUCAAUGUCUCCUGAUUUCCAUAAAAUGUGCGAGCUAGAUUUGGUUUUUGACAAUAUUCUUACCCUCUCUCUCUGUCUUUCUCUACUUAUAGCCAAUGAACUCCGUUUGGAAGCCACGGGCUCAGAAGAUCUAGACAGGUUACUGAUUAUCACAUUAUUUGAGGUAGGAUUAAAUGGAUAUCAAGUGAAUCAGAUUUUAGUAAUAUCGCUUUUUACAGUUUUUCAUCACUGAAAAUUGUCUGUGUUUUCUAGGCUGUCUCUAGUGAGAGCCGAAACUCCCCUUUCAUUUUGUUCAUGAAAGAUGCUGAGAAGUCUAUGGUGGGGAAUUCUGAGUCAUACUCGACUUUCAAGGCCAAGCUUGAGAAGCUUCCGAACAAUGUUGUUGUUAUUGGUUCACAUACGCAUACUGACAAUCGUAAGGAAAAGGUACUGAUGUCACUACGUGUACUGACUUUCAAUGGGCUGUAUUUUUUUAUCCAACUUGUUACUGUAAUGGCCUAUAUGUGCCAUAGUGCCUUGUUGAGGCAUUAUGCCGUUAAGAAGCAUGACAUCCGGAGUCAUUUUUUUUUCCCUUAGGUCAUGUGUUUUUUCCUGAGAAAACUAUGUGGGGCUAGCUGGGUUCACUCUUUUAAAGUCUUUUACAAUGAAUUUAAUUUUGAUAAGACAAAGAAGGUAGUAUAUGGGUGAGUUGUGUGGGAUCUUGAAAGUGACUUUUAGAAGAGGUUUUGAAGGUGUAUUAUGUACACAGAUGGUCGUUCUUUUGCCAUAGAUCAUAUCUCUUUCUGCCUUUCUAUUUCUUUUGUUGUUCUUGUGAUAAUUUGUAAUGUUGAAUGCGUAGGUAUAUUAACUUAAAUCACAUCUCUCUUGGGCAUUGAAUUACUUAGAAAUUCAAAGAAAUGAUAGAGGGUAGAAAUAGCAGAAGAAAAUUUGAGUUUAAUUUCUAGCAUUUCAGGCAUUAUGUUCAGAAAUUUAGUUCUGUUUAGAAAGGAUAUUUCCUGUCAUGGAGAACAUAAAAAAGGCACAUUACAUGACAGUUAAACAAUAAUUAAUCCCCUACAAUCAGGAACAGGAGUGCAAGUAACUGAUUAUUGGUUAUUUAAGCGCUUCUGUCUUAAAAAGUUUAUGCCUUAAAUUGUGGAAGCGAAGGACAUGCCGAACAAGUAGAAAUGAGGAAAUGAAACAAAAAUAAGAACAUGUUAAUGUUUACUAUAUAGGCUUUUAGCAAAUCCAUUCUUAAAACUUUCAUUUUCUCCAGUUGCUUCCUGGGAUUCCUUUGGACAUUUGGAGUGGGGCUGUAGAACAAAAACAAAUUGUUUCGUAGAUCCAUUCAAUUUCUGUCUGUAGUAUUGUGUUUUAAUUUGACUCAUGGUUGUUGCUUUGCUUCUUUUCAACUUUGGGAAUCAUUUUCCUUGCUGAUGCUAUAAGAGGAAAUGCUCUCUUACUUGCUUGGAAAGUUCUGGUAAAGGUAGUCCUUGUAAGCCUUGUAAAUUUGAGGUGUGUGAAAUGUUCUUAAUUAUUUCUGCCGCAAAGUUGAAAAAGAUAAGUAUCUAAACAGAGUAAGAAAUUGAUCUCAAAACAAUUGCAGAAUUGCAGUUUUGUUGACUUAAGUGAUGUUUAGUGGUGAGAAAGAGGGUAUCUUUCUAGAUGCCAAGGGUGCAUGAUCUCGUUGGACAAUAAACAUGUGUUUCAUUUGACGAUGUAUUCUCACUUACCUAUCAGCAAAAUAAAAUGAUUUUGAUUGCCUAAAGGCAGCCUUUAUUAUGACUGAUUUUAUUGGCUUGUGCGCAUGUGUCUCAGAGUUGAAACUUAAUUUACUUGCCUAGAUGAGUCAACAGUCUAUGCUUCUUUACUAGCUUAUAGUUGAGAAUGGGGCUUAACUUUUCUCUUUUUGUAUAUUCACCUUGAACCUCCUGCAGUCACAUCCUGGAGGUCUGCUUUUCACAAAAUUUGGGAGCAAUCAAACUGCUUUACUUGAUUUGGCGUUUCCGGUAAGAUGUACAUUUUUCAGAUUUGAAGCUUUGUGAAUGUAUCUUUGGCUUAUUAUAAUCAUUCAUUCAAAAUGUUGCCCGGGUUAGUUGAAGUUGCUUCAUGCUUUAAAUUGUAGUUUCUUUGGUCUGAUUGUUACUUUGCAUGUAAAGUGGAAUAACUUAAACUUUUUAAAAAUUAAAAGGAUUUGAGAUUUACAAAUAGAGCUUCUAUUGGAGGUUUUAUUAUUCCUGUCUCCCUUGUAAAGUUUUGAAUUCACUCUGAUGCAUACUUUCAGCAAUUAGUGUCCUAUUUUCUGAAUGCCAAUUUUGUAAUAAUUUAUUCCAUCUGCCAGAAAGGUAUGGGAAACUUAAAUCAUGGUAAUGCAAUAUAAAGGACAGAUAGUUUACUAGAGAAGCACCAAGUAUUUGUCACAUAAGCCACUGCUUGAUAAUUACCUCAUUUAGAGUGAGGUCUCAGUUGGCUUUUGUACCUCUUUUAUGGUGACAGUACUUCAAAGAAGAAUAAUAUUGGAUUUAUGGGAUUUUAUGGUGUCAAAGCCUUGUAAUGUACUGGUAAACAUGGAGAUCUAGAUUGGUUGUUGUUGAAACUUGAGAGUUCCUGUUUUGAUAACGUUUGUGUGUCUUGAACAAAUUUACUGGUGGUUUAGGGUCAGCUCAGUUGAGGAAUAGUGAUGCCCCAAUGAACGAAGUGGCUUGGGUUUUUCCUGUUGGUCUUUGAUAAUGCUUUCUAGUUUAUGCUUCGAGGGGAGAAGAUGUGUAGCAGAAAAGUCAGUUGCCUGAGUGCACCAGCAUAUUGUUGUCAUCCCAACUCUUUGGUUCUGGGAUACUGUUCUAUUGAAGAAGAAUGGAGAACAAAAAGCACGAGCCAAAGAAUAAUGAAAAGAGAACAAUGUAAAAGAGAUGAGAGAUGAAGAAAAUAGAAAAUCCUAAUUGUAGUAGCAUAAACAAGCCUAUUCUAGGUUUGCAUGAACACCAUAUAUCUGCAGAAGAACCAUUUUGCAACGUAAAAAAUCUUGAGGUACAAAAUGAAGUUAAGAUGGCAAAAAGAAACUUGGAUAUAUUUUACCAUUUAUUGGUGCAAUUUGUGCACUUAUGAAAGCAGGUUUUUUUUUUUUUUUUGCGUGCGCAUGUACGUCUAGCUAGUAAUUAGUAAACAAAUUGUACCCUACUAUUAAAUUAUCUGUAGAGAAGCUUUUUAGGAGAUGAUUAUUUGUUAGGCUGCUUUUUGGAAUUUUUGCUCCUUUGAUUUACAAUAGAUGUCUUUUGCAUUUCCUGAACCCUUUCUCUGUUUAAAGUUGAAACUCCACCUUUGGUUGUUAGUAUUGAUGUAUUAUGCAUUUGUGUUCCUUGGUCGAUGUUCCUACUAGUUGUCAUGUGCAUGCAAACUGAUCGUCAUUUUGGAACCCUGGGACUGGACUUUCCAUAAUUCCUUUCAUCUUGUGCUGCUUUAUAUAUAAUUUCUGAAUUGCUUGUGUGCACUUUUAUAUUAUAGGUUUUCUUUUUUUUUUUUUCCUACUAAAUAAGUGCUAUAUCUGAUGUAAAUGAAAAUUCUGAUAACCUCAGGAUAACUUUGGAAGGCUACAUGACAGAGGGAAGGAUGUUCCCAAGGCAACGAAGCUUCUGACAAAACUUUUCCCCAACAAAGUGACCAUUAACAUGCCUCAGGUCUGGGCCAAAACUUUAGAUAAUUCUUUUGCUUUUCAAUUUGUGUAAUCUGAUUGUGUGUAACCAUUGUAGGAUGAAGCUCUCCAAGCCAGUUGGAAGCAUCAAUUGGAGCGAGAUGCUGAAACCCUCAAAAUGAAAGCAAACUUGAACAACUUGCGAACAGUGAGAAAAUUUUCCAGGAUUAUAUAAAAUAUUUACCAACUGCUGCCUUGGCUCAUCAUAUCAUAAUUUUUGUGAAACUUCCUAUUGCAGAUAAGCUGUUUAAAUUCUAAAGCGUUAAACAAAAAAACUCAUGGUUUUGGUAAAUCUAGAGACCCAACUUUGUCUGGAUUUAUCUUGUUUUGAACCGGAUAUAGGAUCAUUGUUGUGAUGCUUAUGACACAUUGUCCAUCAUGGAUUCUCUGGCAGUUACUUUUCAAGCAAAGAACUAUUGCUCUCUCAGAAGUUUUUCAGAAGAUAUAAUUUUGUAGAUAUAGUUUUUCAGAAGUUUGGUUGUGAAACCUCCUGCAUCUUUUAAAAAUUAUAACUUCAAAUCCUUGGGAUCUGAAUGAUUAUUCAAAAUAAUUUGCACGACCAACCCAUGUUCCUAUGCGUAUACGUCUGUGUACAUUAAUGCAGUGCCUAUACAUUCACUAGUAUCAAAGUGUACAUAACUGAAAGAUAACAUUUACACUUUCUGCUUAUAUAUUAUAGAUUGUGGAUUUUUUACCAGCUAUCAACUUAACACAUAGUUAAUCUUGGCCACUAAUUCUUUGGAUUAAUAAUUGGUUCUGCCAUGAAUCCCUCUGAUGAAUUGUAAAUCUUCUUUUCUGUUUGGUCAAUAGCGUUUGAUGGAUCUCCUUUACACUUUCAAUAUGAAUAAAAUGGUUUCAUGAUUUGUAAAUAGUUUAUUAAUCUGUACAUAUAUAAUUCGUUAUAGUUGUUUAGUAGGUAUUGUUGGUGCUGCUAACUAAGGAUUAGCUGGAACCAUUGGAACCUAUACUAGACAAGGAGUUAUGUAUCUCCUUGUUUAUUUAAGUUUUGUUGGUUCUUAAUAUCCAAGCCUGGUAAUUGAAUCCAUCCAUUUCCAGCAAACCUCAGAUUUCAUCUUUGUACAAGUUGGAUGGUGAACUUGCAAUUAUUAGGUUGGGAGGAACUAGGAAUAUUUAAAUGCUGAUAUGGUGCCUUGGAACUUGUGAAAUCUUCCAAUUUAUUACUUUUUCCAGUCAAAAAACGAAAGAGUUACUAUCACCGAUUCAGUUGUUGCAGAUAAAUGGAUAAGAAAUUAAGAAAAUAAGCCAUGAAGAGUAACGUGGCCAAAUGAAUAAUGUUUCUGGUUUGCAUGGGCAGAUACUGCCCUUUCUUCAGGGAAAUGGAGAAAACAUGUUUAAGUUGAUUCUAAUACAGUGCAAUUCAGGCCAAUGAAAGUGGAAUCGCAUAAAUAAUUUAAUGUCUUAAUGCUUCAAUUGCUGCUUGAAUGCUGAAUAGUUUUUCUUCUAUUUUUCUUUUCAGAAAUCUCUGAAGCCUUGAAUAGAAUGUGAUAGAAAGUGUCUUGAGAUUCCCUGCUUGGUGUACUUGUCAACCUGCCUAAAACAGAUAUUAUUGUGCUAAGUGGCCAUGAUUUGCUAUUGAACAACAAAUUUCUCAUGGAUUGUUUGCAGCAUAUCAAAAUAUUAAUUGCCUGUCUGAUUAACAUUUGAGCGAUUUCAUUGGUGCCAAAAUCAGUCAUAGACGUAGUCUACUUUGGCAAAUUUUGGCAGUUUCCCCAUCUGCUCACAUCCCCCAACAUACUCAAACAUUGAUCUUUGUACCUUCUAAUCAUUAUAUUUUGUUUGCCUAUUUAAUAAGAUUUAUAGUUAACAGUCUUUUUGUGUGUAUAGGUUUUGACUCGGACUGGAUUGGACUGUGAUGGACUUGAGACACUGUGCAUCAAGGAUCAAACACUGACAAUAGAGAGUAUGUAUUUUGUUUAACCCUUUUAUCAGGAGAUGUAUUUAUGCAUAUAAUAGUCAAAGCAUGUUUGUGUUUAUCAACUUAUCAAUUGAGUCAGUUUAUUAUGAGGUUAAAUGUGUGUUAAAAUUGCAUCUUGGCUUGUUACUGAAGGUGCGGAGAAGAUAGUCGGAUGGGCAUUAAGCCAUCAUUUGAUGCAGAACACACAAAAUGAUUCGGAAUCCAGGCUUGCUUUUUCAACUGAGAGGUGACAGAAAUAUGACUUGCCUUUUCUAAUUUGUUGUUUGGGGCAUUGUAUUAUGGGGUGACACCAGUUUUGGCCAAUCUAGCAGCAUUCAGCAUGGGAUUGGAAUUCUACAAGCCAUCCAGAAUGAGUCCAAGAGCUUGAAAAAGUCACUCAAGGUAAUUGUUAUAUCAAACUCCUUGCAUGAGGGAAUAGGCCUGAAAAAACAAUCUCAUGAUGUGCUAAUAUUCUGUACUGCUCUCGCUGUGUACUCUUGAGAAGGUAUUCAUUUGGAAUUUUUGAACUAAAAUUUGUUCCUAUAAUAGGAUGUUGUGACCGAGAAUGAAUUUGAGAAGAGACUUCUAGCAGAUGUUAUACCUCCCAGUGAUAUUGGAGUGACGUUUGAUGAUAUUGGAGCACUAGAAAAUGUCAAGGACACACUGAAGGAGUUGGUGAUGCUUCCUUUACAAAGGCCUGAACUAUUCUGCAAGGGUCAAUUGACCAAGGUUUCAUUUGCAUACCCUUUAUUAGCCGUAAUUUUUAUUUGAAUGAGAAUUUGGGAGCUUAGUUUAGUUUUAGAUGUGAUUGACUCUGACUCUCUCUGUGUCACAUGCUGCGCAAUACUGACAGAGAGGUCAUAUUAUUUGUUAGUGUAUUUAACCCCCCCAGAAAUUCUUAGUUUGGUUCUGUAGAAGUUGUGAUUGAUGAACCAUAACAAUGUUUGAUUCAAGCUUUUCUUUAUUUGCAAGUUGCAGAAUACAACACUGUUUCUAUCUUCUGUUUGCCCUUUAUUUGUGAAUUAUGUGAAUACAAUAGUUUCUAUCUUCUGUUCUUUUUUUUUUUUGGGGCCUUCGGGGACAUUUUCAUUUUCAUUUUCAUUUCAUGAACUGCUGCUUCAUUGUUUCAUUUGCAGCCCUGCAAGGGUAUACUUCUAUUUGGGCCACCUGGUACAGGAAAAACUAUGCUUGCAAAGGCUGUUGCAACUGAAGCUGGUGCAAAUUUCAUCAAUAUUUCCAUGUCAAGCAUUACGUCGAAGGUUAAAACUAAAAUGCUCUACUUUUAUGGUUGUCAUUUUUGAUGAUUUUACUGUUGGAUAAUGCUUUCACUUUCAAUGUCCAAGCUGCAACUUGUAAUUUGCAACUACUGCAAUUUAUCAUUGUGCAUAUUAUAUCUUUAAUUGUUUCCACUUCUUUAAUUUUGCAGUGGUUUGGUGAGGGUGAGAAAUAUGUCAAGGCUGUCUUCUCAUUGGCUAGUAAAAUUGCACCAAGUGUUGUCUUUGUCGACGAAGUAGGCUACCAACAAAAGCUAUACGGUGCAUUUUUUCAAAUUUUAAGAAUUUGAUAACUUACUGAUCUUUUUCUAUUUUGAAUUGCUUGAAUAGGUUGACAGCAUGCUGGGGAGGAGGGAAAACCCUGGAGAACAUGAGGCUAUGCGUAAGAUGAAAAAUGAAUUUAUGGUCAACUGGGAUGGACUGCGAACAAAAGACACGGAACGAGUUCUCGUUCUUGCUGCUACAAACAGGCCUUUUGACCUGGAUGAAGCAGUUAUAAGAAGGCUUCCGCGCAGGUAAACUACUAAUCAUCUAUAGCUUCUGCAGUUUAUUGAUAUUGAUGAGCUUGUGGUGUUUCUGAUGCUUUGUGUACCUAGUAAUGAUUUUCCUUUUUUCUUUUUUUUUUUUUGCAGGUUGAUGGUCAAUUUGCCUGAUGCUCCUAACAGAGCAAAGAUUCUUAAAGUCAUAUUAGCCAAGGAAGAUUUGUCUCCUGAUGUUGAUCUGGAUGCAGUUGCAAAUAUGACUGAUGGAUAUUCCGGAAGUGACCUCAAGGUUUUUCUUUCUAUCCAGUUUAUGUAAUAAAAUCAGCACUUCAGUGUGAUGGUUACACGGGCUCUGAUAUGUUUAACUUGACACCUACGUAUUGCAGAAUCUAUGUGUUGCAGCUGCACAUAGGCCUAUUAGAGAGAUUUUGGAAAAGGAGAAAAAGGUUUGUCCUUUUCUGGUGAAGUUCAACCUUUUGGUUUGUCCUUUUUUGACUGGGUCUGGUGCAUUUCUCUAUCUUAUUGCUGCUAUAAACAUGAGAUUUUGUCCAGGCUUGUGCAAGAUACCUCUUGCCGACUUAGCUUAGGAACUUUUAGCGGUUCCUUUUAAAUUGCUUACACCAGAAAUUUCUUCCUGAUGUUGAAACUUGAUGCAGUAGCGGUUGACAUCAUAUUAUCUUAUUUCUGGUACAUGUUGCUAGGAUUCAUCAGUUUCCAGGAUUCAAUCCUGUUUCUUAGAUACAUUGAGUUAUGCUGGGGCCAUUUAGAUUUUGGGAAGUAAGAUAUGUUUGCUGAUCUUUUAAAAGAAAUUGAUUGGUUAUGGUCUGGUCACAGGAGCAUGCUGCUGCAUUGGCAGAAGGUAAACCUCCACCAGCUUUGAGCAGCAGCGGUGAUAUUCGGCCCUUGAACAUGGAAGACUUCAAGUUUGCUCAUGAAAGGGUGAGAUUAUCUCUAGAACUGUAACAUACAUAAUAACGUCUUGGUUGUGUUGUGAAGGGAUUUUCUAAGUCCACUCUGGUUAUAGGUUUGUGCUAGUGUUUCAUCGGAGUCCAUAAACAUGAAUGAGCUUCUACAGUGGAAUGAACUGUAUGGUGAAGGAGGUUCCAGAAGAAAGAAAUCCCUCAGCUACUUCAUGUGAAUGGCGUUCACCUGUACAAAUUGGUUCUUUCUAUUUCAAAUUUUUGUGCACCCGUGCUGGAUCCCAGGCAAAUUGUUGCUCUUGUGGAUCUGCAGUCCAGGGGCCUUGUUUGUACAAUGAAGUAUAGGUUUCUUAAAGUUAAUAGCUGUACACUCAAGUUAGUUUUGAGAGGCUACAAUGGUAGAUAGAGCUUCUUCCCUGUUUUAGAAUAUGGCUGCUAUGACUGUGCUGCCAUUAUUUUGUUUUGUUUCUCUCCCUUGCUGAAAGUUAGAAGAGGACUCCCCCUCCCCCCCGCGGGACCGAAAAAAAAUAUCGAGUUAUUUCUUUGACGGAAUUUGUCAAGAAAUCUGUUAAUUAUGUGCAUAGAUUCGUUGUUAUUCUUCAUUCUGAUAUUGGAAUCACAAUAAUAAGCAAUGUUUGUGGUUUCAACUGUCUUUUGUGACACUUAAAAAACUGUUUGAAUUCUUUACCUGUUGCAUGAGUUUGUGGAUCUCCUUCUGCUUCACAAGAAGGGAAAAAAAAUUACUUUGGUAGAUAGAAUUCACAGAUUAUGUGCUUACAUUGCAUGCAUCAAGAUUGUUCAUUCUCGAAAUGGAACAAAUACUUUCGAAUGCAUCAUUGUUUAGGCACUUAAUCCAUGCUUCAGGUUAAGGUUUUACAAGAGUUUACUAGUUGGUCUGAUUGGUCCCAUCUGUGUUUCUUUGGCUAUUGUACUAAUAUCUCUCCUUAACAGCUUCCUUGGUUUUAAAGCAAAGGAACUAGUUUUCUCCUCUCUCUCUUUUUUUCUUCCUCUCUUACUUCCAGACAAUAGGGGAAAUGUUCAUCUUAGAUAACUAAAAAUGGUUUUGAUAACAUGUUUAAAAUUGGCUUUAGAUUGCUGGUUGUGCUUGGCCUCAAGAUAUAUUAUUAUCUUUGGCGUAUAAGAAUGUAAAAUUACUCUUCACAGUGAUUUUUGUCUCUGUGGAACAUGAGCAAGUAAAAUGAAAGCCUACUCCCUUAGACCAAAAACCAUCGAUUACAUAUAAAGAAUUGUGGGCUGUUCAUCCUAUUUUGUGCAGAGGCACCAGUUGCUUGUUUCUUUUGUUCUUUUCUAAUUCAUGCAAUAAUUUUUUCGUAUAUACCAUUACUGUAGAAUUUAUGAAAAAAAGGUCUAAAAACACGUAAUUCAGCAUAAAGGAUGAACACGGUCCCCAAUUGCUCGAAAUUAUGAAACUAUGAACACGAUUUUUUUCUUUCAUAAAAAAGGAUGAUUUUCAUUUCAAACAUCAAACAUCAAACAUGGCACGUAGAAGCAUUGACUGCAUGGCUGGGUAUCACAGCAUCUUCUGUGCAAGUGCAAAGAAGCUGCAAGUUGGUGCUGCAAUGCUCCUAAUGAGAGCUAAACAAGCACGGGAGGCCUUGAAACCUAACAGUCAGCUGGGAAAAACCAAAAAAUGGCUGGUGAUGAGAACCAAAUGUAGAUGGCGCUACUAUUGGAAAUCCUGGUAAAUUAUGCAGGGGCCGGAGGCCUGAUUAGGGAUGAAUCAGGGUGCUAGUCGGGGAAUUUGCUAUGACAUGCUACCGACACAGCCGCAGAAAACUUUGGACACCAAUGAUUGGAUUGAAACUAGCUUGGCAAGCAAGGCAUAAACAAGAAGGCAGAUGAUACUAGAAUCAGAUCCACUCACAGGAUUCCAGUUGAUUGAACGAAAUCUAUCAGACAGCGUCUACUUUAACUCAUUCAAAUAAAGUACGUAAAUGUUUCAAUUUCUUGAAAGUUAGUGGAGCCAAUUACUUUCUGUGAAUAGUGGCAUCAAUUCACAUAACUACUACUACUAUUCAAUCACUUUCUGUAACUAGUUGACGAUUCUGGUCAUGGUUCAAAGCUGCAGUCGUGGGUCGGACUGUUCCACAUCAGUUUCGAUAUAUCGGUUGCGAUCUCAGCGAGAUCCAAAAUUUUGAAACAUUUAAUAUUCUAAAAAUUGAAAAAAAUAUGAUAAAGAAAAAUAAUACGAGUUGAUUCGGAAUGACUCAGGGCUAUUCGGCCUUUUCUAUUCGUCUCGGAGACGUCUCGGCCAAGUUCUCGGUGAUCCAUUAUCUCGGAAUCAUCGCAUCCUAACUAGUAUCGGAACAGAAGGCACCGUUUCGGUGACGACUCGGCCAAUUCUUUGAACCAUGAUUCUGGCAGAUUUUUGUUGAUGCAUCUACUGCAAUGCAACGUUAACUUGCUUCCUAUCUUAUGUACUAAUAUCCUAGCAAUUAUAUUGGUCAGCUUAUAUAGAGUUCACAAGUGAACCAUAAUUGGCUGAAGAUUAGGGUACCCCUUGAUGGUCAGCAUGAGGGCUAUUAAAUAACAAAACUAGCCAAACUCCAUCUCUACUUCUUGGCCGUUGUACCAAUCUAUCCUUACAUCUUCUUUGGACGAAAAGAAAAGUAAAGGAGAUACUCUGAUCAGUCUCAGAUAGUAUGGGAGUUUAAUGAAGCAAGAACCUUAAAAUGGAAGAUUUUUGGAAGGUUGUUCAAUACUUAAAAAAAUAUUGUUGUUUGGGGACCCAAACUUUCAUAUUGGUAGCCAAUUGGCUGGCUUUUAAGGAUUGGUUCAGGAAGCAUUUCUCUUGCUGGGAAGCAAGGAAUCAACUUAUUUGGGAAGAUAAGAAAGAUGAAAGCCUACCCCCUAAACAACAAACCACCCUCCAUCUUCAGACUUGCAAGGACGUUGGCCAUGUCGCAAAUUUUUGGUACCAAAAAUUUUGCUCAGAGGCAAUAGUUGUUUGUUUCCAUGCACUUUUUGGGUAGGUAGGUUGAUAGUAAUAUUUUGUUGCUUGGGAUCCAAACUUUGAUAUUGGUAGCCCAUUGGCUUUCAAGGAAUCAACUUAUUUGAUAUAUAGUAUGUGGGAACUGGGAAGCAGGGAAUCAACUUAUUCGGGAUGAUAAUAAAUUUUGUCCCCGUACCAUUUCAGACUGGAUAUUUACUAUAUGAUGCAAAUUAUCCUUGCAGACAAAGUCAAAUCACCACCAAAUUUAUUCUCGGAAUGACAAGUAAUCUGAACCAUCAUUUCAGAUUUUCUACGUAAAUUUAUUUACUUGCAUUAUAAGCAUAUUUUUUUUUAUUUUCAUCAUGUCAAAAAAAUGUUAUGAUACUUUUUUUUUUUCAAAAAAAUUAUCCUAAAUAAUCUCCUAUCCAAAUACAUUCAUUGUCUUUCUUGAUUGCGGUAUUUGUCUAACAUUCAAAAAAACCCGUCUUAUAUUAGACCUAUUCUUUAAGAUAAUUUGUCGGUCUCUAUUGAUGAUGUAAUUUUGUUAAAGGUAGAUAGGAUUCAGGUGUCCUAAUGCAUUUUAUCAUAUAAUGAAAUUCCCAGUUUCUUCAAAAAAAAAAAAAAAAAAAAGGAUGUUGGAGAGAAGUGGAGUGAAAACUAAAAGUCAAUUUAAAAAUGCUUCUCGAAAAUUCUAAUUUACCUUAAACAGAAAGAAAAAACUAAAAACAGAAACAAAUCAUAUUCUGCUAUUUCCUUUUGAGACUUUUCUUUUGUCUCACAACCUUACUUUUUCUCUUUUCCCUUUUCUUUUUAUUUUUUUUGAUUUUUCUCUUUUUCUCUCUUAAGCUCCCAAACUAGGCUGAAAUGUUUAUUAUGGGUUUGAUGACUUGUUUAAAAUUGGCGGCAUCUGUCUUUAAUUGUGCUUAACCUCAACGUAUUAUCCUCAACAUAAGAAUGUAAAAUUACUCUUCACGGUGAUUUUGGCUUUCUAAAACUCGAAUAAGAAAGAUGGAAGCCUAUCCCCCAAAACAACAAACCACCCUCGAUCUAAUGUACUUACAAGAAUGUUGGGCUGUUCAUCCCAUUAUUGACAUAAUCACAUACGGCCAUCCCGCAAAAUUUAUACCAAAAUUUUGCAAUGAGGCAAUAGUUGUUUGUUUCUUAUGUUGUUUUCCAAUUCAUGCACUUUUUGGUAGCCGUUCACUACAUUUAUCUAUGGGAUAAUUUCAUAAACCUCACAGGAGAUUUCUGACUAUUUCACUGGCUUCUCUCCAGAUUUUAAAAAUUAUGUUAACCUCCUUUAAAAUGUAUUAUUUUAUAACAUAUAUGUCCAACUAAUAAUUAAAAAGUGAUAUGAGAAGAGAGAAGAUAAUAUGAUUCCAUCAUUACCCGUUAUUUACUCAAUUGUUUAAUUAAUCUAAUACCAGUCUAAACAUUAAAGAAAAUACUAAAAUUUGCUAUUUAUCAUCAGGGAUUAAAUUACAUAUGGCAUCAAAAAUAGUAUAUCAUUAUAUAUAUAUAUAUAUAUAUAUAUAUAUAUAUAUAUAUAUAUAUAUAUAUAUAUAUAUAUUUAACAUAAUGUAAGAUUCAAAUUGCUUUUUUUUAGCUAUAAACUCACCGUCAAACAAGAUCAACAACAAAUGACCAAAAAAAUCUAUAACAAAAAUAUUACAAAGAGCAAAUUUUAAUACCAUAAAAAUCUUAGCAACUAACUUUAAUAUGUUGACAAAAAUAUUUAUGAUGUUAAAGUUUGUUAUAUGUAAUAUUUGGUUACAAAGUUUUUUGAUGAUUUGUUGUUGAUCGUGUUUGAUAAUGAAUAUGUAGCUGAAAAGAGUAAUUUGGUCUUAUAGUAAGUAAAUAUAUAAGAUGAUAUACUAUAUGUGAUUUAAUCCUUAAUGAUAAGCAGCAAAUUUUAGUAUUUUUUUUUAAUGUGUGGGUUAGUAUUAAAUUAAUUAAAUAAUAUAGUAGAUGAGGAGCAAUAAUAAAAUUAGAUUAAUAUUUUUUCUCUCCUAAUGUCACUAUUUAAUUGUUGAUUGGAUCUAAAUAUUACAAGAUAAUUAACCUCAAUGGUGAUUAGUAUCAUUUUUAAAACUUGAAAGGAGGCCAAUAAAAUAAUCAGAAAUCUCAGCAGAAGUUUUUGAAAUUAUCCCUUUAUCUAUUUAUCUGCGCAACUUGCAAAAGUCCUUUUCGCUGUUUUGGUCUUCAAUCUUUUCCUAGCGGGCUGUUUUUAUGUCGAAAUCAUACUAGGGUAGGUAAUUAUCCUUGUCCCCACCUUCUUAUAUCUUCUUUAUCCAAUAUUUAAUUGGCUUAGUAGAAAAUUUCAAUCUACUCCACUGCGUCCCAUCUUCUAAACACGACAAUUAAAAACUUCUUUGACCCCUUUUCCAAAGCUGGAAUACGAAAAAUAAUUGGUGGAGAGAUGCUAAUCAGAAUCCUAGUACAGGCUCCUUUGCUUCUUUUGCCGGAAGUUGGCUGCAGUAAUCAAAGUUUUCAGGCAUAAAAAAUCAAGAGUCUCCGGCUAUACCAAUUAAACCUACUAUUUUAUGCCCAUAGAGGAUUAAUCCAUUCCGGCUUCCGCCGUCCUCCCUAAUUAUUAUCACAAAAUAUGUCCACAACUUAAACCUUCUUGUCAAAAGUUCUCCAUGGCCAUAUACGUUGGGCAUGGAGAACCUGCUCUGGGGGUCCGGCGGUGCUUCAGUCACUUUCGAAUUUUUAAUUAACUCAUCUGAACUCAUCAUUUUUCUUUAAUGUAGAAUAGGAGCGGGUGUAGAAUAAAAAUGAUCGUGCCGACAAAAAAAAAAAAGAAAUAUACAGCACUUGGGGAUUUUUUCUAUUUUGGCAGCUGGCAAUGACCCUUAUCUCCAUUUGUCUCCAUCACCAUUUUAGACAGCAUAGCUGCUGAAAAUAUGUGGCAAGCGAUUGAAUUCUAACUUCAAAAGGUAAUGCUAACAUGAAACCAAGUGGUUGGGGCAGGUGUAGUACCAGUGAAGUCCUGGUACCAUCAUAACUUAAUGAAAAAACAUGGCAUUAAGUUUGGUCAGUUUGUACGAGCUGAAAAUGGCAUGGGAGUUAGAAUAAGAAUAGAAAAUUUUGAAGAAAAUCGUAGAUGACCUAUAGGCUUUGCAUGGCUGGAUAAUGACACGAUGACAUCGAACGGUUGACAGUAAAGUCAAACCUAACGGAAAGUCAAGCGACUGUGCAAUCUAACGGAAAGUCAAACGAUUUCAAUUCGAUUACAAAUGGUACAUUCAUUUACAACUUUAUAAAUCCAUCAAAUUCAUUUAUUUAUCUUUACUCUACUAAAAGCGUCAGUUGGAGUUGCUACAGUGCUCAUGGGCCGGUUAUAGCGUGAUUUGUGUGAGCUUGAGGGGCAGUUGGGUCUUUUGUCAUUCAGUGGUGAUGCCUUUUGUCGUUCAGUGGUGUGGGCGACAAGAGAAAGAACUGCUGCUUUUCUUGAACAAAGAAGAGACCGCCAUGUGCCUAGCUGUCUGCAUGGCUUUGGAACUUCGAUGCUGUCCGCGUGGCUUUGCUGCUGGCUGCAUGGCUUUGGCUUUGCUGGAAAUUUCCUGCUAUCCGCGUGGCUUUGUUGUGGGCGGUGAGUUUGUUGUGGGCGACAAGAGAAAGAACUGCUUCUUUUCUUCAACAAAAGAAAAGACCGCUAUGCGCCUAGCUGUCUGCAUGGCUUUGGAACUUCAAUGCUGUCCGCGUGGCUUUCUUGUGGCCGGUGAGUUUGCCGCUAUGAGCUGUCUGCAUAGAGGCAGGUUUUUGGGAAGUAAGUACUGGCGCAGGGAAUGGAGUUUUAAGAACAGACCUAUGCCCUUGGGCUGUUGAACAGAAUUCUUUAAAUAACCCCAUCUCCCACUAUAAAAGAAAGUCGUAUUCAAACUCCCCUUCACUUCCUCUUCCUUUGGUCGAGUGAGCUUUCGCUUCCUCUCCUAACUAAACACUAACUUCAAAAAAACAGCCAGUAAUCCUCUUUUACUUCAUUCCUUUCCAAGAGCUUCACUCCUGCCCGAAGACAUAUAGGAUUUGAGUGAGUUUUGAGCUUUUCUUACAGGAGAGCAUACGGCCUGGCAGGCCUUCCCUUUCCGCCGGAGGGACGUAACUUCUUAUUACAAAAAAGAAUCGGAUGCCGUGGAACGAAGGUCCUUGCUUGCUGGCUAGCGCUAUUGCCUUCCCUGCUUUAUAAACGUAAUGAAAUGGAACAAUGCCUUUUUGUUCAGUUUCACUCUUGUCAAUGACAGCCUCUAUCCUUUCUCUGGAUCUUAUGAGACUUAAUGCCCAACCAGUCUCGAUUUUGGGACUCUCCCCUAAUUUUCGCUACUUUGAACUUAUCUUGUGUUAAAGGCCCGAGGUAAACCUCCUUUCGCCCAAAGUAUGGACUACUUUACUAUCUAGGAAGUAGUAUAGUUCGACACGCGUUGAAGAACUCGUCUCCAUUAUGGAAUUAUAGAGAUGUGUGCUUUGAGAAGAGAAGAUUACACGUAGCUUAUCAAUUACGUGUGUCAUGCAAGCAGCAGCACAGGUGUUAGUAAUACGAGCAAUUGGAACGUGUGAUGUAUUGUGAGUAUGAGUAAAGCAGAGUUUUGUAGUGCUUCUAACAAUUAUUCGUCUAUAUUAUAUACCUGUUUUGUUUGAUGGAGUUGAAUUGUGUCUUGAGUGCGCUGAAGAGAAGCUUCCGAAAUCAACGAGAGUGAUUGAUAGUAGGGUCUGGUAUUCUUUUUGUUGAAGUUAGUACUGGUUUUUGCUUGUUUCUCAGAGGGUGUAUAAAUUUCUGAUAAGCGUGGGACUGGUUGGAAAAUGGAUGUCAGGUCAACAGGCAUAUUGGUGCUUUGGUGUCUGAAUCGUGCAAAGUUUUUCAUAGAUAUCUUUCCAUACUUUGUUCCAAAAUCGUAUAAAGAAGUUACUUUGUACUUGAUUGUUUGAAUUAUAUUUAGCCGCAUUAGUCUGUUGUGUACGUAAGCCAGGAGACAGUUUUGAUUGAUUAAAAAUAAAAUUCAAUGCAGUGCAGGAAGAUAUUAGGAAUUUAAUAUGCCACCAGAUAGGCCUGGGAAUUCGAGGAAAGAAUGAAUAUUUAACCUCAUGGAUCGUAAAAAUAAAAGUUUCUUUCUUGUUGCAGUAAUCAGAUUCUUUAACUGAAUCAAGAGAUACAGUGAUCAUAUUUGUAAAUACAAAAAUUGAGAAUCUGGCCUUCUCUAAUGUAAAAAUAAAUAUUUCUAUGCUGUCUUGGUGAUCAGAUUGUGCAAUAUUUAUACGUUUUUGCUUAACAGAUGCCAAGCUGUCUUGUUUUUCUGUGAAGUUUGAAUUUAAGUGAGAUAUCGAGCGAAUUUUUUUUUUUUUAUGCUCGACAAUUUUGAUCUCCUCACUUAGAAGAAGGCGAUCAUAUUGCUGGUUCAGAGCUCAAAAGGAAGCAUUGAUUGUUCAUCAUAUCAGUAUAUCAGAAAAUUGUUUGUCUGUUGCUUGAUUAAAAGAAAGGUUAUAGAUAACAUCUCGGAAAUUGCUGCAUUAAACUAAUUGGAAUCGUGAGAUCAGAUGGAGCUGCUGGAUGAUAUAAAGAAAAAAGAAAACGUGGGCUGGGGAAAGAAUCUAGAGUCUCUCGCAUCCUCAAGUGGUUAUCAAUAAGUUUAAUUUAGGAUUGAUCGUAUUAGAAAUUCUUUUUUAACUAUUUUAGAACAAUGAGUUGUUGAUUAAAACAAAAGAAUCGUGUUCAUCCUCGAAGAUGGUGCUGCGAAGGAUUAGCAGUAGGUCUGAUCUAUGACGACAUACAAAGUAGUAGCUUGGACGAAGUGUUUCAUAAGAAUACAAGUUCUGCAAUUAUCCUCUUUUGAAAGCAAAGGUUCAAUAUAGUCAUCAGAGCUGCGUUUUCGUACUUGAAUCACAUAGAAGAGCUACCUAUUGUCUUGUGGCUAGGAGAUGUCAACUGGAAGUUCAAGCUCGCGUUCCAGGCAUUGGGACAAUAUGUGCAAAACGUUAGAAACGUACUUGGCCCUAUAGCUUCGGGCGGGUACCUCCAUACCCAUACUCUGAGCACUUUACUAAUCUAUAGUUUCUCAUUACAAGUUUUUCUAGAGAAAGUUUUUCGCACAAAUCGUUAACACCAAACUACCUACUAUCAAUUACAUUAGAGUAACACAAAUUUGGGGCAACCUCGAGCGUAGCGCGAGGCUAGAAAAACUAGUAUAUAAAAAUAUAUGAGCUGAUACAAAUGGAAAAUGUUUGUUUAUUUGUUUUGCCUGGAAAGGCGAGACCGUCGAGGAAUGCUGAUAGUGCACCGAGAUGGGUGCUCGGACCUCAACGUGGAUGCCAGUGGGGAUCCGACAUUUGUUUAUUCAUGAGGCGGGCGGCGCCGGAGUCCGGGAUGUUGUCCGAUCCGAUCUCGACCUAAACGCCCAAAACAAAGCACACUUUCGAGAUUUGAAUAUAUUAAAAUGUAACAUAGGACGGAGUGUUUGUGUAUUACUGUAGUUGAGAGCCGCAGUACUCUAAUAAUUCUUGCAUGGCACGACUGAGGAAGUAGUGGUUUUUUUUUUUUUUUUUUUGAGUAAAAGACCCGGGGAAACUUGAAACCAUCAUUGUUGUAAAGUUUUUGGCCCCUAAAUCUAAAUUUUGUAUCCAAUUGACCCCUGAACAAUUAAAAGCACAUAUAAUUUAAGGAUUUAUGGUCAUUUUAAACAUAAGUCAAGCUGGAACCAAAGGGUAUUUUUGUCCAACCAUAAUCGAAGCAUACGUAAUCAUCUCUUGCUCUUGCCAGUUUCAUCUUCUUCUAUCUUAAAUUUUAGGUUUUCUCUUGGAACCGCAAGAUAAGAGAAGCGAGAAAGGAGAAAAUGAUAUUAUUUUUCUACUUAGUUUUUCUUCUAGACUAAAACCCAACUUGGUAGUUGGGAACACAGGAAGAAAAUGGAAAGAGAAGCUGUGUAUGAUAAGCAUCAUACUAGCACUACAGAGUUCAAAAACGUAGGACAAACCAACAAUAUAGUGCUGCAACUCUCAUAAUAGUACUCCUAUUCCAUCAAUCUACCCAUGGUUCACAUGUCAUUUCGGUGCCAACCUCACUCUACACAAAAGAUGCAUUACUUUCAUUGUAAUGUGGUAUUGCAAAAACUAGAUCUCUUUCUAUUCUCAUUUUGAUAUUUUUUUGCUUAGUUGGAUUAGGCGGGAUGAAGAAAAUGAUAGAGGCUGAGCAGUUUAGCACUAGUUGUUGCCAGCAGAAGAGGAGGAAAAGAGUGGUUAGUUUAGGAGUGAAAGUGGUCGUUUUGUCCAUCAUUUACUUGUGUGGGGUUAGUACUAGUAGUGGUGCGUGUUUUAUCUAACUAUCUUGCGUUGCUAGAUUGAUUGAUAUUUCCUCUUCUCCAGGUUUUUAAUUCUGGUCCCAAUGCUUCCAUUAUGGUUGAACAAAAAUACCCUUUAGUUUUGACUCAAUUUAUGUCUAAAAUGAUCAGAAGUUUUUAAUCUUUGCACUUUUAAUUAUUUAGGGCCAAUCGAAGAUAAAAUUUAGAUUAGGGACCAAAACUUGACAAUAACGAUAGUUUAGGAGCUCCUUAAGGUUUUUUUUUUAAAAACUUUUUUUUUCCCUCGGUCCCAUCAGAAAACACCUGAUUCUGAGGUCGCAACCGUAUCAUGAAAACUAGGAGGGGUCACCGCGCGAGUGCGCGGUGUGAAAUUUUAAUUUUGCCCAGUUAUUUUUAAUGUUGCCUAAUUAUUGCCCUCUAAACAAAAUUUCUAUGAAAAAAAAAUAUAAUGUUGCAAUUGUAAAAGAUUUAAACUAAAAAAAGUUACAAUUACAAUUUGUCAUACAGUGAAAACUUUGAUAUUUGUUCAUAGUCAAGGAAUUCAUAAUAAAUAGAUGAAACAAUAAAAUCAGUCUUGCAAAAUCUCGAAACAUGAAGUCUAACUUUCAUGAUUCCAAUAGAAACAUAUUUUAACGCAAACCAAAAACAAAAAUUUCUUUCAUUCGUACUCGUCCAAGUCCAAGAAGUGUAAUGAGCAACUUUGGAAAGAAACUACUGAAAGAAACCUGCCAUGUAUAACACCGAGAAAGUAAGAUAUAAUCCAUCAGAAUUAGUUUACUAUAUAACACCAAGUUAAAAAUAAAUCAAAAGAAUUGAAUGAUGCCACCAAGGACAGGACAAAUUCAGCAAACAACAGCACUUGUGGUUACUCAUAGUCCAAUACAAAAUUUGUUACCCUUGUUUUUUUCAACCCAUUUCACAAUCAGGAAAUUUUUUUCCAUUUUAUUUGGCUACAAUAAUUGUUGAAGUUGAUAGAUGAAAAGAUUCUUACACGCAAAGCUAAAGUAUCUUGCUUGCUAACUCGGGUUCUGACUGAAGUGAAAGUAUUGGAUGUGCUACAGUGUUAGAUCCUUAGAGAGUUAGAGAUGGUACGCAAGUAAACUUGUCCACAACUUGAUCAUGCAACUAUGCAAUUUACACAAAAUGCCAAUGGAAAAUAAGGUGAAAAUGGAAAUAAAAUGAUCAUGCAAUCAAAUAGGCCAGGAAGAUCCUAAAACGUUAAAAUGAAGCAGAAGCUUCUUCAGAGAGGAUGUCUUUAUAUUCUAAUGACAUACUCCAACCCAAAAGCCAAAAUACAUGCAGCUCUAAAUAAGGUUAUGUAAUUCGGCUUUUAUUUCCAGUAAGGUUCAUAUUACUCCAACACAGGCUAACCUAUUUCCUUAUUCCCUUUUUCUUUAUAAUGACAAAAGUCAAAUCUUGACAAAUCAUUGAAUAAGUCAUGUAGAUAGCAUACUUAGCAAAGCGAGCAUGAUGUUAUAGACUUUCAUCAAACAAAAUUGAUACAAAUUCCCAAAAAAAGGGGUCAAAGAUGGAAUUUCACUCACUUUAAGCAUUAAAAAGUUGUCCACAAAGUGUAAUAGUUGGCUGCAAAAAGGCGAAAAAUGACAAAGUCAUUACCAAAUAACUAAAACAGUUUAAUAGAAACAGUCAAUUGACACCAUCUUACACUAAAUUUCUUACCUGUAAAGAGUUGCUGGCAAUAUCAACUUGGAAAAAUGAAACUUUCUAAGAACAUGAAAAGGAAGUCAAACGAUAUUAUCUAAGGACACAAUCAUAAGUUCCAAUGCAAAAGCAUGAAAGCAUAGAAUAUUGGACCUCAAGUAAGGAUGAUUACUGAACGGAACUGUUUAAAAAAACCUUGACAACCUCUUAAUCUGUUAAUCAUGACUUCACUGGAAUUUUAGGGAAUACUUUAAUAAGAGGCAAAAUUUUCCACACUCCAUUUCUCAAACAGCUCUGAAAUAGAGAUAAAGAUAAUAGAAAAUUACAUUUGAAAAUUUAAUCAAGAGGAAAAAAGUAUACAUCGAACAGGAAUGGAGAAACAAGCAGAUUUCAGAGAGAAAGAAGGAAAAAUAAGAAUAGAAGGGAAUUUUGAGACAAAAGGCUCAAGUUCGAGAGGAUUGAGCUAUGAAAAAUUUUCAGAUGGGAAUUGAUUAGUCUUCUCGGUGUUGAACCCAAGAAAAAGAAUGACUGAAUAACAAACCAUACCUGUUAACACCAGCUAUUACUUCUUGAACGAGUGCACCAAAUGUAGCAUUUGAAGGACCUAAAACGCACAAACAAAACCACAUAAAAGUUGUUGCAUUCUGGAAAUAUAAGCUGGGCAAAUAGAUAUGAGACCCAAAUUCAUGCCUUAGUACAAGAAGUCACGAAUGAAGUGGAAGGGAGGCAUCCAACCUCUCAAGUGAAUACAAAGAUUUCUAGCCUCGAACACUUAUAAUCCAAAAUAAUACUCUCUGUCCCUUGGGUAUGGCGAAACCUUCAAGAUUUUAAUCCACUUUUAAUUUAAGAAAAAAAAGCCACUGAGAUGUCAAAGUGAAACACAAGAAAAAGAACGAUUGAAUAACAAAGCAUACCUGUUAACACUAGCUAUUACUUCUCGAAGGAGUGCAGAAGAGAGGUUUACCAAAUGCAGUGUUUGAAGAAGUACCUAAAUCCACAAACAAAACCACAUAAAAGUUUUGCAUUUUGGAAAUAUAAGCUACUAACAGAUGUAAGACUCAACAAUUCAGAAAUAUCCUAGAAGUUGUGUAUGAAUCAGAAUUGUUCACUUUAGUAAAGAAGCAUUUUUCAUGUGAGAUUUUAAAGUAAAUAAAACAGAAUAACAAAACCGCUAAACAAAAAUAGGUUACGGCACAUAAGUUGCCAUCUUUACAGACUAUUAAAUACAAAUUUAUACACAAUACACAUCAAGUAGUCAGGACAACCCAUCAUUUACAAGCAAUAAUAGGCCCCUAAAGAAUUAUAGAAUGACAGGUUUGACAAACAAAGCAAGGAAAGGGGAAAUGUAUAAACAACAGAUUAUCCCAAAACUAUAUGCAAGCAAAGGAAAAAGAAGAAUUUUAAGAAAUCCACAAUAUCAUAUAAAAAUAAACUGCAUUUGAUUAUGCAAGGAGCAAACAAAGAAUGGAAGGUUGUUAGAAAACAAAUUUAAGAAAAUAAAAUCAAGCUUCUAAAUGCAGAAAGAAUUCAGUUAAGAUUUAAGAAUAUUAUCGAAUCAAUUUGCCAAGUGGCCAGGGAAAAAUAUGCAUUUACAUGUGAAAAAAAAAGAGCAUAGAUUUCAAGUAAAAUGAGAAGGAAAAACCUGGAACAAGAAUAGUAAGUUGGUAUUAGGAAUAAACCGACAAAUUAAAAUGAUACAAAUAACUAAUUCUGAAAAACAAAAUUACAGAACACGGAGAGGCAAGCCAAACCGGGAGGUUCAGAAACCUACAAGAUUUCUCAAGCCUAGGGUCAGAGACCUUGUUUCAGGAUUUCCUGACUCGUUAGCAAUUUUUAUACCUCAGAAAUCAUAUACCCACCUUCCCUAUCAUUUAAGAGUCCUCAACAUUGUACACUUAAAAAAAAUAUGCUUGUAGUAAGAAACCAUUGAUAAUAAACCCAGCAGGGCCUCGUAUGGUUCUACUUUGACCAUCAAGUAAGAUCACUUACUUCAAAAUUUUUCAAUACAAAAAAAUUAUACUCCAAGCAAUUUAAACUACCAGUAAUUUAAAGCAAAUUUUACUAACAUAAGGAUAUUUGCACUAAAAAAAAUUCAUAGUUGAAACUUAAUUAAUCAAAAGUGGAUUUAACAGAUAAAAACGGACACACAGAGAGAGAGAGAGAGAGAGAGAACCCUUCUGGGAAGCUUUAACAGAUAACCCUAAACCCGUCAAAUUCUUCUCUUAAUUCUUCAUUUAUACCCUAACAAUAACAAAUAAACAAAUGAAAACACAAUAAAUCAAUUCAUACAAAUACAUAAAACGGCACUUCAAAUUUUUCUGAAAGAUCCUAGAUCUCUUAGAGCAUAUUAGUUAACAAAAAAAUACAAGAAAAUAGAAAGUGACAAUUUUUUCCCAUCUCUUUUUCACAAAAAAAAAAAAAACUACAAGUAGUCCUUAGGCAAGAAAAGGGGAAAAGGGGUUUCCUUUCUAAAGAGAAAGAGAGAAAAGUAAAAAACUCUGACUUUUGCUUCUCCAAAUAACCCAUAUAAAACAUCAAGACACGAGAUGGGGUUCCAAAAUUCUAACCAUAGGAUUUAUGCAAAAUCUUGACAGUAAGGGCUUCUUUGGAUCCCAAACUCUAACCGGAAAGCUCUUUAACAUAUACAUUCCAGAGGAUUCCACUACCAGUUGCUAAAAAAUCAGGCAAUAACUUAGGAAGGAAAUAGAAAAACAAAAGAGACGCACUUUAUAAAAAAGGGAAAAAAGUUACACAAACUCACUCUCAUCGGGAUGCUGGAUGCUAAAAGACAUUUCCAUUUUUUUUGCACCUGCAACAUCAAAGAUAUAUACAAAUUAAUAUUUAAAAAUUUGACUGCUAAACCCCCACACAAAAAAAGAUCCAAAAGGCUAGAGAGAGAAAGAAGAAGAGAUUAGAAACCCAAAAAAAAUCCCAACCAUCCUCGUUGUUGUUGUUGUGCUCAAUCAAAAUCGGAAAGAAAAAAAAAAUGACGAAGAAGAUGAGAGAGAUGAGGGGAUAAUUGAAGAGAAAGAUAAGGAAAAGAGGGACGAUGAUGAAAAAAUGAAAGAGAAAAAAAACCGUUUCUUAUUUUUUUCAAGCCAACAAACCUCCAAGCAAAAUAUGGAACCAUUUUUUUUCUUUAUCAUUCUUCUGGGUUAGAUUAGCUUAGAAGAUAAAGGUAAAGAAAACAUAAAAAUGAAGAGAAGAUGAGGGCUUUCUGAAGAAAGAAAAAGAAAGAGAUGAUGAUUGAGAGAGGCGAUUGACGGAGAGAGAGAGGAAAGAAAGUUCUUCUGAAGCAUCGAGCCCAAUGCGAGAGUCAAAUCUCACCAGAAACUCUGAUAACAGGUCAAUCUGUCCACUGGGUUUCUUCCCCCAACAAAAGAAAGAGAACACGUUAGUGGAUGACCAAAGUUGACGCCUAAGCCACAUUACCAACACACCCUUGUUAAAACAACGAACCUGUAUAGAUAGAAGGACGUAAAUAGGUGAAGGCCAAAGGGCUACAACCAUAAUAUUAACUAAUCUCCUAGCCCAACGACCCAUUACCAAAUAACAACUCUACUGUUUGUGACCAAACAAAGAAGCAACCGGGCACCACCAACGUCUGACAAGAUUCAUGUCAUCAGCAGCCAACCAAUCACCCGGCGACACACCCGAGGACGACCACACCGACGUCUGCUACGUUUUGAAAGACACAAAAACAGAAGAAGGAACAGACGACGUCGUUUGGUUUAUCGGGGGAAGAAGAAGAAAAGCCCUCAAACAAAUACAAGAGGGAGGACAACCAAGUGCCAUAUCACCUCCAGCCAAUCUCCAGUUGCCACAUGGGCGGACGACCAUCCUAGGUGGCAGGGGGCGGUUCCCUCUUUAUCUAUAUGGUUAAUGGUUAAUGAGGAAAAUGCAAAGUUCCUCGCUGGUUCCUCCCGUCUCCCCAUCUUCAGUUUUUGUCCGAUUGGAUCCACAGCUUUAAAGCCUUGCCUUCAAUCAAAAGUCCAAACAGUCCUUUUCUAGCCAUUGCUUCUUUCUUCGGGUUGAUUUUGCCAUUCCAACUUGCUUAUGUAGUAGUAGUACUUGAACUCCUACAAUCCUCAGUACUACGCACCCAAAAAUCACCAAACAUUUCCCCUCCAAAGUCUCCAAUCGGGACCAUUUUUCCUACGCCAAGCUAUCUAAACGUCAUUCUCUAUCAACCCAAUAAAACCCAACUGGAAAAAAAAAUGGUUGAAAGAACCCAUCCCAAGAAAAACUCCAAAAAAUUCUCUCCUUUCUUGAAUUUACAUCUCUUUUAAAGUAAAAACCCAAGAGUCUGCUGAUCAAUAAUGGCAGAGAACCCGUUGGCCAAUUCCAAUACUUCAAUCCAGAUCCCAUUGAUGGCAGAGAACCCAUUGCUAUCAUCAUCAGAUGAUCUAAAGGAUACAGUUCUAGACAAGCACUUAGCCAAGCUGGAAACUUUCCUCAGAGUUUUUGGGUUCUGCCAAGACUCUCCUUUUGGUUCAAUUUUGUCUUGGCUGGCUUUUGCUAUAUUUGCUAUUUUGCUUCCCCUUUGGUCUAUUUACUAUGCUUAUUGCUCAAACUGUGAGCAUUAUCAGAUCAGAACUUUUGAGCUUGAAAUUUUCACCUCUCAAGCUGUGGUGGCUGCCAUUUCUCUGCUCUGUAUUUCCCAUAAUCUGAGAAAACAUGGUGUCAGAAACCUCCUCUUUGUUGAUCGAUGCCAUGGAAACACGGCCCAGUUUAGACAGCAGUGCAUCCAAAAAAUCAAAGUAUGCUUCUUUUGUACUUUUUUUCUUUUUUUUUUUUCCAUUAUUCUUCAUUUCUAAUCUAAGAUUGCUGGGUUCCUUAAGAAUUUAUUCUUUAGUUUAUAUCGUAGUUUAGUGGGUAGAAAGGCAUAAGUGUUGAUAGGGAAGCGGACGAGGAAGACAGAACUUUAACUACUGAGCCACAUGCCUUUUUCUUUUGUGUUUGUACUUUAACUUUACCUUUUCUUUUUAAUGGAUACAUCAUAAAUCUCGUUUCCUAAAAUUUUCCUGAUCAGUACUUUUUUUUUAGGAAAAAAAUUUUGGGUUAUAUUUAUGGGGGUUUUGGCUUUUGUUGUAGAGUUAGUCUUAGCUGAGUAAUUAGGUUCCAAAUUUAUGAACAGGUCUUAUUUGAGGAGGUUUUAGAUAUAGCAGCACUAAAUUGUUUCUAUUUUAAUUCUCAUUAUUUGUGUAAUUCUUGUUAUGAUACUUUCUUUGACAGUUUUUUCUAAGAAAAAGGAAUUAACAAAAUUCCAAUAUUCCUGAUAUAUAGGUUAAUCUUUUAUUUCUUUCCUUUCGGUGUAUUACUUAAUUGUUUUCUAAUUGUUCUAGUAGUGGGUUGGGGGAGGGGGAGGUGUGGAAGAAGCACAGAGAGGGAUGGGGACUUGAAAUCCAUCCCUUUUUUAGAGAUUGCAAUUAAGGCCCUUAAUUACUGGACUAUAGUGGAUCAUUGUGUUGUUGAACAUAUAGACCUGAAGCAAUUAUGCUAAUGUCCUUUAUUUGCUUCCUUUGACUUUUUUAUAAGUUAUUUCUCUAUCAAUCUGUCCAAUGUCAGUUUUGAGUUGCAAAAUGGUCCUACGAGGUACGCAUAAAGUACCUUUUUUCUCCAUUUAGUAUGAUAAAUUUAUCCGUUCUUUGUGCUGGGUGUGCGGUGGCCUGGUGGGCUUGUGGGGUAGAACAAUGUGAUGUAGCCUACCAAGCUAUUUGUACACCAGCAGUCCCAAGAGUUCUCAUGGCCAUAGAAACCUACAAAUUCCAAAGGAAAUUAUAAGAGUGGCAUACUUACCGCUUUUGCAAUUUUACAGUGUAAUCCAGUUCAGUUACAAAUAUAUGGACAACAGCUCUUGAUAAGCGAGCAGAAAUGAAGAAAACAUAGGUUGAUUAAAACUUAGUAAUACUUUAGGAUACAUGUGUCUAACUAGCCAAAACUGAUUAAACAUCGCUAAAAUUCCACCUUCAAGUGACUUAACUUAUGUGGGUGAAAAGAACUCUCAUUGUAAGUUUGUGGUGUCCCACAAACACGUCUUUGAGUUUUUCUGUUAUGAAAGUGACUGCUGAGAAACUUAUGAGAUUUCUUUGUCCUAGGUUGAGUAAAUGCAGUCUUGAAAUUAUCAGUCAAUGCAAAAAAAAAAAAAGAAGGCUUUGUUAUAUCCAUGGUCAAACACGGCUAUUUUUGAAGAUUUCUUGUCCCACUAAACUUAGUUAUUAAAUGUUAAGUUUGGAAACAAUAUAUGGAUCUGGUGAUUUGUCUUAAUGAUGGUAAAUUACCCUUCUUGAUACUGCAUCGAGUUUACCUUCAUAUGAUGUUCACAUGAAGAUAGUUCUUUUGGCUAGUAUCAAAAACACACUUAUAAGCAGUACAUGUAAUGGGGGUUGUCACUGUAGUUGAAAUUGAUGCACCAACUAAUGCAGGAAUAUAUUUAUCUUUUUUCCUUUAAAACUCGAGAGCAGAGGUCUGUCUGCAGCUUUGCUAAAGAUUGUGGCCUACUUGGUUUAGCCCUUCAUCUUCUAUGAAGAUUCAGUAAUGGACCAUGUCCUUGUUGUGAAGCAUUCUUUUACUAAUUCUCUUGUUGGAAAAGAAUUUAGAAUUUUGACCAGUGGUGUUAAAAUCUAUGCAGUUGAUGGUUAAGAAAAGCAGUUAUCUGAUUUAACUUGGUAAAACUGUCAAAUGAAACUGUACUCCAGUUGGUAUAGAUGGUAAUUUUUUUUCAGGGUUUAAUGUUGCUUGUAUUUCUAGAACAGUGUAAUUAAUGGACAUCGUUCAUCGCAGGGGUCUGUGUUUAGGAAAUAGAAGCAUUUUAUUCAUUGCAGACAUCUAUUUUAGAAAUUAAAGAGAGUCAAAUGGGUUAACGUACAUGACUUUGCUUCAGCACCUGCCAUCAUGUUCAUAGCUGAUGUUCAUUUUCUGCUUAAGGUAUAGUGUCAGAGUAAGAGAAUGAAAUAAAAGAAAUAAAAAAUGAUAUUUACUACCUACAUAGCAAAAGGAAGUGGAUGGGAAGAUCUUUCCACCCUCCAAACUUGAUAACUUAUGCAUACAAAGCUUUACUUCUGAUCUACAAAUUUUAUUGUAAACAGGAGAAACUAUGAACUUGUGAAAGUAAAACAUUGAUAUCUUGUGCGUACUAGGCCAAUUCUACAUAAAUUUAUGUGUAUGAAGAAGUAUUCUCUUGCUUCCAGGAUACUAGUUUGCUAACCUGCUUUUGUGGACUUUUCUUAUUAGAUCUCGUUGUUCGCUGCAAUUUUUUGGUUGACCUUCUGAAUUGAACUGCAAACUUUUGAACUAACUUUUACUUUUGGUGGUGAUUGCCCAGGCCUUUUACCGUUCAGUGUUCACAUGGGUCAUCAUUUGCUUUGUCUUAAAGACUGCUCGUGAGGUCACUCGUGCCGUAUAUCUGCGUGAUAAACUUUGGUGGUGGCCUGUUGUGAUUCUGGUUGCUUCACUUGUUUCUUGGACUUACUCAACUAUACUCUUUCUGCUGGGGACGUCACUGUUCAAUUUGGUAGGGAAUUUCCAAGUGAUACACUUCGAGAAUUAUGGAAAGCUUUUAGAAAGGGAUCUGGAUCUUUCAGUUUACAUUGAAGAGCACGUGCGUCUUAAAUACAACUUAUCUAAAAUAAGUCACAGGUUUCGUGUUUUUCUUCUUAUGGAAUUCUUGGUUGUCACAGCCAGUCAAUUUGUAGCUCUAUUGCAGACAACGGGAAACAAAGGAAUAAUCAACUUCAUCAAUGGUGGUGAUUUUGCAGUAAGCCAUUGUAGCUAGAUUAUCUUAUGCUAUGGACAUGGUUUCAGUUUUUAGGUUUGUGUGCACAUUUGAGGAUUAUAUAUAUGGAAACUCGUUUACUUGAGGAAUAGUCUUUGUCAACUUGAUAAUAAUUGAGUGCUCAAAGGCAUUUUUUUCCAACUUUUAUUACGUGGAUGAUUUCUACAUAUUCUAAAAUAAAUGGAAAGGUUAACGACAUAUCACUGGAUGAUGUCCUUUUGCUACAUAUGAAAUCCCAAAACUGUUGAGGUGACAUCUCAAAGCAAUGGUUGCUUGAUUUUCCUGAUGACCAACUUUUUUUUUUGUGCAUUCCGUUAUAUUGAUCUUUUUCAUGAAUUAGGAAGUGGUUUGGACUCAUAAUUGUUGCUCUUUUAUGACUGUAGGUAUUAUCCAUUGUUCAGCUUGUUGGAAUAGUGCUUUGUCUAACUGCAGCUGCAAAGAUGUCACAUAGAGCUCAAGCUCUUGGAGCAGUUGCUAGUAGAUGGCAUAUGCUGGUUACAUUUAGUUCUAAUGAUGCUUGUGCAUCUGGCAUUUCAACCAACGGUGGAAACUUGGAAGUUCCCAAUCCCAUGGGUGCAUUGUCUGUUAACUAUUCAGAAAGUGAUUUGGAGUCCAGUGAUUUUGUGUCUUUGCCUCCUCGACUACCACUUACUCAGAUGACAUCAUAUCACAAAAGACAAGCCUUUGGUAUGUAAAUAUGUCAAUGAUGCUUAAUUUUUCUAAUUUUUUGGUGAAGGAUUUUAUUCUGCAUAGUCCCUAGCAGAUUAUUAAUACUCUAGAACGGCUUGAGUUGGAUAUUGCUUUCUGAAUAUUUAGCCUCGUUGAUAGGCUUACUCAUGUUAAUAAGUAAAAGAACUGGAAGCUCUUGUGUAUCAUUUAUCAUGUUAACUCGUCACUAACGCUGUCAAACUGGUAUAUGCAUUCUGGAACCAUGUUCUCUGUUGGCUGCAUUCCUUCACAUCAUCUAAGUUUGGUUUAGUCAUCUUUCAUUACUAUUAUUAUAAUGCUUGAACUUCUUUAUCUUGGCUGUUAUGUUGGGAAUGCAUUCAUUCACAAACUCAUUCUUAAUGUGGCCUAAUGAGCUGCCAAACACAGCUGGUGUUGAAUCGAAAGUCAAUUAUCAUUCCUUGACAUUUUUUUUAUUUGUUAUGAAUGUCAAUGUUAUGUUUUGAAUAAGAUUUUUGAGUUUCUAGUCUAUUUUCCUUGUGAUUUUGAGGUUUAAUAAACUUGGUCUUGCACAGGAAUUUCUACACAGUAAUGUUCCUCUUUCAUGCAGAUCCAGUGGGACAUCGGUUUCAGUUUUGGCUCCUUACAAUCUGUAGGAACCCUAAAAAUGUUUUGCAUUUCUAGUUUUUUCGUCGCAAAGCAUCUUAAUCACUUUGCGAAAAUGGGCUAGUAUGAGUCUUGUAGAAUGUCUAUUGAACCACACUAACAAAUGCCAGUUGCAUGUCCUGGAGACGCCUUAGCUGAGAACAAUGGAGGAUUAUGAAUAUACGGUUUGUGUUUUUUUGUUACUACAUUUUGCAUAUAUAGUUUACGCAGUCCCGGAUACUACAUUUUGUUUCUUAGCAUCGGCGAAAAUGCAGUUUAAGAUUCCACUGUGAUGUGCUAGGUAUGUAAGGGACUCGUUUUAGGAUUGCUUUUGAAAUCCAUAUCUGGCUCUUAUUAUGGAGCCUAAUAAGUUGGUCCAAUUUUGUCCUUGGCUUCUUAAAUCCCUGUUACCUUAGGAUCUCCAAUAAGGUUUUAAAAGACCUUUCCUUUGCUUCUGAAUUGUAUUUCCCGCUGAUUCCUUUCAACUAUAUGCUUUUUUGCAGUAUCAUAUGUGCAGUCUAGUGCUGGUGGGUUUACCAUUUUUGGUUGGAUAAUCGAUCGGCAUCUCUGCAACACAAUUUUCUUCAUCGAGCUCUCGCUCGCCUUCUUUGUACUGGGUAAGACCAUCACCAUUACCACCAGAUGAUGCAAAUGCCUCGAAAAAUCAUCGAUGAGAACUCGGCCCCCAAAUUUUUUUUCAUAGUUGGGGCAUCUGAUCAAGAUCACAUUAACAGGGGUGAACUUUUCUCUAAGAAGGAGACUUAUCUUUAUUGUACCUGAGAAUUUGGUCCUGCUUGAGCUUUGGAUCAUUAUAUUGAUGAAGAACCUUGGUGUAAUCAGACACGGUGAUUGUUUUGGUUGAAACUCGGCUAAAUUGUUGAAGUGUAUUACUAACUUUUUGUCUGAUAUGCCAAUUUUCAGUCAUGUAUCAAACUCUUCUGUUCCCUGAUUCAAAGAAUGGCAUUUAUGCUUUGACAAGCCCCUUUUGUUCAUUUCUUGUUAAUAUUUCUAGGUUCAAUUAUAUUGGGUACAAUUUCAACAUUUAUUCCGGCAAGAGCAAGUUCAGUCAUCGACAUUUCUGUCGUCACAUCUUUUGACUGCCAUUAGACCUUUAAUGCAAGUAUUUGAAGAAAAAAAAAAAAGGGUAAAAAACAAAAAAGUCUCCCGUGGUAAACAUAAUAUACAGAAAAGCUUUUCAUAGUUUUAAAAUGUACUACACGACACCUCAUACUUUGAACUAAAUUGUAAAAUUGAUAGAAUUCGUUAAACUUAACGGAAAUGGAAGAAAUGAUCAAAAUGCCUUGAUAUAAUUAAGCAAAGACAGCUCAAAAAAAUCAUUUGUUUUAUUCUCUAGAUAGAGAGAAUUGAGAUAUAAAAAUUAGGUAUAAAAUUUUUUUUUUAGAUUCCAAUAAGUUAUUUCAGUUAAGUUUAACGGAUUCUAUCACCUUUAAAAUUUAGUUUAAAGUAUGAAUUGUCAUGUCGUACGUUUUGAAAUCACGGGGGUUUUUCUGUAUAUUAGGUUUUCCACAGAAGACUUUUUUGUUUUGUACAAAAAAAAAAAAGGAUCUUUAAUGCAAGUUUUGCUUCCACAUUAAUCUCCGAAUAAGUUCAGUUAAUGUUUUUUAAGUGGAACGUGUUGAAUUCAAAGUCUUGUACUUGUAAUUUCUCGUAUCUGAUCAUUCUAUUCAAUCCUUUUAUUAGGUCCAGUUAAAUUGACAUCGUAGAUAUAUUAAUUAAAUAUGCCUUAGCUCUAAAAUGUUGGUUGAUGUAGUUCUCCAAUUUGUCUGCUUAUCGUGUGUAAAUUUGACGAUUAGUGCGUCAUACAUGCUUAAAUAUUAACUUAUGGAUAUCAACUUGUUCAGUUUUUGGUUUAGCAUAUAAUAAUAGGACGAGUUUUACCUAAACCCUUGAGUAUCAUUCUUGUUAUUUUUUUCAAUAAAAAAACCAUAAUCUCAUUGUAAUAAACUUGCUUUAAUCUCAUUGCAAUAGACAAACAUGAAAAUCAAUUGAUACAUAUUAUCUCAUUGUAUCAUUCUUGUUAUUUUUUCAAUAAAAAAACAUAAUCUCAUUAUAAUAAACCUACUUUAAUGACAGAAAAUACACCAAACGUGUAACAGACAAAUAUUCUUGUUAUUUGUAAUUCACUCAUUUAAGAAAAUAAUGCUUGUGGUAUCUUGAAUAUGUGUACUAUGUAUACCUGGCAAUUGGCCAAUUAAUAUUGGAUUUUCAUUUAAAUGGGUUACAUCCAGCCUGCCUAACUUUAGAUUGGGUUAAUUUUGGAUUGGGUCAUAUUUGGUCAUCUCAAAUCCAUGACCUAAAUAUGACCCAAUAUAUUAAUUAAUAGAUUUUGAUACAUAAACUCUCUCAAAUAUAUUUUUACAUACAAAAAAAAAAAAAAAAAUUUCGCACACAAACACAUUUUCGCAUAAAUAGAGAUAUUUUCACACACUAAAACACUCACAGAUAUAAACGCACACUCACUUUUUAAGUUCUUUUGAAAUAUUUUACUUUUACACAUAUAAACACUCUAAAAUACACAUGUAUGAUAUGGGAGGAGAUGGGGGGUGUUGGCGUGGGUUAGUGGUGUCAGAAAUGGAUUUAGCGUAGCGUGUAUUUUGCAGUAAAAUGAAGAAGGAAUCGUGUUACGAAAGCAAGGGUAGUUGCCUUGAUCAAUUAAGAUUUCUUUAAUGUCCAACUCUGCUCUAGUCUAUCAGAACUGAGAAUGGGAAUGGCGUACUAGUACAACAAGAAGUGGGAAAGACACACAUAUGAUAUGGUGUCUACAAAUUUUUUCUGAUUGUUAUUUUUUCCCAAAAUUUUUUUUAUGUUUUAUUGAACGCAUUUUUUAAUUAUUUUGUUAUUAUAUAUAUUAAAUUGCUACAGUAUAUUUUUUUAUAAAAUUUUCAAAAAAUAACAAUUCAAAUGGGCUUAUAUUUAAUUGCAUGACAAAAGAAGAAGUAGCGAAAAAUAUUAUGGAAGUAAAAGGAGUGAAAUGCUCUGAAUAUAGGAAAAUAAUAAAACGUCGACGCAUGCAAGUAAGUAUUAUAUCUAAAUAGCUCAUAUAAUUUUGUUAAGUAUCCAUACAUGGAGGCCCUGUUUUGACUCAUGUCUCAUGCUGUUUCAUGAACAAUGAAAUAUUUCUGUACCUCAUAUCCCAUCCCUUAUAAUUUGUUUAUUUGUUUUUUUAACUUAAGCUGAGUAAUGGGUGCACAACACAAAUACCAAAACCGUCCAAAAUAUAUGUGGAUUUUUAUUAUCCAAUCCAAAAUUGACCCAAUACCCAACUUACCCAACUCAACCUCUCAAAUUAGUGGAUGAGUUUGGUGAGUUGUUGGAUUUUGGAUAUAAUUGCGAGGUCUAGUGCUAUGUUAUUGAAGAUAUGUUGUUUGUCCUUCAUUAAAAAAAAAAAAGAUAUGUUGUUUGUCGCAUAAUGCAAGUGAUUAGUGACUAAGUUCCACAAUUAAUAACUUUUACACAAAUUAACAAACGGGUCAAGGAUAAUGGGGAAAGCCACUGUAAUGGCACGCAUAAAAUACUCCCUGAGAAUAAAGAGAGAGCUAUUGCAGAUAAGUAUUGCAGACUAUUUGGCAUUUGCAGAUAAGUAUUGCAGACAUGGAUGACAUCAAAGCUCCAAAUUUGCUGCCCAUGAUUGACCCCAGUAAUCCGCCAAAGCACGCCUUCCAAAGUAGGCACAAGCAUUAAAACUUAUAUCCCAUAUCCUUGAAUUUAUCAAGAACACUGCCUGCUGAAUCAUCCUUUAUGGCUUUAUCAUCAGCUGACGCGCAUAAUUCCAUGAAUUCUCCUGUAUUUGGCCAUGAAGAUGACACCCCUUGUAGCUAUCCUUUGCUUCCCCGCAACCCAAUUCGUCAACCACCAUUAUUUAAAGGUGACGUGCCGUUUCUUGAAUUCUGCUACAGUUGUUCACUCUUUAAAACUAAUUGUACUCGAGGGGUUUGAGGAAAGGUCUGUGAGAGAAAAAUGCUGGGAUUUGGGACUUUCAGCCACUCUAUUUCCGCCGGAAGAAAAACUGGAAUGGGCUAUGAUGUACCAGAGGGUGUGGACAUUCGGGGUAGAUAUGAUCCUGAGUUUGCCAGAAUUCUUACCAGGGAUGCUUUGCAAUUUGUUGCUGAUUUGCAAAGGGAGUUUAGGAACCAUAUUAAGUAUGCCAUGGAGUGCAGGAAAGAGGCAAAGAUGAGGUAUAACAACGGGGCAGUGCCAGGAUUUGAUCCAGCUACCAAGUCUGUGAGGGAUGCUGAGUGGGCUUGUGCACCAGUGCCCCCAGCUGUUGCUGAUAGGAGGGUUGAGAUAACAGGGCCAGUUGAGAGGAAAAUGAUCAUCAAUGCACUCAACUCUGGGGCCAAGGUUUUCAUGGUAAGUUUAGAAAUUUCGAACUUCGGAUUUUCAUAUCUCUGACAUUGCGUAAUGAUGGACACUGAAAUUAUUUGUUCAAAAUUCGGAAACUCAGCUUUUGGCCGUAGUACUUAUCUUUUGACGUUAAUAUGGUCUCUGUAUUCUAGAAGAAUGAAAGUGUGCAAAUUAGAAUUGAUUGGACUAUAGUUGUAAAAUCAGACUUACGCAUUUAUCAAUCUCAGUUAUCAAUCCAUCCUUGAUUAAUUCAACUAUCUUCAAAUCCUCAGGCUGAUUUUGAGGAUGCAUUGUCACCAAGUUGGGAGAAUCUUAUGAGCGGACAAGUGAACUUGAAAGAUGCUGUUAAUGGAACUAUAAGCUUUCAUGACCAAGCUAGAAAUAGAGCUUACAAGCUCAAUGAGCACACUGCUAAGCUUUUUGUCCGCCCAAGAGGUUGGCACUUACCCGAGGAUCAUAUAUUAAUUGAUGGUGAACCUGCCACUGGUUGCCUAGUUGACUUCGGCCUCUAUUUUUUCCACAAUUAUGCUGCAUUUAGGCAGAACCAGGGUGAAGGAUGUGGUCCUUUCCUUUAUCUCCCAAAGAUGGAGCAUUCAAGGUACUUGUGUCUUCUUUCUCUAUGCUUUCUUCAGCAUUUGAGUAUUGAUGUUAGGAGUAGGACUUAAAAAAUUGAGAUUUUACGUCUUCUUGGACAGUUCCAUGGUCAUGCUUAUUUCACUGCUCUGCCAAUAGCUUCAAUAUUACUGGCAAUGCAAUGCUUCAGAUAUUUUGAGCUUUAAGAUUAAAUAGAGUAUUUGCUUCUCCAUAUUUUGUUGUCCGCCAUAAUAAUCAUAUUCAGUCCUUUUUUUUUUUUUUUUUUGAGGUUCUCCAAUUGUUGACAUUAAUAGCUUGCGUUGUUAUGGCUGUGAAAGCUUCAUACCCCAUGCCAAAUUAGUGGUUUAAUGUUUUUUUGUUGCAAGUGUCAUGAUCUUGAAUCAACUUGUCAACUUUUAAAGGAUGCAUUUGUAAAGCAUGCAUCUAAUAUCAGCGAGUAUGUCCAACUCUUACAAGUAGUUAAUUUGCCAACAGAGAAGCUAGGAUAUGGAACAAUGUAUUUGAGAAGGCAGAGAAAAUGGCUGGUAUUCAAAGAGGAAGCAUUAGAGCUACUGUUCUAAUUGAGACACUUCCUGCUGUCUUUCAAAUGGAUGAAAUCCUGUAUGAACUGAGAGAUCACUCUGUUGGCUUGAACUGUGGAAGAUGGGAUUAUAUAUUCAGUUAUGUCAAGACCUUCCAGGCUCAUCCCGAUAGACUGCUGCCAGAUAGGGUCCUAGUAGGAAUGGCUCAGCACUUCAUGGAAAGUUACUGUGAUCUACUGAUCAGGACCUGUCACAGGCGCAGUGUGCAUGCCAUGGGAGGAAUGGUAAGUGACAGCAUUCUUGGAAUAGGUGCAAUAAGCAAAUUUGAAUUAAAAGAAAAAAAACUAUGGAACGUAUUCUAAAUUAAGACUAUUGAGUUCUGAAACGUGGAAUAGAAGUUAGAAUUUGUAAUAUGUAGCAGAAGCCUGCCUUUCUUUUCUGUCUUAAUAAUUGAAACAGUUACAUUAUACUACCUCAUAAAAUUCAUAUAUUUUGAACAGGCAGCUCAAAUUCCAAUUAGAGAUGACCCAGCGGCAAAUGAAGCAGCAUUGGAGCUAGUAAGGAAGGACAAACUGAGAGAGGUGAAGGCAGGGCAUGAUGGUACUUGGGCCGCACACCCAGGGCUGAUCCCCACAUGUAUGGAAGUUUUUACCAACUACAUGGGCAAUGCUCCAAACCAAAUUGAAACUAUGAAGCGAGGAGAUGCUGCUGUCAUAACUGAGGAAGACCUCUUACAGAUACCAAGAGGAGUUCGAACCAUGGAAGGCCUUCGUCUCAAUACCCGAGUUGGCAUCCAGUAUUUGGCUGCAUGGCUAACUGGAACUGGCUCAGUCCCUCUUUACAAUCUUAUGGAGGAUGCUGCAACCGCUGAGAUAAGCAGAGUCCAGAACUGGCAAUGGUUGAAGUAUGGAGUUGAAUUGGAUGGUGACGGCCUAGGUGUGAAGGUGACCGUGGACCUCUUUGGGAGGGUUGUCGAGGAAGAAAUGGCUAGGAUCGAGAGAGAAGUUGGAAAAGAUAAAUUCAAGACAGGCAAGUACAAAGAGGCUUGCAGGAUAUUCACACAGCAAUGCACAGCUCCAGCAUUGGAUGACUUUCUGACUCUAAAUGCCUACAGCCACAUUGUCAUGCAUCAUCCUGAUGGAUCUUCCAGGCUCUAAAUGGUUCCUUCCUUCGUUCCCCUAAUACCUGGAAUAUCAUGUUGUAUUGUCUAAAAAUUUCCUUGUUUCUUAUGUUUCGAUUGGAAAGUGUUCUGCUGCUACUUUUGAGUUCAUAUUAUCUGCAAUAUAAUAAAUUUGAGUCUGUUUGGGUGUGGAUUUAAUCUCCAAACACUAUUUAGUUUGCAUUAUAAGCACAUUUUUCAAUUAGCUUUUAACAUUCUCGGCCAUCCUUUUGUCUCAAAUAUAUCAUACCACAAAAAUUGCUGAAGUGUAAUUCAUGUUAUUUUUCCAAGUAUCUCCUGUCGAAACAUACCCCGACAACUGGGGUUGAAUGAUAUGUCCAUGUGGACAACUGAAUUAGUUUCUUUUGUAGCUAGAACUUCUGUGAUUGGUCAUUAUCGAAGCCUAACUAAUAUUGUAGAAGCUAAUUGACGCAUUCGAGGAUAUCAUAGUUGAAUGCUCUCGACAUGGCUGGAACCAGAAAUAUCACGUUUCGUGCAGAACACCUGGCAGGCAAAGGAAAUCCGAAAUCACCAAUUAAUCUUUUUCUGCAAUUAAUCUUUUUCUUCCCAAACAGGUUCUUUAUUAAUAAUCAAAUAGUCUGUAUUUGUAGUACUUGAGACUUGUACAUAGCUGGGAUUCAAGAUGGGUAAAUGCCAAUAUAGUCACUUUGCCAUAUGAUGAAAGUUCUGCAAUUGGAAUUCUGAAGCUUCAUGAAAGGAAGAAAGAAUUUUUAUAUAGAUAAAUGCUUCAGUUUUGAGUAACAAGCGUUUCGUCUUGAAUGGGCACCGGAAAGCAAGCACGAGUGAAGUCAGAGAUCAUUGAGAAGUUUUUGUAGUGGUUAAUGAUUGCAUAACUCCAAAUGAUAGCAUGUCUAGUUGAUGGUGUGUGUAUUCAUAUGCAUCCAUAUGUAAGACAAAGUGGCAGCAUCAAACUGAAAUUUUGAUGUCGAUGGUUUCCUUUAAAACUGCAAUGCUGGAGCAAGAGCUAUUGACGAUGGAGUGGAAUGUUGCUGGAAUUUUAUCGUUGCUAUGAACAGGGCUGCAAACGAAUCUCGCAAGCGCUCCCCCGAGUGAGUCGAUUCGGUCAAAACUCGACUUGAUCUCAGUUAACAUUGAACUCGAAUCGAAUUUGAAUUGAUCAAGUCGAGCUCAAAUUUGAGCCGUUUGUUUGUAUAUAAAUAUAUAUAUAUAUGUGUGUGUGUGUGUAUUAUUUAUCAAGAAAAUAUUACUAUUUUAUUUAUUUUUUAAAAAUAAAAUAAUUUAUUUUAUAUUUUUUAAACUUGAACUCGAGUUUGAUUUGACUCAAAUUUGAAGUCGAACUCGAGUUUAGUAAAAUUGUGACUCGAUAAGAUUAGGUCAUAUUUUGAUCCAAUUCGACUAAUUUACAGCUUUAACUAUAAACAUUCAAACGUGAUUUUCUCUAAAAACAUUCAAACUUCUGAUCUGGCAACUUAAGUUUGAUGCCGUUGAAAAAAAAAAUAUUUAAAACUUUCUUUGUUUGGCUUGAUAAUCUUUGCAGCUGAACAAGAGAUUUUUCCUGAAUUUUAAAUUUUUACUUCCUCCAACUAACUAUGAAUUUCCCAGUCAAUUGAGGAGGGCCAUUUGGUGGCCAGCCCCCUCAGUCACAUCAUGGCUCCGCCCAUUCAAUCAUUCAGGCAUCUAACGGGGCCAAUAAAACGGUAGUUGGUCUUGUAGAAAGGUGGGACCUUUGCCAUUGCAGGCCAUGGUUGAUGUCUUCCAAGUGUGCGCUAGUGAUUGUACAUUUGUGAACAUAUUUUCUUUUGGAGUGACAGUUUGAGUAAAAGCAUUAUUGGACCACAUCAAUUGUUGCUCAAUCAAAGUUUUCAGGUAACAAUUGUAGAGGUUCCCAAUCCUCAUUUUAGCAUGACAGCAAAUUUAUGGUACAUUUUUUUUUUCUUUUUGGGAUAAUUUCAGAAACUUUCCUAGAGGUUUUUUGACAAUUGCAGCCACCUCUCUUGAGGUUUGAAAAGUUACGAAACCUCUCCUAAAAGGUAUGUCUUAAUAACAAUUGAUGAUGUAAGAAAAAAAAAAGGUAAUUCAAUAAAUAUUCAAUAUUAACCCUCUUUGAUAUGUAAAACAAAUUAAAUACUAAAAGGUCAACUAUCACCAUUGUUUGUUGGAUGAAAAUUUCAAGUUAGAUUUUUACAAGAAAAAUUAAGUCAUGUUUUGAAAGUUUUCUUUUCUGGUACUACUUCGGACAUUUUUUUUGGUUAAUUAAUUUUUAAAAAUACUUGUUUUAACAAAUGCCUCCCCAAUCGGUUGGUCGACUUUUAAAUUGAUAAAUCCAGUCACAAAAAUUUGAAAAUGAAGAAUAAUGCACUAGAUUAUAUGACGUUAGAGUUUUAGAAUAAAUAAGUAUUACCAAAAAAAGAAUUUUUAUUUUUCUCUUUUAAACUCAUUUUCACUUAAAAAAUUUGUAUAGUUUACGAAAGCUAUCACAGCUCUUUCAUAGCACCAAGGGAGGUAACUAUCAUUUUUCAAACCUUGGGGAAAGUGGCCAUGAUUAUCAGAAACUUCAAGGGGGGUUUUCGACAUUAUCCCUUGUUUUUUUUUUUUUUUUGUUGGGGGGUCCUAAAAAGAUUAAGAGGAGGGAACCCUACUUACUGAAUCCUCAUUUUAAUGCAAACUUUUUUUUUGUUUUGGGGUCCCAAAAGGUGAAAUAGGAGGAGAAGGUUACACCAUUUCAAGGUCAGAGCAGACUACUAACACAUUUUUUAAUAAUUUAUGGUAAUUCUUUCAAUCACCUAUCAAUGAAAUUAAGAAUAAGCCGAAUCAAUCCGGUCAGCAAUGCAGGCGAAUAGAAACAACAAUAAUGUUGUGAAACCAGAAAAUUCACAUCCCACGUUAUUUACUCAGUCAUUAAUUGGAUAUCGAAAUUUACAAGUUUGAAUCCAAUUUCAAAUAUAUCCUGAGACAAUAAAAAGACAAUUGCACAAAUUUUUCACACCGUGGCAAGCAAAUUUCCAUAGACAGUGACGGUAAAGGCUUUUUAUGUGCAAAUUUUUUAUGUUACACACACUCAUAUUCUCAAUGAUUUUUUUUUAUGUGCAAAACUUGAGGCACAGUAGACAUAAGACACUGAACUAACAAAUGUAGACACUAAGGUUGUGUUUGGAUUGCAUUUUCCGUCAUUUUUCAUAGAAAAAAUACUGUAGCGAUUUGAUAUAUGUGAGGGAAAAAAGUGAUAGGGAAAUGUGAUCACGAAAAACGAUAAUAUUUUCCGACAGAAACAAGCAAUCCAAGCAUGGCCUAAGUUCAUGACACUGAACCAUUAAUUGCACUCUGCAAUUGCUAACUGUAAUUGCAGAGGAUUUGGAUCCAUUUCCUCAAACAACAUGAGAGGGUUGUAUUCUAUUCGUUGAAACACAACUCUAGCCUCUUUCCCUGCCCCUUAGGAUAUUAACUUGUAACCAUGUACAUAUGUGUUGGAUAUACCUUUUUUUUUUUUCUAUUAUUGACAUAUUUUUUAAUUACUUUUUUCUCCUAAUCACUUUAACUUUUAAUUGACGUACAUAAUAUCAUAGAAAGUGCUAUCAUGUUCUUGCGGAAUUUUUUUUUCCCAAAUGAUCAUCAAUCCAAACAAACCUGCACGUGAAUCAAAAUCUAAUGUUACAUGUUUCGCUAAAAUAAAUAAUAAAAAUAAAUUUUCCAAACAAUCAAACUUUUCGAUUUGGAGCCAUUAGAAGACAACUAAUAUAUUCAAAAAUUUCUAAUAACUAUGCACAUUAAAUAUAAGUAUGCUAGUAAAACAACAAACUAACUACUCUUUAAAAAUGAAAACAAGCCUAUAAUUUAGAACAGAUCCCUUUUCAUAGUUCAUAGAAAGGGGAAAAUGAAUUUAUUGUUAUAUUUAUUGGAUCCGUCAAGAUUGUCGAGGCUUAGACCCACAACUUACAUCUUGAAGGGAUGGUGCUGUAAUCAAUUGAACUACAAUUCCAGUGAAAAAAGAAACAUUGCAGACAAUUUUAUUCUUUUUAUCUCCGCAUCGAGUCUUUAUGAAAAAUAAAUAGGAGUUAUACCCUCCCCUCGUGUGAUAGAUUGGAUUGGGGGAAAAAAAAAAAGUGAACCUAUAUGUUUGUGAUGCGACGGAGUAAGAGAUUGGAAAAGAUUGGACGUGGGGCUGGAGCGAUUGUCAGAACAACCGCUCGGGAAGGUGUAACACCAUUUGUAUAUGGUAUAAUAUCAUCUGUACAAGAUGUAACAAUUGAACAACAGCGAGUAAAAUAAAAUAACAUUUUUGUGGGUUUCACACGACGUGAAAAUCGAGUUAUAAAACGUGAUCUGAAUCACACAAAUUUUUAAGGCUUCAUCCAGAUCGUGAACUGCCUGGACGGUCGUCCGAAGAGAUUGUAGUUUCACAGGGACUACCAUAGAGUAUGGCAACGGUAAAAAGUCAAGUACAACCUGACACAUUGCAUCAUUCUAGCCCAUUCCUUCCAACUUCUUUUGUAGCACGAAACGGCUAAGGUCUAACUUUUCCCAUCCUCACUUGAGUCAAUUCAACUAGAACAAUUUACCAAGUCAAUUCGUUACCCUUUUUUUCCCUCCAUCUGGGCACAGUUCAUUGCAUUCCACCUAUGUUAUAUGGUCCUUGUCCUAAUACACAUUUCGUAAGUGUGACGAUAAUGUUAAUGACACUUCAUCUCUUUUAUAAUUUUUUACAAAAGAAUUUGAAGAAGUACGUAGUGGAAGGUCAAUUUUUUUUUUUUUUUAAUCGUGAGCCUUUUAACAAUAACUUAUAAUUGACUGUUCUUUAGAAUUUACUAGUUGUUCCAUUUUGAUUGGUCCAUCGGCUUCCAUCUUUUGCAUGUUGAUAGCUUGUAUUCUUUUAUUAUAUGGUUUCAAUUCCUAUUUUUAUCGAUAAAAGAGAGAGAAAGAUUUGCAGUUGCUACAUGGGCUCAACAAUUUUAAGACAAAAUAUGAACCACAGAGUUCAAGAGUUGACUCACGCAAAAGCGUUGCACUUAAUAAAAACAGACUGGGUUGGUUUGGAUAAGAGGUUAUUUAAAAUAUUUAUUUGAAAUAAUUACUGUAAUAUUUUUUUGUGAUAUAAUGUAUAUGAAAUAAAAAAAAAUUAAAAAUUAUGUGUAUAAUACAAGCAAAACAAAAUUUAAUAUUUUUUUUAUAAAAAAAAUCUUGUAAUCCAAACACACCUAGAUACGGUUAAGGAGGCAGAGAAAAUUAGGAAUAUACCGGACUAGUAUCAAUAAUGAUCCCCAAAGGAAAACAAUUUCAUUGACCGACAAUUCACAGUUUCUUUUUUUCUUUUUUUUUAGUGUAAACAGAAAAACUCGAACCCGAGACUCUUGCUUACACUCCCCUCAACGUACCACGCAACCCAUCCCUCCCCUCACAGUUUCAUUCUCUUUUUCGAGUAUAACAUUUUAUCCUUUCGAGUACAACAUUUUUACAAAUGAUCCGUAUUAAUAGAGGAAUAGGGGAUGGAAAUAAACCACCUCCAAAAAUAUUUUAAGAAAUUCGGGACUCAAAAUAAUUCGGAAAAAAUUAAAUCACUCUUUAAAAUAUUUUAAGAAAUUCUGGACACGAAAUAUAGGUCAUACAAGAGGUUUCGAAUCUCUUACCUACGCCCUCUUCUAGCUCAGUUGGCUAAUUAGCAGUUUCUUGGUUCGAUUGUGAAACGUCUUCUUUCUUUUCAUUUCUUUUUCUCUUUGUUUGUUUAGCUUGAACCGGAAAAAAAAAAAAAAAAGAAAUUUAGUACAUCGAUGCAUCAUUUGAACAGCAAAAAGAGACACAAUAUACUAAUACAGACCAGAUCUACCUAUAUUCCAGGGAAAAGACAUCAUGAUGUGAUAGUAUUAAUACUAGUUUAAUAGGUAGAUUAAGCAAAAAAAAAAAAUCUAAAAUUGAUCAUCAUCAAGAAUCAGCUAAGUAUCAAUAAUGAAUCAAGUUUAAGCUGAAAAUCACUACCAGAUCAAUAGUCAAAACUAGUGAGUAGCCAUUCUUCUUGUUUAUUAUAUGUUCUUCUUGAUGGAAGGUUUUACACACACCAUAAAAAACACACACAAAACAGGAAGAGUGUUCAAAAUCAGUUCUUGGUAGCAGAUCCCAUUAAACACACAGAGUCAAGCCAAGAAGAUCUUCUUGGACUUCUUUGUCGCACCAAACAGUUGAUACAACCAGCUUCGAUGUUGUUCCACAAAAAACCAAAAAUAGUUCACUAAAACAAACACAAGGAACAAAAAACUAUUAACAAUUUCAACUGUUUGUAUCGAUCCUUGCAUGUCCUCGUCUCUCUUUUUCUGCAUUAAAAACUCAAAAUAUUACUGCAUCUUCAUUAGUUUUUCUCUUUUUUUUUUUUUUUGGGGGCCCGAUUUUCAGCGACCGAGUGAAAGAGCAGCCUUAGUAUCCAAUCUCCAUGCAAAGCCAUGGCCACCACCCAGCCUCCACACAUCACAGGGAAGAGUCAGGGAACUAUUCCCCUUUCCGCACGUGACCACCCUCACCCUGCACGUGAACGCCGGCCAGUUCUUUGGUGGCAGCUCAAAUCCUUCCUUCAUUACCAGCCAGACCACCACCUCCUCCUCCGAAGACUCCGCCUCCUCCUGGCCCACGACCAUCGCCCGGUACGCCCUGUUAACCCAAACUACCCUACUCAAGCCCUCCGUUACAAACCCCGGACACGUGUCCCGAUCUAGAUUCAUCACCUUCUCCUGGUCCGUACACCCCAGUCCACCACCGUACACAUCAUCCAACCCAACCCCAGCCCAUGUUUCAGUUACGCAUUCCACCCUCACCCACGUCCCUACCACCCUGACCGGCUGGCCCACCAUCCCACCCGCCUUCCCAUCCCGCUGGGACGACCCUCCACCCUCAAAAUUCAACCACAUAGGGACUUUUGCUUUCUCAACGCCGCGAGAAGAAGCCCCUCUUGCCGGACGCUCCUGGGACGAAGAGGAAGACCGUUGAUUCGUCUCAGGAGUCUCCGGCAACAAAGGUAGAGUGACAACUCCAACCCCAACACCGUCUCCACCGGAUACCGAUCCCGUGGAGACGGUGCUUCUACCGCCAUUCAUCGACUCGUUUUCUUCGGGAGAAGGGGAUUUUCUCUUCCUUGCGCACCUACACUUCUUUGUCACCCCACCAUUACUACAACUAGCAAUCUUCUUCUUACCACUAUUUCUUACGUACCUUCUUUUUGCUCGGCCGGUUUUCACGUAAGCUCCACUGUUCUCCGCCGUAGAGCUCCCCGAACACGAGCUGUUUGUAGCCGGCUUCGGCGCGAUCGGCCGAUAUCUCAGCAUUAUACGGUCCAUCUUCGACAUAUCGUACGUAUUUCCAGCAUAUCUAGCUAUGCAACACCCUCCUCUUCCAUCCAUUUACUCACAAAAAUUCUUUUUUUUUUGGGUGGUAAAAAAAAAAAACGAAAGUUGAAAGUUGAAACCCUUCACAAGGGUGAGAGCUGAUAAAGGAAGGAGAAGGAGGAUUGGAUAUAUAAAGGCAAAGAGCAGGAGAGUCCGACGCGUGUGAGAACUGCUCCAACACGUGUGAGGGGAAUGGUACGAACAGAAGAAGAGGUGAUUGGUUGGAAGAGGAGACGUGGCGCUGGUACAGAUGGGCCCCACAUGAAGAGGAUGCAUAACGGGGUCCCACGUGAAGGUUGCGUGAUUGGGCCCCACGGAAGGACCAAUCAGAAACAAGGGAGUGUCCUUAAGUACUAGGGGGCUAAAGGAGGGGGCCACGUAAUGGGGGGUCUCAUCGGUGCCUAGAGGAUCGUGUAAGUAGGGAUUGUGGAAGUUCCAGAAAAGGGACACGUGGGCGAAUCGCAGUUUGGUAGGAAGGCUAAAAGUCGAAAGCCUUGGGGUUUCUUUGAUUUGAUUGCUCCACGUGGACGGUGGACGAGGACAAGAUUUAUGGACUCUAAAUGGGUAUCUUAACUGGAUUUUAUUCAACUUCUCCAGGACCAUUAAUUCCGCUAAUGUCCACUUUUCUCUUUUUCCUCUCUCUCUCUCUCUCUCUCUCUCUCUCUCUCUCUCUCUCUGUUUUUAAGUACCACAUUUUACGGUUCCAUUGAAAAUCAAGAGUAGAUUUAUCCUAUAAUUGUUAGAUGCCAUAACAUUAGGAAUGUUUACUGUAGCAUUUAGAUAUUUCAUUGUUUAGAAUAAUAGUAUAACAUUUUUUAUAACGAAUGUGCGAAAAAAAUGAUUUGAAAAUAUAAAAAAUAACAAAAUAUACGUGUAAUUAACUUACUGUAACUAUUAAAGUAAACCUUUUAUAUAAUUUUUAGAUUUAUUUAACGAGUGCCCUUUCGAAUAUUAAAUUUUUAAAAAUAUAAGAUUAAUUAAAAAAACAUAUAAAUACAAGAAAAAAUAACAAUUGUUAGUAUGUAUAUAUACCUGGUAGAUUGAGUAAAACAUAUGUGUGUUAACGAGUAUUCAUUGAGCACCCAUUAAAAAACUCCUCAAUUUUUCAAUAACAUGGAGAAGAGUUUCCCUUUUUUUGGGUUAAUUGCAGUUUACACCCCUCAACAAUUCAACUAUUGGACUUAACACAUUAAACUUUCAAUUUCAGCAAUCUAUUAUCUUCAACUUUUAAUCUAUAGCACUAUCAACAAAUCAAGCUAAAUCUCAGCAAGAAAAGAAUGAUUGUACUGGUUUACCCUCAAUUUCCCACUAAACAUCCAAAAAAUACCGGUUUCAUUUUCAUAUUAGCAGAGUCAAAUAAAUCUUUAGGAGUGCCUUCAAAUACACAACCAAAAAAAAAAAAAAAAGAAGAAACAUAACCCAUGUCAAAUUUCACCAUCAACAACAAGUGGACUACCACCAUAACUUCUUCUCACACCACCAUAACAUUUUCACCAAUUUACCACCAUACCACCUUAUCAUAUCAAACAAUUUAAUACCAAAAAUUAUACUAUACAAGGAAAAAAGACCUUAUUAUCAGACCAAGCAAAUUUAACACCCAAGAAAAUCAUUAGACAAGAAAACAAAAAAUAGAUAAAAAAAAAUUCCAUAUCCAAAUCUUGUCACCGUAAACAGCCACGCCACCACUACCAUCACCUCUGAACUUUACCACCAUCAAAACCUCUUAAAACUUGUCCGAUGAAUUAAUCCCAAAAAAUCAAUAGACUAAAAGAAUCAAUAGCAAAAUAUCCCACAUAGGUGGACCUCUACACACCGUUACCAUAACAUUUUGACCUCUUGAAUCUACUAGUAUGACUAUCUUUCCCUCCAGAAAAAGUAAAACCUUUGUUCUAACCUUUUUUUUUUAAAUUCCAAUCCUUAAACAGCAUAUCUUGAUUCUAACUCCUCCAAGAUUCACUUUUUUGCUCCAAAAUUAAAAAAAAAAUUCACACCACCCUCACUCUGCUCCUCGUCUCUAGGAUGGGAGGUGCAAAACCCUUCCCUAGGACAAAAAGUCAGAAGCAUGAAGGGAAUGGAGGGGGGGAAAGGUGGUGGUAUUAUUCCUUCUUCUAUGGGGUUAAGGGCAAUUGGACAAAAAGUGGGGAAUUGAUUUUUUUUUUUUUGUCUCAACGAUAACAUUUUUAUAACAUAUUCUAACCAAUUCUAGGAGGAGAGAGAACCUAAUCGACAGGAAACACCAUCGGGGAAGUUGGGUUUUGCUACCAUUGUUUUACGAGAUAAUUCUACAAUAGGGUUUUGUGGAACUAUGGUGGCUAAUUCGCAAGGCAGGUUUUUUUUUUUUUUUUAAAUCCUUUACUAAUUAGCUAAUUAUUGGUGCCAAAUUUGUGUGUCUAUUGUAUGGAUAAAAAGUUAUUUUUGGAACAAAAGAUGACAAUGGCCCUUUAAUUGCCAAAGUUUAGUUGAUUGUAGUAGAUUGCCAAAAAUCACAAGUUCAAAGUUGUUGGUUUUAGCUGUAAAGUGCAAUUGCUGAAUAGUUCAGGGGUGCAAACUGCAAUUAACCCUUUUUUUGUGUUCUGUUUUAUUUAUUUUUUAUUUUUUCAGUGCGUGCUCAAUAAUGCCUCUCGGAGUCAUAUUAAAAAGGCACUACUAUAUUCUUUUCUUUAUCCCAUCCCCCAAGUUCGGUGAAACGACAAAUUGGCUUUUCAAAUUUUAGCUUCACAUAUGAGAAGCAAAAUCAUUAAUGCAAACACAACUUUUAGACACUGGAAAAGUCCCAUAUUUGACGUAAUACUUCUAUGAAAAUAUGCUCCUCAUAUACAGCAAGUAGCCUUUGUGAAAGUUACUCAGCAUUUACAACGUAUUAUUAGGCAGGGUCAGCUUUGAAAAUAUGCUCCUCAUAUACAGUAAGUAGCUUGUUUUAAUGCUUAUACUUGCAAAAAAAUAAUAAUAAUAAUAAAUUAGCUCCCUUGAUAAUAAUUUAUCUUUCUUCUUGUGGCAAGUCAUAAUUAAUGAGGAAACUGACGUUCACGGAAGUCGAAUCGACAGACAGAAAACUGCCAACCGUAGGAAUGGAAGGACAACGAACGAGAUAGGAACAAAUUUGUGAGAGUUCUUUUCCCCGUUUUACAUAUACGUGUCGUGCAUUCAACUAUAAUAAUAUAUACACUAUUAGUGUACAUAAAAUUUACUGUUAAAGAAGAUUAAGCAUCACUACUAUUGUUUUUUGAUGAUGUUUAAACAAAGAGGGAAAUUUAUUGAUUAGGCAGUCAUCACUACAUUGAAUUUGGUGGGAAAAAAAUGUGAGAAGAUUGGCUGUGAUGAAAUUCAUGAUUCCCAAAAAAAAAAAAAUGAUUUGUAUCAUUUUGCUGUUUGAUAGCCUAGAUAAUCCAUAUUACAAUGGUGUGGCUAAAUCCACCCACACCCUUAUAACAAAAUUGACCAAAGAGUUCAUAGCAUUUAUGGGGCUGGGUAGAAACUUUUUCAGUAAAAAAAAAAAAAAAUUAGCCUUUUUUUUUAAUGAAAAUAGAAGGUGUUGGAUUUAAAAUUUACAUCAUUAUGAAUUGUUUUAAAAUUUAUCACAUUGUUCAUUCACUUAGAUGGCAUUUAUUUUUCCCUCUUCUUUAUUAGAGAGAAUUUUUUUAGGAAAAUUUUAAUGACAUUCUCAUAUUCCUAAUAGUUUUUUUACCUUUGAUCUUUUUAUCACUUGAAUUGAGGAAGAAUACCCCUAUCUUUUAUUGAAUUUACAAUCACCCCUUUUUAUAUAAUUGGAAGAUAAACAGUAGUAAAGGCAUUUUUAUUCUUGUACAUGAAUUUAAAAAAAAAUGAAGAAGAUUGUCAUUUUUUUUUAAAAAAAAAAGAGAUGUCAUCAACGUUUCUCUAAAUACAAUAUAUAUAUAUAUAUAUAUAUAUAUAUAUAUAUAUAUAUAUUUCUUCUUUUAAUCUUGUUUUCUUGUAUCUCACCUCCAAGCCAAACACACUCAGUACAAAAGAUUCAAGGAAUAGCUAGAAUGUCUUUUAGUUUUCUUUAAUUUUUGGAGCAUGCUUGCAAUCUUGCAUCAUGUAAAUCUUUAGGGGCACAAAAUUGCCCUUUUGUUCGUUUCUUUUAGGACUGUGACAUUUACCUAAGAAGGACCAAAUAUUGCUGGCUCCAAGGGCGCGUACCAUACUACAAAUAUGAACGAGAAUGCAUUACAUCAUUGGUCAAAAGCAACUUACUCCCAAUUCUUCCUGCCGAAGUGAUUUAAGAAUACCACAAAACAAAACACAAAUGUCACCGGAUUAGCGAAGCAACGACGGGCCUAGAUUUUUGUUAUUCCUUUUUAUACCACAAAAAUUCGAUGGAGUCGCGGCCACGAUUUCGAGCGCUCUUUUUUUUUUUUUUUUUUUUUUGGAACUGCCAAGAUUUAUGGAUCGAUGUCAAUUUAUCUCAGAAAGGCAGCCUUGUCUUGUGCUGAGACAUUUAGGCUGGUAAGUUCUCAUAACUAAAAUUCUCAUUCUGUUUUAAAUAAAAGGAAAGUUGAGUUUUUGCGUCAUGAAUAGUCAUGCAGGUCCCAUGGGAUAAUAAUUAUAUGCCACUUAUAUGGCCAUGUAGCAAAAAGCAACCUAGUUUACGUAGAAUAGCUGAUUCAUGCCAUUCCAACAAAUGAUCAAUGACUCUCUCUCCUUCAUCAAUCUAAAUUCCUAUGGGUCAUAUUAUAUUGCCACAUCACCCCCGGUUGGCUCGACUAGUGUUGGGGAAGUCUCUUCAAGUCCGGGGCAUCGAGUGAUCGCGGUUCAAUCCCUAUUAUCGUCUUUUAUAUCUUCUUAGGGGGUGGGGGACAAAUGCAGUGGAAAUAAUCAAAUAAUCGGGUUUUUAAAAUAUAAUCCGUCGAAUCCCGAAUACCCACUGUGUCAGCAAAAAAAAUUAUAUAUAUAUAUAUAUAUAUUGCCACAUCUCUAUUCACGAAGUCAAUUGGAGUUUGUCACGCAAGCAAUUUAUCGUUAGGAGAUAUCAAUUUUGCCUCUUUGAGUACUUGUUUCGCACGGGAAAUAUUAUUUGUACUCAAUUUUUUAUUAUUAUUUACACUCUUACUAUUUAUUUUAUUAUUUAGGUUGAUAAAUGAAAAUUAUGUGAUUACAAUGAUAAUCGAAGUGCGGUUAACUAAAAAUAAGAGUGCAGAUAAUAUCUCUCUUCGGAGAGUUCUAAAAGAUUUUUCUGGGCUUACAAAUUUUUUUUUCAACUCAUAUUAGGCAAUUAUCAAGAAGGAUGAUAUUUCUAAGAAAAUGAAGAGCCCAACACUUUUAUAUGUCAAAACAAUAUUCGUCAUCUUGUCCUCAACCGACAGUUGCAAAGGUUGAUCCGUACUUGGUUUUUUUCUUCUCUUUGUUAGGUAAAAGUUUGUUAAUUCUCCAAUUGAAAGACUUAAAAUUAUUUAUAUAUAUAUAUAUAUAUAUAUAUAUAUUUUCCUGCAGAUUAUUUGUACCAAAAUAUUCACCUGCAGCUCUCCUUCUAUUAUUGUUAAGACAUUUGUGACCCAAAAUUUUGCUAUUAUAAUGCUGCGUAGACAAGAAAUUGUCAAAAGUAGAUUGUUUAUACCAAAAUAUGGACCCCUCCUUUAUUAUUGUUAAGAUAUUUGUGACCCAAAAUUUUGCUAUUAUUAGAAUGUCCUGCUACGUAGAUACACGUCUUGACUUCCUUAAUUUAGUUGCAAAGACGUGUCACUCUAAUCAACUAAGUGGAGAAAUGGCACUAUGCAUGGCAGUAACUUAGAAGAUCCAGCAAAAUAUACACUAUCAAAUCAAAUAUACGGUGAUUUAAUAGAUGUUGGGACAGAAAAUGGUACAGGACAGAAGUUCGUUCGUGUCCUUUUUUUUUUUUUUUUUUUUUGGCUAUAACGACUCGCUUAAUCUCAAACUAUUCAAGUGUGACAAAUUUCUACUCAAGUCUCAAGGUGCUUGAUUAAGUCCAUUUCCAGCAAUUGAUUCUCCUUUGUAGCAUCAAUAUUGGUCUGCUAUGAUGUAUAUACUACAUAAUUUAUUUGCCUAGCUAGGAUGCAGAUGUUCCUUGUCUGAAUGCCUGGAUAAAGGGAUAAAAAAAAAAAAAAAAAAAAAAAGUUCCUACUCUAAUAGGGUAACAAAUAACUUAAUGAUGAUGUUAAAUGAGAUAGUAGGUUUAAAGGGUCAAGGAUCUUUUUUAAUUUCAUUGUGAUUAACAAUUCAAGCGUAUAAGGUGAUUUGGAGCAUUUUAAUAAGUUUGGUGCAAAAAAUCCAUCCAAAGUAAAAAAAUUCAGAAUCCCAAGUGGGAAUUGCAAACGACAUUUUGAGUGCAAGUAGAAUUAGUACUGUAUUUCACUUCACACUUUAUCACAAUUGGUGAUCCCACCAAAUCAUCAACUGCUAGCUCCCACUAUAUUAUUGUCCACUUUUGUACAAUUUUUUUACUUUAAAUGUUGUUGCACCUUUAGUUUUGUGACUGCCUUGCCUUAAAAUAAUAAUUACAGGAAUUAAUUAUGACUCCUCCCUUGCUGUAAUCACGUUAUUGGAGCACAAUUAAAAUAAGUACCAUGUUCUCAUUGUCCUUCUUGUGCGGACAUGGCAUAAUAAUUAGACUGGUUCGUAAUGCAUCAGAUUCCUGAGGUUGCUGAGGAUAUCGCCGGAAGGACAAUGGUUGGAUUGGAGGAAACGAAAGGAAGGAAUAGAGAAAGCAAGAAAAGCAAAAGGUGGUCGGCCAAGCCAAAAAUGUUGUUUACGUACUAGAUACUGAGACCUGGAAUGUAUAUAUAUAUAUAUAUAUAUAUAUUUAUAUGGAAAUCACAGUGGCCGGUUUAAGAAUUUCUACAGUGAAUAUAUAUAUAUAUAUAUAUAUAUGUAUAUGGCUUACUGCAGCACAUUUACAAGCUAAAAGUUAGUCCAUGUCUCUAAGAAUUGUAGGUUGAUCCUCCUCUCAUCUCGACUUACAUGACCAACAGCCUACCAAUGAACCACUUAGAUUUUGCAAAUGAUCUUUCCUUUUUGUAGCAUAGCAUGUCAUGGUUUUGGCCAUAGAUAAACUUAUUGACAAUUAGGUAUUAAGAAUAAAGUUUUGACAAAGGUUAAGAGCAAUCAACUUCUUGUUGAGCUUGCAUCCUAACUUUUACUAAUAUCCAAUUUAUUUGGAUGGGAAUGUUUUUUGAAAAAUUUUACUGUAGUAAUGUAUAUGAAAAUUUUUUACUAUAAAAAUUUUUUGAAAUAUUUGAUAUAUUAUAUGGAUGAGAUGUUUUUUGAGUUAUUGUGUAUUACUGUAAUAUUACUGUGUUUGAAAAAAUGGUCAAUCCAAACAGAGCAAGUCAGUCUUUUUAUCUAGACUAGACUCUCACCCGUUGUCACUCACUACCAUACGAGAUAACGUAUGUAUUAACAAUAGAGGAUGUGGAGGUUAUGUUAAAAUUGACAACAAAUGCAGACGCUAAGAGAAUAACGUACGUGUAAAAAAAAGGCGACAAACUUUUGCCUUAACUCAACUCAAGAGGUUUUCUUUUUCAUGCAAUUCAAAGAUUAGGUGCAGUCUAUCUGAUAUCAAAUCAAAUCAAAUCAAUCAUUAUAUGUAUACUAAACUCACAAGUGUGUGACCAGUUAAAAAACUUCAAGUAGUAGUUCAUCUGAUCAGGUAAUGUAUGUGCUCUCAAAAUGUACAAAAUGGAGCCAGGUGAGAGGGUGCCCAAACCUUUGAUGCACGCCAUAUGGUCAUCAAUUAAUCGGCUGUUUGGCACUAUGAUUGGAUUUCAAUACCAACUUAAAAAAAGACUCUAAUUUAUUUCACGUCGCAGCCAAAAGUAGGAUCCAUAUAAUUCCUUGUAAGACCAGAUGGACGAAUGGCCAACUUCCAGGUACAGCAUCCAUCAGCCAUCACCUGUUAUAUUCUUUUCUUUUCUGAGAAAAGCCCAGAAGCCAAAAACCUACUGCACUAAAGGCCGAGCCAGAUAACCCUAGCAAAAUUGACCUAAGUUGUUGCGAUUCAAUCAGGGGGGACUAGUAGUAGGUGAACAUGCAUCCAAUUUUCAGUGAAAAUCAUGUGAUACAGCUUAUUUAUUCACGUCAAUUUUCAAUCGUGCUCCAGUGAAAAGGGAUGAAAAGACUAAGAAAUGACUUGAGAAAAAACCCCAGAUGGAAAUUUACCAAUUAUUUCAUCAUGCUAGCGUUGAAUUGGGAAUUAAUUUCCUUCUAAAGAGUAAUCUCGGAUAUUAAAUGCUCGCACUUCCACCUUAUUUUUCCUUUCUGCAAAGAUUUUAGGUCAUGAUCCACCGGACGAAUUAUAUGUUUCUAUCAGCAGUGCGCAAGCGCAAAAUUUCAGCUGAAAGUCUGGGCAGCAAAAGAAAUUCAUAGCAGGAACCAUCAAAUUCGGAAUCUCUCACUUACGCUCUCUUCUUUUAAUCAAUCUUUGAAAUGUAAGUGAGAGGAUUCAAACUCAGAAUCUCUCACUUAUACUCUCUUUUUCCGAACCGUUCAGCCCAUACGUUCUAAUUUGUUCCAGAUCUUUUUCUAUUUGUUUCGCAAGCAACUAGGGCAGCCCAAAAUGGAUUUGUUUGUUUAGGUACUAAUAUAAUAUAUAGCCUAAAUUUAUGCAUAAUAAGAAAGACCAACAUAUAUAUAUAUAUAUAUGUAUAUAUUUUUUUUUGGCCAGAACACAGCAGUUUCUGAUCCUAGUUAAACUUGCCCACGGCACAGCCGCAUGCUUCAACAUUGUCAAACAUUUAGAUAGCUUAUGUUUCCAACUUUCAGUACCUGUCACAUGGCAGGCCGCUUUACCUCAAAUAGAUAACAAAAGUGUCCUAGUCAAAUUAGCAUUUUAAUACUCCUAUGUCAACACCCCGGAUCGGGUUAAAGAUGUUGUGUAAAGCAGACGUAAUUAUGGAAAAUUGACAGAUUUGGAAUCAUCAAUAUUCCUGGUUUCUUCUUGAGAUCGUUAGGGAGGAUUCUUGAAAGCUACUUCAAGGGAUUUACCACUUUGGUGUAGUGCUCUUAGGAAAAUGUUUGGUCAUUUAUGGAUGCACACUUUCAAAUGUUUCACGUUACUUUACUUAACUAGUAGUAUGCCUUUAGCAGCACCAACCAAAACCCUGCAUCUGUGCAGAUAAUAGUCUGUGUCAAUGCUUGCCUCAGAAUCUUCUCACAUGGAUCUCUAGUCAUUCGCCAAGAACUUGUCAAUAAAGUAUUCUCUGCAGAUUAACUGCUGCCCACCUAUGUAUAUUAGCCUAAAUUAAUGUUAUGAAGAAAAAUCCAAAGAAUUAAUGGAUGGAUUCAACCCCUCAAUAAUGUUGCUGCAUGAACAACCAAAAUUUUUUUUUUCAACCCCUCAAUAAUGUUUCCUAUCAUUCUUUAACCAUAUUAUUGUUCUGCAUGAACAACCAAAAUCCUUGUUUUGGUCUAGCAUAUUCUUUAACAAUAUUGGAGUAACGGAAUAGUUUGAUCCCAUAAUUGGCUACUAAAGACAACAUUAUUCUUUUUCCCCAUUAUGAAAAAGCUAAAAUCUAACACAAAACCAGUGUGUUUGGACUGUAAGUUAUUUGAGAUAUUUGUAUGUAGCACUUUUUGUAAUGUGAUGUAUGUGAGAUAAAAAAGAUAAUUGGGAAGAUAAAAAGGUGUAUUGGAAAUUGUAAUGGUGAUAUAAGCAAAUAUAUUUGGACAAAUAACUUACAAUCCAAACACAUAUAAGAAUAUAUACAUUUAUGAGUGUAUAUAAGAAUAUAUACACUCAUACAAAGAAAAAGAAUUUUUGUAGGAUUCUGAUUGACAAAACAUUUAUGGUGUCUCCCUAUGUCAUAGAAGAAUAUAUACGGUUACUAUUUUUCUUCCAAUUACCUUUUCACCUCAUAUAUAUCUUAAAUCGUUAUAAUGUAUUUUUUUUUUUUACAAAAACUCCAAAAAAUAGCAAUCGAAAAGGUAGAUUUUACAAAAAAAAAAAAAAAAAAAAAAAAUCCUCCGCAUGGUAAGAUUUUCAAUUUGAUGUUAUCUUGUGCAGACAACUUCCUAUGCUAGAAGCCAAUUAAAUCUAGCUUGCGCAGCCAAGGCUACGGUCUUUGUUUUUCUGUUUUCAUUUGGUAUUUCUGAGGCCAUCUUCCCGAGCUUUCCUAGAGGGAACAUCAUAAGACCAUUGACAAUGCACAUUAAACCGGUAUACGUCGCUUUUAUAGGUUGCAGAAGGGCAAGAGGAAAAAAAAUACACAAGACUCUAAAUUAUAAUUCUUGAAAUGGAAAAAGAAUUCUUCAGCAAUCAUUAUUAAUCAACUGUCCACGUACUCGUCCAUUGUCCCAUAUUUUUUUGACCUGGGACUAAAGUUUCUUGCUCCUCUGUGUAUUAGUCUACAUUGGACAACAACGACAUGCAAACCUAGCCAAUGCCGUGCAUGCGCGUAGUCUAUCACUAAGUCUCUAUACACAUCAUCUCAUAUUAUAUAGUAUUAGUAUUAGAAAAAAAUUUUAUGGUCAAAUUAUACACAUACAAAUGACGCGAAAUAAGUAUAUAGUUAUGUAAUGAUCGAUGAGAAAUUUCCAUGUAGUUUAGAAAAUUAAAUCAAGCAUCACAAAAGCAUAGAUGCAUGCAAGGUUUUUGGUAUACAUAUUUGAUUUUUCAAUGGUACGUAGUUCUCAAACCAUAUUUGCUUUUAGGCAAAUCGAUCGUAGUUCUUAAAGCAUUAUAUUGUACUCAAUCUUUAACCUUCUUAAAAUCUUAGGCCUUGUUUGGAUUGCAUUUUUCUGAAUUUUUUUUUUUUAUAGAAAAAUUACUGUGAUGAUUUGAUGUAUGUGAGGUAAGAAGAUGAUAGGAAAAUGUGUUUACGAAAAACGUAACAAUUUUUUCACAGAAGAUGACUGUCCAAACACAGCCUUGUCAUACAUCUCAAUCUCGUAUAAUCUUAUUAUACAUCUCAAUCUUCUUAAAAUUAUUAAAACCAUCGUUGCAUGUGUCCUUGCAUAAACAUCGUAUUUUGAGUGUGAUUUAUGCAUCUUUUAUCUAGCAACUCAUUGCUUAGUUUAGUGAUGUGAAAUCCGAUAAGGAAUUUGACUCAUUACUAAAUCUAUAAGCCACGUACUUUGAAGUUCUCCCGACAUUACGCUUGCUAUUUCUUACUUACCCAAAAAAAUAUUGCGCUUACUAUGAGUCUUACCAUGCUAGGUGGCACAAAAUGUCAUCCAUACAAUCAUAUUCGGCUUUUCUGGUAGACAUCAUGUGAUGGAGACUUCCAAGACCCUUUUUUAUACAAGACAUGAAACCAUAUACACUCACGAGAGAUUGUUGAAAUGGCAGAAGUGUAUACCAGAUUAUUAUCCGCUUGGAAGGGAAGUUUUUUGUCUAAUUUUUCUCUACAAAAAUUUUAACAACUUUAUUUGUAUAGUGGAUUAUUUGAGAUAUUUUUACUGUAACACUUUUUGUAAUGUGAUGUAUGUGAGAUAAAAAGAUAAUUGAGAAGAUAAAAAGUUGUAUUGAAAAUUAUAAUAAUGAUGUAAGCAAAUAUAUUUGAAAAAAUAAUCCACUAUCCAAACACACUUAUAUAUUUUUUCAAAUACACACCUCAAAUACUCGUACACAUACAAAAAUAUUUACCCUUCUUUCUUCUUGUACCUCCCCACACCUCAAUCUACCACCACCUCCACCGUCAGCAGCCAUCAGCCACUCCUUUUUUUUCCCCUUCUUUCUUCCCCCCUUUCUCUCAUCCUCCCUCAACCUCCUCUUUGCUCCCCCUCCUCCUUCCCCCUUCCCCAGAAAAAAGAGGAAAAGAAAGGGACGAAGGAGGAGGAAAGAGGGAGGGAAGAAAGAAAGAAAGAAAAAAAAAAAAAGAGCCUCCGGCACCAGUUGCUGGUGAGAGGAGUGGGGUGGUGGAAGUGGGAAUGGAGGAAGACCAAAGAAAAAAGAAAAAGAAAAUUUAUAGUAAAUUAUAAUAAAAUUUUAUAUAAACACCGAAAAAUAUACCUCCCAAACGGACCUGUAUUAUUGUUGGUCUAGAAAAUAGGGACAACAUGCAAAAGUACAAAUUCUUCUCGAUUAUUGUGGUCUUUGCUUCUUAAAUUCAGCUAAGUUGGGCCCAAGUCUCCAUAAUUUGACAAGAGAUAACCACUCAGAUUAAGCCACAGUAGACCAAAUGUCGAGCCUUGAAUGAUUAAAAAAAAUACAAGUACAAAGAAGGAAGCUUGAAGUGCUUUUCUCGAAGGCCUCCAAUAAUUUUUCCCUGUUUCCUCAAGUAGGAACCUAGCUAGCUUCGGUUCGGACACGUGGUAACGUGGGUACCGAACGGACUUGGAAUUUUUUCACAACGGAAAGCGAUCAAGCUUUGACCUCCUAAUUGGCUAGAUGCCCGAAAAUGGUUUAGAUUCUGAGUUUUCAAUGCCCACGAAACCAGAAGCAGAAAUGUAAUCAAAUCCCUUUCCCCUUCAGGAUAUAAGCUAGAUUUGAGGCCACUUGGGUUUGAGACCUCGUACCCAUAUAGGAAAAGUUUGAACAUUAUCUGAUUUUUGUGAUUGUCUAUGUAAAGAGAAGAGUUGAAACAUGAUCGAAAAGUAAUGCCAAACUGCCUCUUGGGAUUGGUUCGGAUGAUUUCGGGCAAGUUUAGUUAGAUUUCAAGAUCGUGUGUUCGAGUUGCCUCUCUAACGCUUGUGUAUUUUUGGAAGAUGGGACGCACGGACACAAGAAAAUUAAUCUGAUAAAUUAAAAUACUCCUUGUGUUGAAAAAAAAAAAAAAGAGAAGAAGUGAUGCCAAACCAACCAUAAGUUGGAGAACAAGUCCGAGAUUAAUUAGAACAGUGUUGAACUGAAUUUACCGUUUCAGACGAUGAACAUAAAAUGGUACCAUAAACUUGCUAAAAAGGCAACGUGAAAUACUUAAACUCAAUUAGUCACUUGCCUCGAUAAAAGCUCUUUUAAACUUGGGUUGAGUAGUAAAUAAAAGAGCCAAACGUUUGCAGAAUUUCCAACUUCAAAAAAAAUUAAUAAAAAAAAAUUGAAUUGAUAGUGCUUUAAGUCAAGUCAAGGGCUCAAUCAUUUGGAUGAAUAAUACCUAGUCUUCUAACUAAAAAUACUCCCCCGGUUUCAUAAAAAUAGGUCUAUAUAUUUUUUACACAGAUUAAAAAAUUUAGUAAGGGGUAUUACUAUUAGAUCAAUCAUUUAGAGUAAGAGGCACAGAUUACUAUGUUUUAGAAAAAUGGUAAAUUUAGUUAUUAAGUGCUGUGUUUAGUAGUGCAUUUGCAGAUAAUUUAUGUGCAUUAACUAUGGAUAUGUUAAUAAAAUAACAAUCCAACUACUCUUUAGAAAAAAAAAAAAAAUAGGCCUAUAAUUUGUGACAAAUACAAAAGGAAAGUAAAUAUAUUUUUGUGGGACGGAGUGGAUAAUAGUUAUCUUUGGGAAUCUGAUCAUUUUUUUUUUCACAAACACGUAUAAUCAUUAUAUUUAGAUGAGUCGGAUUGGGGUAAAUUGACAAAUGCGAUCCCUUAAUCCGACAAAUUCACUCAUUCGUAAGUGUAUUAGAAUGCAUGAAAAGUUAACAAUGUUUUUAAUGGGCCAAAAUUGGUAUGCAAUUAAAAUCUUUUGUUAAGUUUGGCGGAGAUGCCCAAAUUUUGACACAAAGAAAAAAAAAAGACUAAAAGAUGACAUUUUAAUAAUGGACAAAAGAGAAGAUAAUUAUUGUCCAAUUAAAGUGGACUUAACUUGUAACAAAGCUGAAGACACGAAAUCAUCUUUGGAAUAUAUCCAUCUAAUGAGCGUUGUCAUCGCUUCGAGAAUCGAGCUGCAGCCAGCCCAGCUGAUCAUCAACAACCACCGAGAUAUUCGAUAGCGUCAAUUUCAAUUUCGUUCCGUCUUUUCGAAAGGAAGUGUUACUAAUUAGUAAUUAUGGAGGGGAACGUGGCAGUUCUUUUUUCUUUUUUAGGACUUCUCACAAACCAGAAUUCCACUGUACUUUUUUAUUUAACGUCCGUGCGUCUGCGUGCGCCUUGCCUUGCUUUCUCCGGUCAUAUCCUCUUUCCAUCGAUCAGUCUUGUUUGGAGUUACGUGAGCCCUCCUCCAUGAUUAAUGUGUUUUCCCUAUAGGCCUUACCCAAAAAAAACAAAAAAAAAAAACGAUAUUCAAAGAAACUAAUAUGCUGUCCAUACUUAUCCGUAGGGGUGUACAAAUUGACCUACGUAUUUGAAAAUUUGCGAUACACAAAGUCAUAUCCAAUCCAACCCCGUUAAAUCAAAUACCUGUCUCGUUAGAUCUCUCGGAAAAUCAAAUAUGAGUUUUGUUUUUAUACGAAGUUGAAUAUAUUAAGUAGAUUUUAGUAUUUUUUUUAAAUGACUAUCGAUAUCUAACCGUACCCGUAUAUAAGGGUGGGCGCGGGUCGAAUAUCCCGUAUCCGCUACAUUCACAAUUUGGCUGAACUGACCCGCACUUUGUGGGUUAGCCAUUUUCUGACCCUUAUCCGCCCCGCAUAGAUAGGGUCGGAUCAGCGAGUACUCGUCUCACCCCAUUUAUCAUUUAAUUUUUUUUAAAAAAAAUAAUUUAUACCAAUUUAAUUUUAUAUUUUACAUAUGCAUAUAAGAUUUAAUAACUUUUUUUCUAAAAAAAGGUUUCCCACCAAGAAACAAGCAUAUGAAGAGAAUAUAAGAUAAAGGAAAAAAAUUAAAAGAAUUCAAAAUCAAUAAAAGUUUGAAAUAAGUAGCACAAUUUUUAAUAUAUAUGUUCCACAUUAAUUAAACUUUUUUCUAUAAAAUAUAAGAUCAUGGCCUUUACAAAUGAAUCUUGUAAAUAAACUAUAGUCUCUCAUAUUUGUAAUGCAAUUUGUUCAAUAAAAUUACUUAUUUAGUUCUAACUUAUUAUUUUAUAGUGUGUGUAUAAAAAUAAAAAAAUAUAUGUGCGGGGCGGAUCGGGUACCCGCAGGUUUUUAAUUAUGUUAUCCUAACCCGCCCCGCAUCUUAACCGAUACCCGACCCUCUUUUGACCCGAUCAAAUAAUAAAAAUCGGAUAUUCUAAUUUUCGGAUCGGACAUGACGGGUUUUCGGAUUAGCGGAUAAUUUUGCCCACCCCUACCCGUAUAUGAGACUUUAGCGUAAUUUUUAAGGUUUUGGGAUUCUUUGUAUAAUAUUAAAUUAGUUGGAUAUAUACGGUAUGCUAUUUUUACUCGCCAAAAUAUUGGAGUCUUGCUAUUGUUGCUUACUUAACUCUUCCUUCUUUUUUUUUUUUUUUUUUAAGAAUUUGGUUAAUACAUCUGGUUACCCAAUUUGUGAAAUGUGUAAUUUGUUUGGAAUGAUGUUUUUUAAGUGAUACACCUUAUUGUUUAAGUGGUUUUGUUAAAUUAAUUUUAUUUAAGCUAAUUAUUAAAUUUUGGAUAUGGAUCAGAUAUCCGCUUUCUUGACUCGGUAUCCGACCCGCUUGCACCCUUACUUAUCGGUGUAACUUGCGACUACACAUGAAUAACAUGCAUUUUUCUCGUUAUAAGUUGAAUUAGAAGUUCAGGUUUGGGGGCAGGAUUACUUAAAGAUAUAUAUUUAAGAGCAUACUUUUUAAUUUUUUAAACAAACUUUGGGAAUCAAAAUCUAGUACUGAAAAAGGAAUAUUUUUAAUGUUUUAAGAUAGGAUAUUAAAGGAUUUAUAAAAAUCUUGAGAGGGUAAAGUCUAAUUUUUACUAAGAUAUAGGCGAAAAUUUUCAUUAUUUUAAAAGGAUUUUUAAGGUAUAGGUGAAAAUUUUCAUUAUUUCAAAGGAAUUUAAAAGGAUUUCUGAAAUCUUGAGGCCACCCGCCUUUACAUCCGCCAGCGUUCUUCUAGCAAAAUUGACUCAACAAUAUGCAUCCUUGACUCAAAUGAAUCAAGAGAAUGAACAUUCAACCAUGGCUCAAAAGAAUCAACAGCCACGGCAAAUCGAAAUCAAAUGUUUCCCAAAAAAAGAAAAAAGCAUAGGUGUAAGGGUGGCAAUAUGGAGAAUUUCUCACUUUAACCUCUUUCAUGUCUAGAAUAUAUAUUUAAAAUGGUGUGUUUGGAUUGAAUAGGUGCAAGGGUGGCAAAAUUGCUACGUUUUCUGUGGACAUAUUUUUCAAUCACCUUUUUACCUCACAUAUAUCAAAUCGCUACAAUAAUUUUUCUACAAAAAAUCCAGAAAAAUGCAAUCCAAACAAAAGCUGACUUGUAAAUGUUUUAUUUUUCACCCAUUAAACAGCUAAUGCUAGAUUGAAGAUACUAAAAAGAAAAUCUUUGUAAGGAAUUAACAUGCAUAUGAUAGGUUUUUUUUUUUUUUUUUUUUUGGGUGGGCCGUCAGAGGGAGAAAUAGUGCGUAAAUCAGUCAGGGAGUAAUCAAUCUCGUCUUAAUAAAAUGUCAUAAGAUUUAAUGGGCCGACCUUGAAUUUCAAAAUGAAAAUUGGGCUACAAUUUUUUUGUCCAUCAUGUUAGGAUAAAUUUAGCCCAUUGUAGUAGUGACAAUUGGGCCAACUUAUAACACCAUUUGGUGGACUCCGGACCUCAUUGUUUUGCCAUUGGUUCACCCUCCAUACAGAGGCAUGCACCUUCGGAAUGGCAGAAGAAUGCAAGUAACAAAUGGCCACUUAAGGAAAUAAAUCUUUAAUUACCUUUGCCAAAGUUGAUAUAAGUAAAAUAAGAUAUGGGUUUUGGGGUAUUUUCAAAAAGUAUUAUUGCAGGUUUUUUUUUUGAUAAAUAUGUAAUUUAACGAGGAAAGAUAGUGAGGGUGUUUACUGUUUCCAAAAACAAGAUUUGGGAAAAACGCUUCCAUCCAAAUAAAGCAUAAAGUCGUUAGAAAAAGCUCGCCAUUUAAAUUGGGAAAAGCGUUUCUCAAAAAACCUCAAACACUUCUUCCCUUUUUUUUUUUUUGCAUUAGAUGAAGUUUGAGAAGUGUUUAAGAUUUUUUGAGGAGUGCUAAUAUUGACUUUAAUACUUCCUUUAAUUCUUACGAAAUGAAUCCACACACAGCAUUCCUUACCAAAAAAAAGCAAAAAGAAUUCACGCGUAUAUAUUACUUGUUCGUGCAUAUUUCAACCAUGAGGAUUUAUUUAUAUCUCUCAUAUGCAUAUGCAUGUGCUUUUGGUUAUUCAUGUAUUUUUUUUCGUCGAGAUAAUAAUUUUUAUUCUAUACCUACUCCUACUUAGGAAGAAUCCAAAAAUGACUGAACCACCAUCGGAUCAAAUAUGUACCUCUGCAAGUGUUGGUGAAACUUUCACAAAAUUUCGGAGAUAAAUGCAGGUUAAGGGAUUCGAAUCCCUUGACCUGUACCUAAAAAGAACUUUAAGACUCUAUGUGGUGAUCGACUGCUCUAAAAGUAGUUGGUUGGUUGUUCAUGCAUUUUCUCAACAGGAACAUUCAUUUCCUAGUUAAGUGCAUUUCAUGUAAAUGACUGCUGUGCAUGCACCUACCUUCCUAGAAGUGAUGAGGACAAACGUGCAUGCGAAGAAACGCGUAUCUUUUUCUAAUUUUAGUAAGUUACAAAAUUACAGGUGAGGCAUCGUAUCAUUAUCUAAGUUAAUUUUAUUUGUCAAAAUAAUUUUUUCUCUUUAAUAAUAUUUUGUCGCUUCACCUAUGAGUUCUAAAAACAUAAAAUUAGCAAAUGGUACGUGUGCAAUUUUAAGCCUUAAUCACUCGUAUUUCUUUCUCUAAUUAUUUAUGAUGCAUUUGAAUCUUUGACUUAAAAAUUAAUUACACUCUUCCACCCCAAAAAGAAGAAAAAAAGGUUACACACUUAUUUAUUUAUUUUCUAGUAUCACUCACGAAACCUGCACGUGACCAAGUGGGACAAAUUUUUCCUACUCGACUACCAAAAGCAAACAAUUUAAUAUUUUCCAUAAUAUCCCAGAUCUGGAAUUUCCUUCCUCAAACAAACCCUUACCGUCCGAUCUAAAUUCUUUACUCUCCAGCAGAAACAAAUCUCAACCACACGAUCAAAUAUCAUCAACGGUCACGAUUCACCCAACUGGGGCGGGCAUUGAGGCAAAUCUGGCCUUUAUAUAUAGACCAGAAAUAGCCUAUGAGCGUCGGCCAUUUCAACUCUUACUCGUAAGUCCUCUCUUUCUCUCUCCUAUUUUUUUUCUUUUUCUCUUUCUUCGUCUUGCCAUUUUUCCCAUUCGGAUUUUUCUUUUUUCUUUUCUGAUUUUUUUGAUAUACAUAUAUAUUUAAUUUUUUUUUAGUGUUUGAUGAAGAAAGAGGGGUUUCAAUUUAGGGUUUCUUUGUUUCGUAAACCUAAUACGGGGCCGGUUUGAGAUCCAUUUGGAUAUUGCUCGUGGGAAGCUUUUGCUAGGGUUUCUGUUUCGGCGGCCCUUUUUUUUUUUCCUGGUAUUUCGCAUUUGCCUGCUCUUACGGUUUCUGGGCUUUUAAUUUUGUUAUAGACUUUGGGUUGGAUUAUGAUUGAAUUGGAUUAAAUUGAGCUCCGGAGAAGGACGGAAUUUUUUUAAAUUAGGGUUUUAUUGAAUUGGGCAUAUGCAUUUCCUGUUAGGGUUUAUUUGUAUUUCCUGGGAAUUCUUUAAUUUUUUGCUAGGAAAGAAACGAGAAAAAGAAAAGAUUUUGGGCUCAACGUUACUGGGCUGAACAGAAUAUUUGGAAGAUCAGGACUUUUAUGUGAUUUUUUUUGCUGAAUUUUGGAAGGGGCGAAUUUUGAAUAAAGAAAAAGUUGCUAUGUGCAGAAUUUGUGGGUUGAUAAGCUUAUGGCACCUACUGUUCCCAUAGAGUACAGUGGACAGAGGGAAUUGAACUUGAUUUCGACAAAGGGUGGAAUAGGCAAAAUGAUGGGGAAGUCCCGGAAAGUUUCAAAAGGAUUUUCAUCCGGUUUUGUGCCAGAUUAUCGCCAUGCGGUCGAGACAAUGGCUGAAUCGGAAGGGUUUGGAAGUUCAGGGAGAGUGGAUACAGAAAUGACUGCAUCCGAGGAUUCAUGUGCUCCGAAGAGGAAGUGCGUGAAUUUGAAUGACCGAGAAGGUUGUGCUAGAUUCAGUGUGCCUAUUCACGUUUUGCCACUGUCUAAGAUGUCUCGCUCAGAGAGGAAAGAUAUGGAGCUGAGGUUGAGAAAUGAACUUGAGCAAGUCAGGAUUUUGCAGAGAAGAAUUACGGCUAUGAGCUCGUUCAGUUUGAAUGCAGUUGUCCAUUCACCUGCUAGUGAUAUACACAGUUGUACUGAUGGCCAGAGGAGACCUCCCGUGGACAGUUUUCGGAGGCCUGUGAAGGAAGUGCCUACUCCACCUGGAAAGAAAAAAGGUCCUCCUGGAAGAAAUGGGCCCCGUACCAAAGGAGCAGGUGCUAAACGCAGUGAGCCUGCAAAGCAGACUUUGCCUUCUGAUCCAAGCAACUUAAUGUUGAUGAAACAGUGUGAGGCGCUUCUAAAUCGAUUGAUGGGGCAUGAAUUCGGUUGGGUAUUCAAUAAACCAGUUGACGUUGUGGAGUUAAAUAUCCCUGAUUAUGUCAAUGUUAUCAAGCAUCCGAUGGAUUUUGGGACAAUAAAGGCCAAGUUGCUAUCUGGUCAGUAUUCAGAUCCAUUGGGUUUUGCUUCUGAUGUGAGACUUACUUUGACAAAUGCAAUGACUUACAAUCCACCAGGAAAUGAUGUCCAUUUCAUGGCUAAGGCACUCAGUAAAUUCUUUGAAAUGAGAUGGAAGUCUAUCGAGAAGAAGAUUCCUGCAGCGGUUGAAGAAAUUUUGCCUCCAAAUUCUGGUGCUAUGAUAGAAAGGGGGACUGCUAUUGCGAUGCCUCCUUCUAAAAAGGCAAAAAGUACUCCUGUAGAGAACAUAAAGAAGCCAGAAAACAAAGUUAAGCAAGAAAAUAUCAAGAGGGUUAUGAGUGAUGUCGAGAAGCAGAAGCUUAGUGCAGAUCUGGAGCCCUUAUUAACAGAUUUACCAGAUCAUAUAGUUGACUUCUUGAAGGAGAGUAGUUUCAAUGCAAGUCAAGCGAGUGAGGACGAGAUUGAGAUUGAUUUGGAUGCCCUAGGCGAUGAUACCUUGUUCACGUUACGGAAGCUUUUAGAUGAGUAUUUAAUGGAUAAACAGAAAAACCAGGGAAAAGAUCCACAGGCUGUAGAGGUUAGUUCGUAUUAGAUACUCAUAUAUGCGGAUUUUUCUUUUUGCUAUGCAUUUACAAUGGGAAAAUAAAUUUGGUGUCUUUUUCCUUUGUGCAGGUUCACAAUGAGUCAGGCUUUAGCAAUUCGUUUCUUCAACCUCAAAUAGGUAACUUGAGGUUUUACAUAUUGGUUUUGGCCAUUUAAGUUUUGUUAUUAUCCUGUUUAAGUGCACUUUUUUGUAUAAGUUGAGUUUUAGUUGAUCCCCUUUUGAAAUUAGGAGAUGAGCCAGCUGAUGAAGACAUAGAUAUUGGCGGUAAUGAUCCACCCUCAUCUAGCUUCCCUCCUUUAGAGAUUGAGAAGGAAACUAUCCAUAGGAACAGCAAAUGCAGUGGUUCGAGUAGCUCCAGUAGUGAUUCAGGUUCUUCAUUAUCUGUCUUUAUUGUUCUAAACUAUGAUGCAUGUUUGCUUUAUGAAAUGUGCUAUUUUGCAUCGUUUUUGUGAAGCUUGUAAUUUUUCAAUUCUGCCUCACUGGUUAACAUGUCUAUAUUAUUACACCAUGAGUUGUUGUGUGGUAUAAAUUGACAAAAAAUUGACCACAAUGAGUUAAAAAUUAUUGGGAUUGGAUUCAUUGCAUUACUUUCAGUAGGUUUUUAGUUGCAUCUAGAAUACCAAGUCACUUGUGUUUAGAUGAGUUUGUGAUGGGCAAUGAAUUUAAUUGGAAAAACUUAAUUCACAACUAAAACAAUGAUUUAGAUUUUGUAAUUAAAUGAUCUUAACAAAAAUCUACUACUGAUAAUUGUUUGUCUAGCUGAUCUUGUCUUGAAAGGAGGCAUAUUAUUUUCCAGUUGUAAGUAGUUCAUGGAAAUCUCAUGCCAAUUACCUUCUUUAAUGUUCAUGUUUGUUGUGUUUAUUUAUUUAUUUUUUCCCUUCUCAGACUUCUUCACGGUUAUUCUACCAAUAUGUAUAUGCUAGGAUCAUGAUCUUUGUGAUCACAAUGCUGAUUGGUAACUUUUUGUCCUCAAGAAGUCAAAACUUUUUAUGAGGUUGAUAGGCGAAUUAUUCAUUGAGAAUACUAUAGGAGCUUUGCCACUACUGCCAGAUUUUUAUGCCUAGCUGUUUUUGGAUCAAUUUUCCGCUUUGCAGAAAUGCAAUGCUAAAGAAAAUGCUAAAAAACAAAGUUGUAAAUUCUGCUCAAUCUCCAAGAUAUCACUAUGUACCAUUUGAACCGAUAAUAUAGUAUUUUCCAGAUUCAGACACUGGAAGUUCUUCUAGUGGUGAGUCGGAUGCUGCGAAAGAUCUUGCUGUUCUGGAACCCUCGAAGGCAUGUCUUGCUUCUCUUAGUUGAAGUGGAAUUUUAUCGGUUGAUUUAGAUUUCUGGGCAUGCUUAUCAUCUUUAAGGUCUCCAGCAGCUCAUGUUAGUGCUCUUAAUUGUUUAUUUCUCUCAUCAAUUUUUCUUGAAUAACAGGACAACUUAGGUCAUGGGGAAAAUUUAGAGCAAAAGACAGGUGAUCCAGAAACUGCAGGUACAUUUUCUCAGGCUUUGGUGGAUGCUUCUUGAUUUAUAUAUUUAUAUUCUUAGGUUUCUUCUGUCUUUUUUUGCUUUGUACAGAAACUAUGAGUGGGCUUGCCAGGCAGAAUCCAGAGUCAAUUUUGGAUCCUGUUGAGUCUGGAUGCCAUCAAGAGGGUAAGCAAUGAAAAUAAAUGAAGAUACUGUGUGCUAUUACUUUAGCAGCACUAUCUCACGAAUCAUGCUGGUACGUUUUAGCUGAGAGUGCUCCACAAGAGAGGCAGGUCUCGCCUGAAAAGCAAUAUCGUGCAGCUUUAUUGAGAAGCCGUUUUGCAGAUACUAUAAUAAAGGCUCAAGAGAAGGCUCUUGAGAAGGUGAGGUUCUUCAUAUGCUGACUCUGGAUAAGAUAUAAGGUUCAUGGUGCAAUGCUCUCAGUAUUCCUAUUCUGAUGUUCAGGGUGAAAAGUUGGAUCCUGAGAAAUUACGGAGGGAAAGAGAGGAUCUUGAAAGACGGAGGAAAGAAGGUUAGAGUGUUACUAAUUCCUUGGAAUAUCCGAAGAUUUGGUUCAACUGUGCAUGUUAAGUUGGAAGUGCUUUCAGUUUUAAACCAUUCUAUAAUAUAUUUUGGCCAUCCACUGUUUUUCAGAAAAAGCUCGUCUGCAAGCAGAAGCUAAAGCUGCAGAAGAUGCAAGAAGAAAAGCAGAAGAAGAAGCAGCUGCAGAAGUGAGACGGAAAAGAGAACUUGAAAGGGAAGCUGCCCGUCAAGCUUUGCAGCAGGUAAAUUAUUCAUGUUUCAUCAUUCUAUUUUGGAUGUAAAAUUUUACUUAUAUUUUUGCUGUUCGCAGAUGGAAAAGACAGUUGACAUCAAUGAGAACAGUCAGUUUAUGGAAGAUCUGGAGAUGUUCAGAUCUGCUCCAGAUGAACAAUUAGUGAACUUCAUAGAGGAGACUAGUCCAGAACACUCCCAAACUGGUCUUGGUAGUUUCAAAUUUCAGGGAAGCAGUAAUCCAUUGGAGCAACUUGGUUUAUACAUGAAGAAGGAUGAUGAAGAAGAAGAAGAAACUGAUGUCCAUAGCGUUCCAGAUGCAUCAGAUGAUCCAGAGGAAGGAGAGAUUGAUUAAAUGAGAUAUUUGGUGUUGUAUUUGCAACUGCACUAUGAUGCUUGAGUCAUGGGACUAAGGCUGUUCAUUCCUUUUUGAAGACUCAAGGAGUAAUCUUUGUUAUGGCCUGUCAGGGGGUGAGAGAUCCUGGAAAAGUAAAAUGGAUUUUUCAAGGGCAGAACUCCCCUUACUGCUCUUGGCCGUGUUGAUUUCUCUGAUUGUACAGUGAUGAUUUGGGGAAAAUGAUUUUCUGCACUUGUCUAAAUCACCCCCAGCCCCAAGAGGUCUUGCGGAGUGCAACCUUCGGAUGUUCUGUUUUUUCGUUUUCUAGUUUUUUUUUUUUAAUCUUUCUUUUCUAUUAUUUCAUUUCAUCGGUUGUGUAUUUGCCUUAGACGGGAAUGGAAUGGUAGCUAGUAGUCACCUGUCUUCAGCAUUUGCACGUAGGAAUGAACGUGGUGCUGAGCCGGGAGCAGUUUUGUUACACUAUACGUGCCAGCUUUAGGAUGAUUAGGAACAUUUGUAAUACGAGAUCAGUGCCUAACAUUCUAACAUUCGUAAUCUCUCUCGUCUCUUCUCCUUGGUUUCUUGUCUGGCCAGCCUUAUCGCACUUCCCUGUUAGGCUGGUGGGUUAGGACCAUGGUUCAAAGGUGGAUUCGGCCGAAUCGUCACUGUCACUGGAACGGCCCCUCCCUCCUGAUACGAUACUAGCAAAAGACGAUUGUAAGUCACUUGUCUUGUUCAGAACUCGAUGGCCGACAAGUCAUCACGAGUCACACGAGGGUUGACUUGAUCGAGUCAUGUCGGGUCAUAUCAAAUCCAACAAAAAACCUUUAGAAAAAAGUAAGUGAAUAAAAAAGGAUAAAAUUGUUGGGUGGUCUUGAUUUUGUUGUUUUUACCUUUGUUCAGCCUAACAUCCCAGCGGAAUAUCUCACUCUCACGAUGGUGUAUAGAGGUACAACAGUUGAUUCACUCCCACUAUAGAAGAAGAGUAUUGGUCCAACAGUUGAAGGUCCAUUGUAAGACUUUGAAGGAACAAGAUAUACAGUCCAAGGGUUACGUGAACAAUUUUUAUCGAUCUCCGACUCGUGUUGGGAGGAUACUGCAUUUGAUUAGUGAACAUUUUAUCAAUGGCCGACUUGUAUGGUAAGAAUACUGAUUUGAUUACGUGACUAUUCUAAAAGGAAUAUUCCUCUUGUAUAGCAGAGUGGUAGUAGUAACAAAACAAGGCAUCUUGUGUAGUAGAUAAGGCCUGCAAUUAUCACAGUUUCAGCUUUCACUUCCCAGUUUUUCCCUGUUUCCAUCCAUUGCAAGCAAAAACAAUCAUUUCUUGACAUCCAGGCAAAAUAGAAACAAAAUUUGCCAGUUUAAGAUUUUCUACCCCACCGAUGUCUUCAGCAAUCAAAUUCGGAUGAUCAUCAAUCCAAUCCACCAAUUCUUUACUGCAAAAUUCCUCCUACACACACUCCUGUGCACUAAUUUUUUCCACAGACCUCCAAUCCAUUUACAAUCCCCCGGAUGGCUCUACAGAGUGGAAUCCGAUUCAGCUCUACAGACUUCAGUGGGGUAAACAGUUUGUUAUGUCUUACCAGCCACGAGAAGAACUGCCACCUACCUACCUAGUCCUCGUUGCUCUCCCAUUUUCUACUCUCUUCAUCAUCUGCAAGUUCCAACAAAUAUGUUAUGUUGGGCUAACUGAAUAUGCGCCAUUAGCUUCAUGGGGUUUGGAUUGUCGGCUACCAACAAAAGCUGUAAUUUGUUGAGAAUGUCCGCUGUUAAGUACUCCGUCCGACAAAGAAUCCCAUGGUUCCAGUACACAUUAACUUUCUUCUUCUUCUUCUUCUCACAAUCUUGGUGGUAUAUCUUAAGUAACUGAUUGCUUCCUCCCCAAGAGGCCAUUUCCUUUGUCAAUUAAUGCAAUACUUCUCUCCCAGUAUGUGAUGCCCCUGGCUUCUUUUGGAACACCCCACUUUGUCUUCUUCUUCAAUACUUCCGCCUACAGAUAAUAUUAAGUGCUACAAACUGAUGCCUCUGGACUAAGUUCUUCAAUAUUUCAUGCCUCUGGAUUUUUUUUCUUUUUUUUGCCAUGAUAUUAAAUGCUACAAACUGAGAAUAUAUGAUAAGAAAGAAAGACAAUAAAGAAAAAUUUCCUAUAAUGCAUCUGCUAAAGUAAAUUGGAAAUUCUAGUCAAAAAUUUUUUUUAUUGAUCCCUAUUAAAAUUGAUACUAGUUCUGCCCAAAGCAUAAUCUACAAUAUAUAAAGGGGUAGCACCACUGCACUACACAGUGUUGACACACAUUUGUUGAUUUUUUGAACUUCGUAUUACAUUUUUCUCACAUAUUAAAUUAAUGGUUUCUAAAAUAAUUUGGUGACCACACUCUCCUAUUUUUAAACAGUUCAUGUAAAAAUAUCAAAUUAUGUUAGUAUUUAUCCAAUAUCAAAAUUAACUAGCAGAUAAAUAACUAAAUACCAUACAAAAAAUUUUAUUCACCACAGAUUUUUUUUUAUUUUCUUAAAUUUCUUUUUUUUUUUAAAAAAAAUACUUUCAAAGGGUAAAGACCUUACUAACCAAUAGAUUUUGUCCAAUGAACAGAAAUUACUACAAACUGUCUUUCCAGCACUUGUUUCAACUAGUUUAUUGGGGCCUCAUGCUUCAUGUGAGAUUGUCCAAAUUUCUGCACAAUUUGUGGAAACAGGAAUGGUAUGAUAACUAGCUUGCAAACUAGUUUGUUUCUCUUGGGAAUGUUUCAUUUUUUGUAAUAAUAAGAAUAAAUGAGAACAAACUAUCCUGAAAAACCAUUGAAACAGCUUUUCUUUUUCUUUUUUUUUUUGCCCUUUUUUUGGCGACAGAAUGCUAAAUCAUUCAAGUGCCAGUCGUAAAAAGAAUAAAAAUUUGAAGAUAUUCUUUUCAAAAAUGAUAUUGUAAGAAGAUACAUAAAAAUAAUUAGGAGAUAUUUUGGAAAAAAAAAAAAGAAUUUGUACAAAGACAAAAAUAACAUAUAGUCCUACAAUUUGGAUAAUAACAUUUUUUUCUUGGAACUCUUUCAGCCUCGACUCAAUCAUGUACUCAAUACAAUAAUCCCAAAAAGUUUUUCAAGAAAAAAAAAAGGAACAAAAUAUAAAACAAAGUGUGUGUUUGUGUGUGUGUGUGUGUGUGUGUAUGUAUAUAUAUAUCUCCACAUGAUAGUAAUAUAUUAGAAGAAAAGUAACGUCAUUCACAAACUCAGAAUCAGCACCGGCAGAGUCUGUAAUAACGGUCGAAUUUGUGUUCUUGCUAGCUUAGUGCUACUAGAGACGCAUAUAUGCCAUUUUGUGACUUUAGCAGAGAUUCAUGAGUUCCAAGUUCUGCAAUGACUCCAUGCCUCAUAACUGCUAUAAUGUCUGCAUGCUUAACUGUUGAUAAUCGAUGGGCUGCCACUAUUGUCGUUCGAUUCACCAUGACCUCGUUAAGUGCCUCUUGAACAACUUGUUCAGAUGAAAGAUCAAGUGCACUGGUUGGCUCAUCCAGCAGCAGGAUUUUUGGUCUCCUCACUAUUGCUCGUGCUAUUGCAAUCCUUUGCUUUUGUCCGCCAGAUAAUUUCACCCCGCGUUGUCCAACUUCGGUGUCAUAACCCUACAGAAAUUUGGUGCAAAUUCACAAAGUUGAGCAAUCAAAUCAGAGUACAAAGUAGUCGUAAAUUUAAGAAAAUAGCCAGUCCAUCCUGCAGGUUUUUACUCACAACUAGCUCCAAGAAAUUACCUGUGGCAGGUUACUUAUGAAGUGAUGAGCAUUUGCUAGGCUUGCUGCAGAUAUAAUCUCAGCUUCAGAUACAUCACGGUCCAAUCCAAAAGUGAUGUUGGCCUUGAUUGUGUCAUCAAAUAAAGCUGGUUCCUGAGACACCAAAGCCAUUUGCUUCCUCAACCAAUUUAUGUUUAGCUUCUGAAUCUCAAUAUCAUCAAUCAGAAUUAGGCCACCGUUAAAGUUGUAAAAUCUCUGAAGCAAAGAAAUUAUAGUUGAUUUUCCGGAACCACUUUCUCCCACGAGUGCUGCAGUCUAAGACACGAGACAUAGUGAAAAAAAUUUCAUAUCAGUAACAUGAAAAGGGACUGCAUGCAUCUUACUUAUUUACCACACUAAGAUCUUGCCUUCUAGUUUUUUUUUUCUUUUCAGUUUGUGAAUCUAAACUAAUACCAGUCACUUUGACUAUUCUCUUACCUUGCCUGCAGGAAUAGACAAGCAAAAAUCCUUAAGCACUUGAAUGUGUGGCCUUGAUGAAUAACUGAAGUUUACAUGCUGGAAUUCUAUACUUCCUCUUAGGCUCUCAAUGGUCAAGCCUGUAUCCAAUGAUGAAUCUAACUUUGAUUCAAGAUUGAGAAUGGAAGAGACAGAUCUCAAACAGGGCUUGACAACGUUGAACUCUUUUAAGAGUCCUAGCCAGUUGGUGACAUUUAGUACUUCAUCUGUCAGUGCAAAAAGUGCCUGCAAAGGGACAAAAUUCAAAGGUCGGACAAAACUUUGAGCAGGGAAAUAAAACCCAUGGAAUCAAACCUUCAACUGUAAGCUUUUACUGCUAAGUUUGAUAGCAUUAUUUCUUUUACUAACAUUCCUUUCACUUGCAUGUCAAUUUCUUUUCUAUGUCAGAAAGCUAAAUUAUUCUGAAACUAAUUGCUGUUGUUAGACUCUGACAUUCGCAAAAAAAUAUGUUAUGUCCAAAUAUGGGAUACAUACAAGAUAAAAAGUAGUACUAGUUGCUCUUCCAUCCCUUAUAAGAGUGGCCCCAACAUAAAAAGUUGCUCCAUAGAUGAAAUACAAAAGGAAGGAUGAUAACCCAUAUGAAGCUCCUUCAGCAUAAGCACAUUUGAUUCUCUUCUUCAAGGGGCCUUCACAUUUGAUCUUGAAUAAUUGCAGCACCUGUUUGUCAGCACUAAAUGAUGCAACAGUCCUGAUAUGCUCAACUGCAUCUUUUGUAACUUGUCCUGCUUCCUCAUAGAGAACCUGCCACCAAGAAAAGCAUAGCUAUUAGGUGAGACAUCAAAGUUAAAAAUGGACAUCUUCUCUAAAUGAUAUAGCAAAUGAAGCAAAAUCGAGGAGUGGAUCAUUAGAUUAGAUAAUCAAAUGUCAGUAAAGAAAAAUUAUCAGGGUCUUUCAAAUAUGCAAUAGAAGCUCUUUUCACAAAUAAUCUAGCAAUAAACCAAGACAUUUUUAAGAGAAGAACUCUAUAUUGUGAUGAAAAUGUCCAUAUGAGUCAUCUCUAUUGGUACCUUCAUUUCCAAGGAUUUAAUGGAUUAAAAUGAUGAGACAUACCUUGAUUAUUUUACUGGAGUUUCCAUUGAAUUUAAGUUCUAUCCAUCCGUUGAAAAGAACUAGAGGUAUAAAUGCUAAGCUAAGAACAGCUAGCUGCCACGAUCCAGAUAAAACCACAAGAAGACCAGCAAUUACUGUAACUGCAUGCUGAACAACCUGUGGAGCUGCGUCCCUAAUAAAUUUGGUUAGUGUUUCCGCAAUUGUGGACAAUCUAGAGCUAAGUGCUCCACUUGAGUUAUCCACAUGAUCAAACCAAUCAACUUCCAUGUGCACAAUCUUGUUGAAACAUAGGGGAUUUACUACCCUCAAUAACCAACAACUAGCCUGAAUUAGGAUAUAUUUCUGACUAACUGCUGCCACCGGUGAUAUUAGAGCAACUACUGCAAUGAUUAUGCACCAAAAUUUGAUUUCCUUUCGAAGCCUUCCAGCUUCCAGAUUGAAUGCUCCAAUCACGUAGGCAAUAAUAACACCAAAAAUUAUAGGUAUCAAGGCCUUGGUUAUAGUUGCAACGAGACCAAGAAAUAGAAAAAAAACCUGUUUCAAUCUUACAAAUCUCCAAAACUUAAUAAUGGUCUUCUUUGAUGGGUAUGAUAUUUCUGAUGAUGGAAAAACAUCUCCCGAAGAUUUUCUCAAAGAUGCCCUUUCUCUCAUAGAGAAAUGACCAAUUGAGUUUUCUUUAUUGGAUUCUUCUCUGAUAUUCUGCAUCAGAAUCAGUUGACAAAAUGGACCAUUUUGAUCCAUAAGUUCUGAGUAUGUACCUAAGGCACAAACCAAUAAGCAAAACAUAUUGAGCUGGUAUAAAACGCAACGACGUGAAUGAAAAAUCACCAAUUUUCUUAGUUUCUUGCCUUAUUUUAGUGAAAAAUAUUCAACUACAUUUAGUCAACCACAUUUAAUCUACUACCUUAUGCUUAUCUAUUCAGCUGUCCUCUAAGACGUACCUUCUUCAACAAUGGACCCACGUUCAAGAACAAAAAUCUUAUUUGCAUUUGCUACGGUACUCAUGCGAUGAGUUAUAAGCAAGGUUGUUCUGCCAACAGAAAUCUUGUUUAAUGAAUCCACGACUAUCUGUUGUGACUCUAAAUCCAAUGCACUAGUCGCUUCAUCCAGAAGGAUUAUGCGUGGGUUCUUCAGAACAGCUCGAGCUAUGGCGAUUCUUUGUUUCUGUCCUCCUGAAAGCUGAACUCCAUUUUCACCAACCAUUGUGUCAAGUCCCUGCACAUUUAGGCUUGUGAAUAGAUAAAACAUGGAUUCUUGAUGUGGUAGUUUCAACAUCUAGUAAGACAUCAAUAUAUUUCGUUGACUAGAUAUAUAGGGAAUUAGAUCAUGCAUGCUUAAUCCUUUCUUAACCAACGAAAUGAGAUGAAAAGCGGUGUUAGAAUAAGCAUUAUAUUCUUAUCAUUGAAAAUCAAUCAAAUGCAGAAAUGUCUUACGAGUUAGAAUUGAGAAAGAAAACCAUGCUUUUUAGUUUGCACAAACUUUACGCUGGAGUCAAGAAGAGAAGUUCUAUUAUUUUUAAGCUGUAAGAAGGUUCUAAUGUUAGAGUAAAAUCAACCUGAGGCAACUCUUUGAGAAACUUUUCAGCGUUGGCAAGUGCUAUGGCAGCUCUUAUUUCUUCGUCUGUCACAUUGUCCCUUCCAAAUGUAAUGUUGUCCUUGAUGGACAGAGUAAAAAGUACUGGUUCCUGGCUGACAAGUCCAAUCUUUUUUCUUAAAUGUUCUAGUCUUAAUUCCUUCAAAUCAAAGCCAUCUAUGAAAAUGCCACCAGAAUCAGGAUCAUAGUACCGUUGUAUUAGGCUAACCACUGUUGACUUCCCACAUCCACUCUUUCCUACUAAAGCGGUUUUUGAGCCAUGGGUUAUGGUUACUGAGAAAUUAGAAAGAACUUCAAUAUUCCUUCUUGAUGGAUAUCUAAAAGAAACAUUUCUAAAUUCAAUUUCUCCUUCAACAUGAUCUAGAGUCUUCCCAUGGGAAUUGAAUGCAUCUAUCCUGGACUCUCUAUUGAUUAUACGGAAGAUGUUUGAUGCAGCAACCCGUCCUCGAGGGAAUGCUGAAAAAUUCCCAAUUGCAUUUACCAGACAACUGUUUCACAAGAAAAUUUUAGUGAACAAUAUUCUCAUUUGAUUAAAUAGAAGCAUCAUUUAGAGGAAAUUUUGCUUAGUGGUUAACAAAUAUAAUGCAAAGAUCCACAAAAAGAUUACUAACCUCGUUCCAGAAUUUAUGUAUGUUGCUACUGUGAUCAGAUCACCUCUUGAGUAACGAUCGUCCAGGACAAAACGUGAGCCAUACCAUAUAAUUAAAGAGAAACCGCAAUACUCUAUGAAAUCUAUCAAAGAAAUAAUACUCCCCCCUGCAGCAAUGCCAGCUCGUGUCAGUGAUCUUUGAACCUCUUCUAGAGUUUUCUCGUACUUGCUCAUAGUUUGUCUCUCGCCAUUCAGUGAUAUAACCUGGAAAUGGACAGAACAAUUUAGGCACCACAUAUCCACAGUCAAAUACAAUUCGACUGGAAUCUAGUAGAAACGCGUGAGAUACCGUUCUUAUAGAAGCCAAUGCCUCCAGAACAACCGAAUCUCCUUUAGCAUAAGCUACCCCUUCAUUUACACACUCUCUAAUCAAAAUCUUAAUGCCAAAAUGGCCAAACAAAGUGAUUGGCAGAAUUGUCCAGCACAUAACUGCAGCCAAUUGCCAUGCUUGGCUGAAUGCCAUGAUCAUCCCUCCUAUGAAUGUUGCCAUGAGUUUUAUGAACAAGCCCACCUGUUAAAGGCAACGGAGCAUUUCCAGACUUAGUUUGAUACAUUUUUAGCAAUCCUGAAAAAUUAUAUUCUGAAGGUGGAUUUAGAAGUGAUAAACAGGAACUUAUAAUAACAAGAUGAUAAAAAGUACUACAAGUUAUUCAGUAGUGUUUUGCUUCUCAACCACCCAUGAGGUUUUUAUUCGUUGGUACUUAAUGUGGUUGAUAGUUUUUUUCAUUUAGCAAUGCUAACUUCACGUGCUAUAGAGCAAAGUAGAACCAAAGCACAUUCAGAUUCAAGAUUUCCAAUUUACAGUCUUUAUAAAUACAACUAGGAUUCAUACGAGUCUAUGACUUCCAAGCAAUUACUGACAUAUCACAUGCCUAAUUUUUCUCUUGCUUCAUUGCAUUUAGAGUUGAGAAAAGUGUGCUGUCUUAUAUUGAACACCCAAAAAAAAAAAAGGCUACAGCUUAGCGGGAAAACCAGUUUUUGGCAAACGUUAGUAGGCUAAAAACGAACCCGGUAACCUAUGGCUGCAUCAGUUCUGCCGAUAUCUCUUGACAUAUUACCAAUAACUUGUCCUGUUUUUAUUUCUUCAUCAAAGAAUGUAAUAUCUUGUCUGAGGAGGCUUCUUAAGUAGGAGUAACGCAGAUUUGAUACUUGUCUUUCUGCAGAGACAGCCCAGCAGAUUCCUCCUAUGAAAGACCAUUAACGGAUUAUUAUUUUAGGUAUUAUGUUCAUAACACAAUGAUAAUUAAUCAACAUAAAAUUAGAUAAAGCGCCAGUUGUGCAUGAUAUACAGAUUAAAGAAACAAUAGGUAGUCCAAUCACAAUCCUAAUUAUCAUCCUUCAUAGCUUCACAAGGGCAAACUGAGAAGGAGCCUUGACAGUGCAUUCUUUUGCUAGUUUUACUAACUGAUCCUUAAACGUAAAAGAUUUUGGCUUUAUCAUCUUCCUAGGAGGCUAUACUUUUAUUCCCUAAGUUUUUGAGUCAGCCGAUAAAAGGCUUUUCCAAAGUAAUUAAAACGUACCCCAUGUAUAAAAAUGUGUGCAAAGGUUUUUGAAGCUUUGCUUUGAACUAUGUUAGAGUAGAAUGAAAACAAGGACAAGACUUACUGAUGAAAGAAGCUACUGUGGCAGCAAUUCCCAUGUAGAGUAGCUUUUUUACAACCUAACAAAAUACAGAAAAAUGAGCAUCAGUAACAUCAUUUAAGACCUGUUGAACUUAAUUAGUGCAUUGCUUUUUUCAUGAUUUGAAACAAAAAUAUUAGCUAGUUAACAAACUCGAAUUACUCACUCGUAUUGGCACCAGAGCUUUAGAUCACGUUUUUGGUGAUAAUACAGGAGAAUACAUCUCAAAGGAUAUAUGGCCAAUUUUGCAAAUAAUGGAAAGAAGAAACAAAACAAGCAUUGGUGCAUGAUAGAAAGGUACUUUUCUCCACACCUCCCUACCUCAGAAUAAAAAGGCCAAAGGAUGAAUACAAGAGAGUUGUCUGAGGAAGAAAUUCAACAUUAGUUGAAAAGUUAAAAAUCCUGUUUACCUAUCGAAAUAUAUGUUGAGGGAUUAAGAACAACUAAAAUGCUGACUCUCAAACGUGCUCCUCCACUACCUAUAAAGACGUUUUAGUAUCGAUGAUUGGGAUCCGAAUCCAACCCUUAAUAGUUUUUAUCUGCUGCCAUUAGUUCCAUUCUCAUCAUCGUAAUCCCAUUUUCCAAAGUUGGUCACGGCACGAGCACAAACAAGCAAAACAGAUUUGUGUUGUCUUUUCAUAUAGAAAUUCUUGUGGAGUCCAGUAUAAAAUAAUCAAGAACUAUUAUGGUAUAUGUAUUACUCUAAGGUCCAUACAUAUCAUAUACUCAACGAAGCCAUUAUCUAUUUCGGCCACAUGAAUAUCAGGUUAAGCAGAAGAUGAAUAAAAAUCAAGGAAACAUACACAACCUCAAUGACUUGAUGAAACUUCUCAGGUUUUGCAUGGAGGUCACUUAUGAAAUCAAUGGUCUGGCCCCAGAAACGAAUUCUGUAUACCAGAAGAAGGCCAUCAACAAUUGCAGCAACAGUUCCAAUGAUGAUGAGGAUGAUAUCAAUUGUGUCUGCACAUGAAUAGAGUUUGUAGUAAGGAAUGACUUUUGAAGGCUGAGUAUUGGCCUUUUCUGAUCCUUUUUGUGCUGACAAUGGUUCAAACUUUGCAUCUAGAAUGACUCUUGGUGAAGCCUCGGUAAUUUCUUCACUGGCCUUUUCGUCUUUUCUUGGUCCUUCCUGAGCUGGCAAUGCUUCAGGAUUGGCUUCUAAAUCAUCAUGAUGGCUCAUUGUGGUUUGUGCAGGUAUCUCUUGUUUCUUUCUGAUAAUCUGAUGUUAAUAAUCUCCUAGGAAGAAAAAUGGAAAUUGAAGUGAAAUACGGGAAUAUUUAGGAGAAUGCGCAUACAGAGAAGAGAAGUGGGCUUUUGGAAUUUGAAGGAAUAUGAUACUUCAAACUUCAGCCUUCCAUAAAACCUUAAACAGUGGGGAAUAUUGAGACUUUUUAUUUAAUUUCUUUUUUUUUCUCCCGACAUUAAUAACAGAAUCCCUUCUGUCUCCCCACCAUUAUUCAUAAAUUUAUGCACCAAUUACUAUUUCGAGUUAAAGAUUUUUUCCCCUUUUCUUCAUAAGAUGGCAAUGUCCUCGGUCCUCCUCAUAGUUAUUAAAAGAAAUUUAUGUGCCAGUUGUUUAUCAGUUUGGCUAAUGUGGAGGCAUCGGUUAAUAGUUUUAGCGGGACAGAAGAUCUGUUGUGCAGUUUUCGCUAAUUAGAAAAAAUAUCUAAACACAAGAGUAUAAUAAUUUACAUGAUGAGUUGCAUGAUGAGUUGUAAUUUAGGUGUGUUAGAAAAAAUACGUUAUUUUACCUGAGCGAACCAUUUUUGCCCAUUUAUAUAUAUAUAUAUAUAUAUAUAUAUAUAUAUAUAUUCAACAUUAGUUUGAUUAUACUCGUAUUCUCAGUCUUUCACGCUCAUUCAACCUCAUCUACUAAAACUCCUGAAUUUUUGCAUUCUAUUCACUAGCAUUUAUAUUCAACAAAUAGUUGGAUUAUACUCGCAGUCCCUAAUCUUCGAUGCUCAUUCAACCUCAUCUAUUAAAAUUCCUUAACUUUUGCAUUCUCUUCAGUCAUAGUUCGUAUUAACUCUUCCAGUGCCUAAAAAAGAGUAGAGCUUUCCAACACAAUAAAAAAAAAAUAAAAAUAAAAAUCAACAAACCCAAACUAUAACUCUUUAUAAAAUUCAAAUACUGAGCUUUUCCUCACAUAAACUGUUUUGUAACAGGGAAAACGAAGGAGUCCUCAAAUUGUAAGCCACCAUUUGCUGUGAGUUCAUUAUCGCACUCUGUAUUCUUUACUGACUGACUGCAGGUUAAAAAAGCUUUUCAUUAUGUAUAAUUUAAUUUAUAGAAUGAGUUUGAAUUGCUUUAAAUUUAAUAAAGUAGUCAUCUUUUCCAUGUAAAACAUGUAGUAAAGAAACAUGUCUUUGAUUGUCCACAUUGAGAAGCAGCAUCACUUUUAGGCUUUCUCUAUGAAAGCCCACAAAUCAUGUGUUCAUGUUCAUCAACAUCUAAUUCUAAUUCCAGGAGUUGAAUGUUUUGCGUCUAGUUGUACAGUAUCACGACUUGUAUGAGGACAAAUUCUUUGAUUAUGUGCAACGCAUGAAAAUAAAAUUGGGUAAUAGAGGGUAAGAAAAUGGGAUAUCUAGCUAGUGCUUUUUUCCUAUAGUGUUAUAGCUUAAAAUUCGAGAGAUAUUUUAUGAGUAUUUUUUUUUUUUAAGGAUUUGGCUAACAGAUGCCUCAGGGUAUUUGUUUAGGAGUCAAUUGUUUAGUAAGAGCAAAACUAACUAAGGAAAGUAUCCAAAUAAAUAUAGAGGUGUGGAAAAAAUAGGUCUGUUAGAUGAUAAUAGCAGGUAGCAAAUGAUCUUUUUAGGCAAUUUUAUAGUUUCUUUCAAGUCCAUGAGUAGCGAUUUUUUCUUUUGCUUUUAUUCAAAAGAAUAUAUUUUGACACUGAAAUUGACACCAUCUACUUUUCUUUUCCAAAUGACAUUUUUUAACAAAAAUAAGCUUAUUAUUUCGAUUUAAAAUGUUAACCCUCCCCCUAUAAUCCAAAUAUAUCAUAUUUUUUUCAUAACAACAAAGGAGAUUAAAGAAACACAUUCAAUCAGUAACCAAAUAGAAUGGAAACAACAUAUGAUUAGCUUACUAUUGAACUAAAUAUGAUCUAUAUCAAAUAACAAAAAUUUUAUCUUUCUUGCAUUUCCUCCAAAGGGGCUAAAAUGUUAAAAAAAAUGUCAAUCCGAGGAAUGUAGAUGAGAUUUUAAAAACCUAAGUUAACUGAUAUUAUAAGAAACAUCAAGAGAGGUCUCUGAAAUUAUCCCAUAUACAUAUACAUAUACAUAUAUAUAUAUAUAUGUGAAUUUAAUUAGACUCAAUUAGAUUUGAUUAAACUCGAGUUCAAGUAAUUGUUAUUACGGGAUGUUAGCAACGGCAAUUUUAAUCGAUGGAAGGGCUUAGGUCAAGACUGAAGAUGUUGAUAUUAGAGGAAACUUCACUCGGAUCAUUGUCAAGUUUAUCUGCUACAAAUUUUUUAGAAACUUUAGCUAUAGUAAUUUCAAAAAAUUUCUCAAAAUUUAAUUUUUAAACUAUACACUUCAAAAUAUUCAAAAAUCUACACAUUUCAAAAAUUUUUUUAAAAACUUCUACAGUAAAUUACAGUAAAAUUUUAGACAAACUUCCAAAAAACUCACCUCUCCCAAGCAGGGCUCAUAUUUUUAGAAAAAAACAGGGAAGUACCAGUUAUAUAUUGUUGAACACUCACCUAACAAACAUCGUUCAAGAACAGUAAAGAAAUCUUUUUGGAAAUGUAAAACGAAAAAGGUUCACUGGAUUAGUAUAUCCUAGGCUCCAUAUGGAUUCCUAUUUUUUUUCUCAAAAAAUGUUUUAUUCAUGGAGUCUACAAUAUCAAAUUUAAAAAAUUAUCCAAAAAACACACAAACUCAAAUACACCUGAAAAUAACACAAGAAAAAUUAAAUAAGAAAACUCUCACAUUUUUUCUUCCAUACACCAUCCACAGUCCUCACCCACCGCCACCGCCCUCCCCCUUCCUCUUUUUUUCUCCAUUUCCUCCUCCCCCUUCCUCUUCCUUUCCCUCAUCUCCAUUCUGCCUUUUCUCCCCCCUUCCUCACACAGGAGGGGAGGAGAGAGGAGGGGAAAAGAAAAAGAAAAAGAAAAAUUAGCAAGGUUGACUGGUGGUAAAUUAGGACGUGUAUCAAACUAGGGGCGGAAACAUUAAAGCCCCCCCCCCCCCCCCCUCACACUCGUGUCAUCGGUUGGUACCCAUUCUGGUCCUUAACAAGCACAUUUGAUUCUUUUCUUCUUCAAGGGGCCAUCACAUUUGAGCUUGAAUAAUUGCUGCACCUGAUAUGCUCAAUUUUAUCUUUUAUAACUUUUUUCCUGCUUCCUCAUAAAGCACCUACCACCCAGACAACCAUAGCAAUUAGGUGAGACAUCAAAGUUAGAAGGGAUAAUUGCAGAAACCUCCCCUGAGAUUUCUGACAUUUGCACUGACCUCCCCUCUAGGUUUUGAAAUUGCAUUCACCUCCCCUGAACAGUAACAAUUCGUUGCAGAAACCUCCCUGACAGCUUUUGUAGAAGUGAGAUAAGAAAUUUCUUUCAAUUUUGCCCUCUUCUUGCUUGACAAUUGCUUAACUAAUUAGUUAAUAGUUAAACUAAUUAACUAUUAACUAAUUAUCUGAUUAAUUAUUAACCAAUUAACUAAUUAACUAAUUUCUAUUUAUCUAAUUAACUGCUUAACUAAUUAACUAAUUAACUAAAGCUGUUGUCUGUCCGAAACUAACAAACUAUUUGCAUGUUAAACUAAUUAACUGCUUAACUAAUCAACUAAUUAACUAACUAAUUAAUUAACAGACUAUUUACAUGUUAAACUAUAUGCAGUACGCAUUACCUAUUUAAAGUAUCGGCUCUUCAUGGGUAUUUUACUUUCAAACAUUUAAUUUAUGAUAAAAACAUCAAUGUUUGUAAGUAAAAUUCAAAAAGUGUUACAGUAAUAUUCUUACAAAAAGGGAGGGGCAUAAGGCCGUAAAUUAAAUGUUUGAAAGUAAGAAUAUUGAUAUUUUUGUAACACUUUUUGAAUUUUACUUACAAACAUUGAUAUUUUUAUCAUAAAUUAAAUUUUUGAAAGUAAAAUACCUAUAAAGAGCCGAUACUUUAAAUAGGUAAUGCGUACUGCAUAUAGUUUAACAUGCAAAUAGUUUGUUAAUUAGUUAGCUAAUUAAUUAGUUAAUUAGUUUAACAUGCAAAUAGUUUAUUAGUUUCGGACAGACAAUAGCUUUAGUUAAUUAGUUAAUUAGAUAAAUAGAAAUUAGUUAAUUAGUUAAUUAAUUAAUUAGAUAAUUAGUUAGUUAAUUAGUUAAGCAGUUAAUUAGUUCAUUAGUUUAACAUGCAAAUAGUUUGUUAGUUUCGGAUAGACAAUAGCUUUAGUUAAUUAGAUAAACAUAAAUUAGUUAAUUAGUUAAUUAAUUAAAUUAGAUAAUUAGUUAAUUAAUUAGUUAAGUAGUUAAUUAGUUAAUUAGUUUAACAUGCAAAUAGUUUGUUAGUUUCGGACAGACAACAGCUUUAGUUAAUUAGUUAAUUAGUUAAGCAGUUAAUUAGUUAAUUAGUUUAACAUGCAAAUAGUUUGUUAGUUUCGGAUAGACAACAACUUUAGUUAAUUAGAUAAACAAAAAUUAGUUAAUUAAUUGGAUAAUUAGUUAGUUAAUUAGUUAAGCAGUUAAUUAGUUAAUUAGUUUAACAUGCAAAUAGUUUGUUAGUUUAGGAUAGACAACAACUUUAUUUAAUUAGUUAAUUAGUUUAACAUGCAAAUAGUUUGUUAGUUUCGGAUAGAUAACAACUUUAGUUAAUUAGAUAAUUAUUUAAUUAGUUAAUUAGAUAAUUAGGUAGUUAAUUAGUUAAGCAGCUAAUUAGUUAAUUAGUUUAACAUGCAAAUAGUUUAUUAGUUUCGGACAGACAACAGCUUUAGUUAAUUAGUUAAUUAGAUAAAUAGAGAUUAGUUAAUUAGAUAAACAGAAAUUAGUUAAUUAGUUUAUUAAUUAAUUAGAUAAUUAGUUAAUUAGUUAAUAGUUAAUUAGUUUAAUUAUGCAGAAAUAGUUUGAUUAGUUAAUAACUAUUAACAAUUAGAUAAUUAGUUAAUAGUUAAUUAGAUAAUUAGCUAUUAAUUAAUUAGAUUAUUAGUUAUUUAGUUAUUUGGUUAAUUAGUUAAACUAUGUAGAAAUAGUUAAUUUAUUGUAAUUUUUAUUAACAAAUGUUUUGUUGGGUUUGAUGAAAGUACUCAUCAUAUUCAUUUGGUAAAAUUAAAUCAUGUCAGGGGUACUUUAGUAAAUUGAUCCACUUUUGCCUAUUAAAUUGCCUCUAACUUUUGAUAGGGGGAGGUCAGUGCUAUUUCAAAAUUGAUAGGCGAGGUCAAUGCUAUUACUAUAAAAGUCAGGGGAGGUUUCUGCAAUUAUCCCUUUUCUUUACUGACAUUUGAUUCAUUCCACGAUUUUUACUUCAUUUGCUAUAUCAUGCAAUAAUUGUCCAUUUUCUAACUUGGGAUAAUUGCAGAAACCUCCCCUGACUUUUAUAGUAAUAGCAUUGACCUCCCCUAUCAAUUUUGAAAUAGCACUGACCUCCCCUAUCAAAAGUUGGAGGCAAUUUAAUAGGCAAAAGUGGGUCAAUUUACUAAAGUACCCCUGACAUGAUUUAAUUUUACCAAAUGAAUGUGAUGAGUGCUUUUAUCAAACCCAACAAAACAUUUGUUAAUAAAAAUUACACUAAAUUAACUAUUUCUGCAUAGUUUAACUAAUUAACCAAUUAACUAAAUAACUAAUAAUCUAAUUAAUUAAUAACUAAUUAACUAUUAACUAUUAACUAAUUAACUAAUUAUCUAAUUGUUAAUAGUUAUUAACUAAUCAAACUAUUUCUGCAUAAUUAAACUAAUUAACUAUUAACUAAUUAUCUAAUUAACUAUUAAAUAAUUAACUAAUUAUCUAAUUAAUUAAUAAACUAAUUAACUAAUUUCUGUUUAUCUAAUUAACUAAUCUCUAUUUAUCUAAUUAACUAAUUAACUAAUUAUCUAAUUAACUAAUUAACUAAAGCUGUUGUCUGUCCGAAACUAAACUAUUUGCAUGUUAAACUAAUUAACUAAUUAGCUGCUUAACUAAUUAACUACCUAAUUAUCUAAUUAAUUAAUUAACUAAUUAACUAAUUUUUAUUUAUCUAAUUAACUAAUUAUCUAAUUAACUAAAGUUGUUGUCUAUCCGAAACUAACAAACUAUUUGCAUGUUAAACUAAUUAACUAAUUAACUACUUAACGAAUUAACGAAUUAACUAAAGUUGUUGUCUAUCCUAAACUAACAAACUAUUUGCAUGUUAAACUAAUUAACUAAUUAACUACUUAACUAAUUAACUAACUAAUUAUCCAAUUAAUUAAUUAACUAAUUUUUGUUUAUCUAAUUAACUAAUUAUCUAAUUAUCUAAUUAACUAAUUAACUAAAGUUAUUGUCUAUCCGAAACUAACAAACUAUUUGCAUGUUAAACUAAUUAACUAAUUAACUGCUUAACUAAUUAACUAAAGCUGUUGUCUGUCCGAAACUAACGAACUAUUUGCAUGUUAAACUAAUUAACUACUUAACUAAUUAACUAACUAAUUAUCUAAUUAAUUAAUUAACUAAUUAACUACUUAACUAAUUUCUGUUUAUCUAAUUAACUAAUUAACUAAUUAACUAAAGCUAUUGUCUAUUCGAAAAUAACAAACUAUUUGCAUGUUAAACUAAUUAACUACUUAACUAAUUAACUAACUAAUUAUCUAAUUAAUUAAUUAACUAAUUAACUAAUUUCUAUUUAUCUAAUUAACUAAUUAACUAAAGCUAUUGUCUGUCCGAAACUAACAAACUAUUUGCAUGUUAAACUAAUUAACUAAUUAACUGCUUGACUAAUUAACUAAUUAAUUAGCUAACUAAUUAACAAACUAUUUGCAUGUUAAACUAUAUGCAGUACGCAUUACCUAUUUAAAGUAUCGGCUCUUUAUAGGUAUUUUACUUUCAAAUAUUUAAUUUAUGAUAAAAAUAUCAAUGUUUGUAAGUAAAAUUCAAAAAGUGUUACAAAAAAUAUCAAUAUUCUUACUUUCAAACAUUUAAUUUAUGGCCCUAUGCCCCUCCCUUUUUGUAAGAAUAUUACUGUAACACUUUUUAAAUUUUACUUACAAACAUUGAUGUUUUUAUCAUAAAUUAAAUGUUUGAAAGUAAAAUACCCAUAAAGAGCCGAUACUUUAAAUAGGUAAUGCAUACUGUAUAUAGUUUAACAUGCAAAUAGUCUGUUAAUUAGUUAGUUAGUUAAUUAGUUGAUUAGUUAAGCAGUUAAUUAGUUAAUUAGUUUAACAUGCAAAUAGUUUGUUAGUUUCGGACAGACAACAGUUUUAGUUAAUUAGUUAAGCAGUAAAUUAGAUAAAUAGAAAUUAGUUAAUUAAUUAAUUAGAUAAUUAGUUAAUUAGUUAAUAAUUAAUCAGAUAAUUAGUUAAUAAUUAAUUAGUUUAACUAUUAACUAAUUAGAUAAUUAGUUAAGCAAUUGUCAAGCAAAUAAUAAUUGUCAAGCAAGAAGAGGGCAAAAUUGGAAGAAAUUUCUUAUCUCAUUUCUACAAAAGCUGUUAGGGAGGUUUCUGCAACGAAUUGUUACUGUUUAGGGGAGGUGAAUGCAAUUUCAAAACCUAGAGGGGAGGUCAGUGCAAAUAUUAGAAAUCUUAGGGGAGGUUUCUGCAAGUAUCCUUAAAGAAAAAUAAUCACCGGUCUAUUUUUUUUUUUUUUUUUUUGUAUGCAAUGGAAGAUCUGUUCACUCGUGUCGGUUGGAUACCCAUUCUGGUCCUAAACAGCCUACUAAUAAGAAGAGAUGCGACUCAUACUGUCAUGCCCCAGAAAGCGACGCGGUCACAUCCUGGUCUGUCGGCCCAUCUUCAAUGGCUUUGGAGAAUUCUUAUCAUAUGGACUCAAUGAUGGAAACCAACUAUUCCGGUAGCUGGCUGUUUUAAAACCUAAUGUUCGGUGGAAAGUUCGCUUUUCUGCCCACAUUAGGCAGGAAGCAAUGCAAUGAGGCCAACUGUGGUCUGUGGGUACGCACAAAGACGGACAGAGGGCACCGGAGAAAGUCGGUUGUGCUUGGAUGAAAUAAUGCCAUACAUUUUAAAAUUACAAUAAUAAAAGUUCUCUUAAAAAUUUGUCCAUCAUCUAAUGCUCAUUACUUAGAAAAUAUUUUGUGAGCACUCCAACCGAGAUGCGAGUCCCAAUGAAAAGUGAAGAGUGAAAAAGUGAAAACGUGGAAAACAAAGGUACCGAAAGGUAGAUGAGAUUGUUGUAAUGGAAAAUGGGUGAAAUUUUCAACAUUAUUUUGUGAAUUUUAUACAUGUCAAAACAAAUAUUGUGGUAGUUUUUUUUUUUUUUGAUUGAGUUUGAUAUUUGAAAUAAUUGAAGCAUAAAUAUAAAACGAGAGUUGGGAUAUCAAACACGAUUAAAAUAAAGGAAGAUGUGCAAUUUUGUUCCCCAACGUUUGGCCUAUGAGUUAAACUAGUCCCUGAUAUUUUGACCAAAAUAAAUAUGGUCCCAAAUUAUUUAUUUUAGGCAAAUUUAGGACAACUAAUAGAAAACUACAAUAUCCAACGAGCAAAAUCAAGUUAGAAUGAGUCAGAAGUUUGACUUUAUAUUUUUUGAUCCCUAAUAUUUGAAAAUUUGAUCAAUACGGUCCCUUAUAUUUUUAAUAAUUUUAUUUCAAAUGAAAUAAAAUGUGAAUUAGAUCAAAUGCAUAAAAAAUGUGUUCUAAAUCUCAUUAAAAUCCUUAAAAGUAAUCUUCAUUGUCAAAACAUAUCAUUUAGCCGAAAGAGCAUCUUUUCGUUAAUUUAAGGGUAAAAAAUAAAAAAACCCCCUGUGGUAAAUCUAAUACACAGAAAAGCCCCUCAUAGUUUUAAAAUAUACAACACGACCCCUCAUGCUUUGAAUUAAAUUGUAAAGGUGAUGGAAUCCGUUUAACUUAACGGAAAUGGGCGAAAGAGUAUCUUUUCGUUAAAUUAAUUACAAACAAAUGAUAACACAUAAAUCAUAUAUAAAUGAAAAUUUAGUGGAAAAAAGAGAAUUUUAAUUUGGGUGUAUAGUAACUUUAAUUGUAAACAGUAUAACACAAAUCGUUGUAUGACUCGUGGAUAUGAGUUUCAAUUAGUUAUAGUUAGGCAUUGUGAUUAUAAUAAUAAGUAAAGGUGAUUACCAAUAUAAAGGACUCAUAUGAAUUUUCAAAAAAUUUCUUGCUAUUUCAUCUUGUCUUUCCUUCAUAUUAAAUCAAAUAUUUCAAUGAUACAAUUUAAUGUAUUUAUAUUUAUGUUGAUUUAAAUUGAAAAUUUUAUUGAAUAAUUUAAAUAAUUAUAAAAUCUUUAUUUCAAUUGAAACUUAAUUGACAACUAGUUGAAAUGUCAAAAAAAGAAAAAGAAAAUAUUAUUCAAUCAACUCAAUGACAUAUAGUUGUUUAUAUUAUAAUAGAAUAUUUAAUUAACUAUCUUAAUUUAUCAAAUAUAAGUAUCGGCCAUUAGAAGAUGAAGAAAUUUUUAAGAGGACUUUUAUUGUGAUUUUAAGAGGCCAACCGGCUUUCUCCAAUGGUGCCCGGAUAUCCUUCUUUGCGCGUCCCCACAGAGAGCACAGUUGGCCCCCUUGCAUUGUUUCUGCCUACCAUGGGCAGAAAAGUGAACCUUCCACCGUAGACGUUACCUAAGUAGGUCAAGAAAUUCUUUACUUCUUGAUUCAAUGGACCACUUAGAAUACGUUGAGCCUUGCAAGAGAGUUUUAAAACCUAAGUAGGUCAAGGAAUUAAAUCCAUUUGUCUACAUUUUAAAAAUUUCAGGCUUUCUCGAAAUAUCGUCAGCGGUGCGCAGACAUCCAUAUGAAUAGAUGAUGAUUCAGUUUCUUUCGAGUUCUCCUUGGACUUCUUCACAUCCCUCUUCCCUUAGUACGGGGUAAGUGUAGGUUCGUCGUAUUCGAAAAAAAAAAAAGAAGAAGACUUAUGGAAAGUUGACUUGUACCUUAUAAAACUCUACAAGCACAUAGCUGUGCUCCUCUGUAGCACCCUUCAGUCCUCUAUUCAUGCACUUGCGCGUUCGGGAGGUCUUUCCAUUCCUGUAAUUGUUUACACAAUUUGGGAAACGUCAUUGAUGAGGGAGAGACAACCAGCUAGUUAAUUUCCAUAAAAGAAAAUAGAAAUUUUUCCAUGCGUGAUUUCAUUUCUUAACCUUUCAAAUGUGUAGGGUAUACACACACAUAUAUAUAUAUAUAUAUGUGUGCGUGUGUGUGUUUAUUUAUUUAUAUUAAUGAUAAUCUAGAAGCCUUUUUAUUUUUCUUUGUUGUUUGGAUAGUGAAGCACGAGAGAAUAUUUCUGGAAUCGCAUACUUAUUAAUUCAUGCACUUUUGCACACAUGUUAUGUACAACAUUGAAAGUCUUAUUAUUUUCUUUUCAGUUUAUGGGCUAUUUAGGAUUUUAGCUUUUCUCCAAGACAACCAUUUUGCAUAUGUUAAUUAGUUUAUAUCUUGAAUUUUUUCAAGCACAUCUUUUGCUAAUUAAACAUAUCAGUUGUAAGUCUGAGUUUUUCCCCUUCUUCUUUGUAUUCCACGUUCACAUGAUUGAGUAUUUCUAAGGCUCUUAAACUUGAUUUUGUUAAGUCUACAUUUUAUAGUUUUCUCUUAUAUUGUCAACCGUCACAAGUGUUGGUGCGAGCAAAUCAUAAGGUCAUGGUUUUGCAUGGUAAACAGCUUUGUUAAAAUAGUUUUGAACCUUAAUCAUACCAAAAAAAAAAAAAAAAAAGCUUUGUUAAAAGAGAAUGCAAUUUGAUCCCAUGACUCUAACUCCAAACCACUUGGAGUUUACAUGAUUCAUUUGUGGCUGUGUAUGUUCCUUUUUCUUUUUUCCUUUUACUUGCAUGAUUAGCAUUUGGUUUGGGUGGCUUUUUUGAUGCUAUAAACUACUGUUUUCUCAAGAUAGUUUGUUCUCAUUUCUUCUUAUUAUUACAAAUGAAACAUUCCCAAGAGAUCCAUUGACGCCAGAUUUGUUUCCAGAAAUUGAGCAGAUCGAACCUCACCCGAAGCAUGAAUUAACCCAUUGAAACAAGUGCUGGAAAGACAUUUUGUAGUAAUUCUUGUUCAUUGGACCAAAUCGUGUAGGAUGUAGAUGAUAAAAAUAAUAGUGUACCUCACAAGAAUGCAGAAGAUAUACGAGACAAACAAUUAAAAAAAUAAAAUGACAGGAAGCACAAAUUCUGAGAGUUUCCACCACUUGCGACAUGGAAUAGAAGCUUCCAUCCUUAAUUAUAAAUAGAAUAGCUGGGAAUCCUAGACAUAAACAUUCAUCUUAUAGUUCUCUACCAUACUCUCCAAAUUCAAAAGCAUGUUCAACUUCAACGUAAUCAUCUUCCUCUUCCUUAUAACUACCUCAAACCUCAUCUCCACCACUCCAACCCCAACACCACCGUCCAUCCUACCUCCCCACCUCACCACCUCGACUCCAACCGCAUCACCACCGCUCAUACUGUCUCAUCCUUCCAUCUUAAGACUUUGGUCCAAGCAUGUCAUGAGUGACAUGCCUGAGACCAUCAUUUCCCUGCUAUCCCCCUUGCAUGGUCAUGAUACUGAUCACCUUAACCUUGCAUCUAUACCCAACAAUGCCACAUUUUGCGAACAAGCAAAUUUGGCUUGUAAAGCAGAUGUCGAUGGCAUUACACCCCUAUCCAUGGCUUACGGUUAUAGCACUCACCCGUCACUUGAUCCGGUUGAUCCGUUAUCGUAUUUUAAGAAAUCUUUGUUGUUUACCCAAUCAAUCAUGGUGAACCUCCCCAAUUUGGAAUCUCAAUUCCCCAAAAGAGCCUUCCUCCCACUAAAACUCUCCGCUAAAAUUCCGAUGAAUGCGAAGGACCUGGAAACCCACUUUCCACAAUCAUUUCAAAAGGCGAUGUUGAGAAAAAAUAUGGAGAUCAGUUUGAUGCAUUGUUCGGCUCCCAAUUUGCAAGGUGAGGAGAAGGGGUGUUUUAAUUCACUAGAAGGAGUUAUCACAUUUGCCCAAGCUGCCUUGCGUGCAAACAACCACCACAUCGUCGCACUUGCAUCUUCAUGCCAGGGAACUCACCAGGGAAGUCAAGUUGUUAUCCGCAGCGUCCAUCAAGUUGGGGCUAACACAAGCGUUAGUUGUCAUGAAAUUUUCUUCCCCUUCAUGGCAUAUUAUUGCCAUGUCCUACCCUCCACCCAAGUGUUUAGUGUGGGUGUAGUGAGCAGCAAAGGCUUGGGUGCUCCGGACAGGGGGAAUGGGACAAUACUCUAUGCCAUUUGUCAUUUGGACACAUCUUCUUGGCCUAAAGGUCAUCCAGCCUUCAAGAGUCUGAAAACGUCUCCUGGGGAAGCUGAAGUUUGCCAUUGGUCGACCAAGUCUAAUAUUAUCUGGAUUCUCGGUGCCGACUACAGUCAGCAUUAAAAGUGUUAUCCUCCGUAUACUCCUUAUCAUUGGAGUUCUGUCAUGCUUACUGGAGUUCUGUUAUGCUCCUGUCUUUUAUGUAUGAUUCCUGCUACCAUAUGAGAACUGCUGUUUUAUGUGUUAUAAAAGAAUAAAAAAGUACUAAAUAUUGAUUAGUACUUAUAUGUGUUAUUGACGUGUGAUAGUAUUCUGGCCUUAUGAUGACAGUGCUUAUAUGUUUUGAUAGUGCUUAUCUAAACAGAGUAUAUUGUUUAUCCUUUUCAAUCUUUUUGUUUUAACAAUUUAUUACUGUUUUCAAGUCACCAAAAGUUUUGUUUUAACAAUUUAUUACUGUUGUCAAGUCACCAAAAGUUUGGCCAAAGGAAACACCCCCAGUAGUGAUUUGUCAUAAAAACUGAUUAGUCAUAAAAGAGGGGGGGGGGGGCGGAAUUGUUUUUGUUGCAAUUCGUUAGUGAUUUGCAGCGAAAGCACACAUUACCACCAAAACCUGUGCUAUCGUCCGGACUCAACCCUUCCAAUCAUAGCAAUACAACAACAUAUGUGCGUCUGUCAAGCAUUAGCUUCAACUUUUACACUACGAUUACCUACAUAAGCUAAUUAGUACAAGUUUCGAGCAUCCAAUUAAUCAGGCUGACUGUUGGGAAUUUGAUUUGGUUGAAGAUGGUUUCCGCAUGAGAUAUAUAAGACAUGCAGGUGGUGCAGAUGGAUGGAUGGAUGGAUGGGGAGACGCAUGAUGCACCUUAAAUGGGAAGGCGGGGACGAUGAGUUUGUGACAAUUUAUGCAUGAAUUUGUCUGAUCGAAUCUAAGGUUUUGCAUUCUCGUAAGAGUUGAAGAAUUGGUUUGACAUUUUAAAGAGGUAUUCAUUCGUGUAAGGUUAGUUAAUGAUUAAAUAUCACAGUUUUUGUCUUUCCAGCAUUCUUUUUCUUUUUUAAUUAUUAUUUGAUUGUAGAAGAAAUUUUCUUCAAUCGUACUCUUUGGCAUACUAACAGUGGUUGCAAAAUUUCAAUGACUGAACUUUAUAUAAUGUAUCAUACUCGUAGAACCAAUAUGGAAAUCACUAGUGCUCAGCUAUAGUGUGUUUCAUACAAUCACACUGUCUUUCUCAUAACAUCCUUGUGAAGAUCACUACAAGCCUUUAGACCUCAAAGCGAUAAAAACUAGCAAUAUGAAGAACUUGUGACAUUUUUUUUUAAAGUAUGCUAUUUUUACAAAUUUGUGCAUGAAGUUAAAAGAUAAUAAUAAAAAAAAGAUUGAAGAUAUCAAAAAGUAUGCUAUUGAAUAAAGAUAUCAAAAAAAAAAAGAACCAUGCACUCACUCUCCCACAAUUUAAAGAUUCUAUCACUUUAUUUUCCUGAUAUGUAUUAUAUCAAAUUGAACUUUUGUUAGUCAUCUUAUCUUUGGUGGAAUCUCAUUAGUCUCUUUAUACAUAGUUUUUUUUGUCUGGUUAUCUACCUUUUUCUUUCUCCUGGUGUUGGGUUAUGAAAUGAUAAGCAUGAUGAUGAUGAUGAUGAUGGAUCCUGUGAAGCUUAAUUAAUGGGUACCUUUGCUUUAUAUAAAAAUUUACUUAAUUGUAGAUUCUCAUGGAAAUGUGUGGUUAGAUGGAUGUUGCUUUUUCUUUUUUUCUUUUUUUUUGGGUGGAAAAUUAUCUUUUGCAUUUUCUUUAUUUGGGUUCAUUGUUUUUCGCCGUAGGGUGGUUCAUGGUUCUAGUUUCAGUUAAAUGUCUUUCCCAUCAGAAAUCAAAAGGAUGAUGUUUGGGAUUUAUGUUACCUUGUAAAUCUACAAAUCCCUUUCUUUCGAGAGCCAAAAAUUAAAAAUCGGCUUUGGUUUUCACGCUUUUCAAUAGAUUUUUUUCAUUGUGAACAUAUUUUAUUAGUUGAAGUCCUAGCUAGUGCACCAUUACUUUUUAUUUCUAAAUCAUGAUUUUUGAACUAGAACCACAUAACAAGAUAUUUGAACUAUUUCAAACAUAAUCAUUGCCACGUAGCAGUUAUGCAAGGUCUAUUUUUCUUAUUCCAGUUUCAUAUUUGGGGCCAAUUUUUUUUCUUUUUUGUGAUAGACAGGCAAUUCCUUUUCCUACACUAUCAAUGUGUGAGAUUCUGUCGUAGUGGAAAUGGAACAGGGGACAAUGUUGGGAUUAGGGCUGCAAAUGAACCGAGCAGCUCGCGAGCGGGUAGAGCUGUUAAACGAGCCGAGUCGAGCUCGAGCAUAGGAUAAUCGAGCUCGACUCGAACCCCUAAUCGAGCUAGCUCGAGCUCGCUCGAUUAGUCAUUCGAGCUCUACAAGGCGCUCGAACUCGACUCGAUGUGUUGAUAGAAAACUCGAGCUCGGGCUCGAGCUCGAUUUUUGAAAUCGAGCCGCCGAGCUCGAAGCUCGAACUCGAGCUCGCGAAAAACUCGAGUCGAGCUUUUCGAGCUCGAGCUCGCGAAAAACUCGAGCUCGAGUUCGAGCUCGUUUACGGGAGAGCCCAUAUCACAAGAAGAUACACUUUCUCUUAUUUAUUAUUUGAAGCCAAAAUGACAAUACAAGCCAUGCCAAAUGACAAUACUCGUAUUUCCCUGAUUCAAUUCAACAAGCCAUGCCUCAAUCACAAUACAAGGCAGAGUCUAAAGUUAAAACUACAGCAAAAACCAUCAAAUGGAGAAACAAAAUGUCCACAGGGGGAUUACAAUGUCCAAACCACAUCAAAUUACAAGAAGUUUAAACUGCAGCAAGAAGUUAAAACUACACCAAAUGACAAUACAAGAAGUUAAAACUUCAGCAAACCAUGUCAGAUUACCACGUCCACACCAAAAUGUCCACAUUACAACAUGAAAAAUUAUAUAAACUGCCACAUUACGAUAUCAACAGCCUCCAGUAAUCCAAACCAGAUCAGAUUACCACAUGUCCACACCUCUAGCACUACUUCAGUCAUAUCAUCCCAUAUGCUGGAUUUCUUCUUCCUUUGCUUUUUCUCAAAAGGACCAGCUCCUCCAUCUCCAUCUACUUGCUGUCCUCCUUCAUUGUCAUCAUCUUCUAUUAUUUCUAUUUCUUCUUCACUCAUCUCAUCAGCUCUUUCUUCGUUGUAAUUCAAUUGUUCCACGUCUUCAUUAUUUUGCUCCAUCGUAGGACUUGAUGAUGAACCUUGAAAUGAGUUGAAUGGAGAGCUGUACAUUCCUUAAUCAAAAACAUUUAAUAACCAAUACAGAAUCUGAUUAGUUAAAACAGAAAUUUAGAAUAACAUUUCUAAGAAAUAAGGUACAAAAGUAAUAAAACAGAUUUCAAAAAAUAAUGCCCACUUCAAGCUAAAAAAAAUAAUGCUAAGAAAGUCUGCACUUCAAGCUAAUUUUAUCACAACUGCAGACUUAACCAUUAAAUCAACUAAAUCAUCACCAUUAGUUACGAACUUGCAAAUUAGGGGAAUCAACCACUGAAACAAAUAUGAUGCAACAGUUAAUUUUCUAUAGCAUUGUACCAAAAAGAAUUCGAAAAGGUUUAAGGAAAGCUCCAGUGAAGAGAAUGGGAUAUAAAACAGAUUUACAUACAAAAAAUAAAAUAAAAUAAAAAACUUCAAAAAUUGUGAAAAAAAUCAUAAUGCUAGAGACUAAUAAAGAUCAAAUAUUAUAUAUUGCAACCAUCCAACAAAUAGACCCUACUUAUGGGACAGUCAUACAAUCACAGGAGCUUAAGCUGCACAGGCAAACCAUAUAGAACUAAUGAUAAGUUGACCAGGAAAACAGGAACUCUCAUGAAAAAUCCAACGAAAUCAACCUCAAAGUUGUGUACGCACUUCAACCAAAUUAAUGAUUUUCAAUACUCGUAAACAAGGCAUUUGGAUUCCUCUCAAUUUGUCAAUCAUUUACAAAUGGUUCUAUGAACAUAAAAACCUGUGCCAGGGCCUGCCAACAUGGAACCAUCUCCCAAAACAGCAACGCAUACUAUUGCUGAUCUUAGAUUGGACCUCUUGAUGCCACACCAUAUCUGUUAGGACCAUAAGCAAAGAUUGUCCAACAGCUUCUUCCCAAGGAUGACAGAAUUCAGUUACAUGCACUUUAAAGUUGCAUACUAAACCUACGUACCAGAGGAUCACAAAAUUCAAGUAUAAAAUGAAAUUCACACAAAAUACCAGUACCAGUGGUAUGUAAGUUGAUGACUACAAAAACAGAUUGCAUGCAUCCGUUUUUACAUGACUGAACAAUAACAGUACCUGUUCUUACAUGACUACAUCUGUUAUUACAUGACUGAACAAUAACAGUACCUGUUUUACAUGACUUCAAAAUUAUCCUACUCAUGUUAGGGGUUAGCAUUUUUGUAUUUUCAGAGAUCCUAUCCAAAGUUACUCCCCCAAUUCAAAGAAUUUCAGACUCUCUUGCAAUUACUCAUGCACUAUUAAGCUGCAUCUGUAUAUUAGCAUAACACCAGAGAAGCCUAAGCAGUAUGUCUCUCAUAAUAUAACAUAAAAAGGUUUGCUGAUACACAACAAAGUCACUUAGUACCUGCAAUUCACUAAAACUUUUGCACGAAGAGUACUUUAAAGUAUCAAGAUGUCACUAAUUUCAACCACAGCAAAUAAUUAUCAAAACAUCAAGGCUACGAUAAAAAACCAUCAAGGCUACUUACCAGAAUGCAGUGAAUCGGGGUAUGGUAGAGGGCCCUGGUGGCUGGCUCUACCGAAAUGGCUCCGUAUGGCGUUGCUCCGUAUGGUGGCUGCGGCUGUGGAACGGGAAAGAGAUGACAGAAAUGGAGGCUACGGGGUGCGGCGGCGUGAGACUGGAGGCUACGGGGUGCGGCGUGCGAAUGGAGGCUACGGGGUGCGGCGGCGUGAGAAUGGCGGCUGCGGCUGUGGAAUGGGAAAAUAGAUGACAGAAAGGGGAAAUCAAAAAAUUAGGGAUGGCUGGUGGUGAGAAUGGAGGCUGAGGGAUGCGGCGUCACCGGCGUGAGAAUGGAGGUUGAGGGAUGCGGCGUGCGGUGGUGUGAGAAUGGAGGCUGCGGGGUAAGUCGGGUGACGGCUAUAGGAGGAGAAAACGAAAGACCAAUUGAGGAAAGAAUGAAUUAGGGCUACAGACAGACGGACCCUUUGAAUAGAUUACCAUUUACCACAUACACGUGGAAAUGACGAAAAUGCCCUUAUUUUUCGAGCCUACCGAGAUUAAACGAGCCGAGCCCUGCUCGGCUCGUUUAUUAAACGAGUACCUAUUAGAGCUCGAGCUCGGCUCGUUUCUCUCUGUUAACGAGCCGAGCCGAGCUCUAAUCGAGCCGGGUCGAGCUCGGCUCGCGAGCUGCCCGGUUCGAUUAACAGCUCUACGAGCGGGUCGAGUCAAAACUCAACUCGAUCAAUUAAUAUCGAACUCGAGCUGGCCAAUUCGAGCUCGAACUCGAGAUCAAAAUAUUAAGCUCGUUGAGUAUAUGUAUUUUUUAUUUUAUUUUUUAUUUUAAUAGUAAAAUUACAUAUAUAUCCCUAAUAUUUUAUUAUUUAUUAAGAAAAAAUAAUUAUUUAUUUUUUAUUAGAAUAAUUUCUAGAAACUCGAACUAACGAGCUGCUCAUGAGUCAGAAAUUCGAGCUAUGUUACCAGCUGGCAAUUCGAGCAGUUCGUGAGCCAGAAAUCGAGCAACAGCUCGCGAGUCUUAUGGAGUCGAGCCUGAGCCUGGCUUUUUCUUAGUCGAGUCGAGCUCGAAUUCAAUUUUCUUGGCUUGUCGAACUCGAGCUCGAACUCGAGCCUACUUGUUAUUAAGUCGAGUUCGACUCGAUAAAUCCAAAACUCGACUCGACUCGUUUGUAGCCCUAGUUGGGACGGGGUGCGUUUCCUAUUUGGGAACUUUUGAGCUCAUGGUGAAUCCUUGCGCAGUUUUUGGCGGAGUCACUGUCAUGGACCUUUCGUUUCAAUUGCACAAUGUUUUAUAAAUGUUAAAACAAACCUAUGAUUCCCAUCUUUAUGACCAAAACUACGCGAACCAAUCCCUACUGCAUAUAUUUAAUAAGUUUGUGACACUAAUUUUUUAUAUUAUGUACCUAAAAGUUGGGGUGUUCUUAUUUUUGAAAACAGGAAGAAAAAAAAAAACCAAACCGAUUUAAAUCGGAUAUGUGUAAAUUGGAUUUUUGGUAAAACCAAUCUAUGUCCAAAGUCUAAUAGUGGUAAAAUGAUUGGUGAACGGAUUCUAAAAUUAGAUUUCUGAAUUUUGAUUACCGUUCGAUUUUUCAAAAUAGUAACAAUAAUAAUAUGUUAUGUAUGUACAUAUAUUAGAGUACUAAUAACUGAUAACUAACGAAGAUUGAACAAUCUAAUAAUCUGAUCUUACUUAAUAGUUAGCAUCCACAGAAUACAUUUGGCUGUAGUCUAUAACUAUAAUAUGAUCUUAUUAUCUUUUAGCUUUGAGUUUGACAAUGGGAAUCACCAAAACACUCUUUAAUUAGGCUUCAAAUUUCUCUAUCCUUGUUUGCUCUAAACGGGCUUCUCUGGUUGUUCUGAAUAACCAUUAUUAUUACUACUCAAUUAGACAAUUACUCAUCUUGCUUGAUAUUUCGAUCGCUUACGGAUACGGGGCAGGGCCCUGAGCGGUCCUCUCACAAAAAAAAAUGAGAGGACUGCAAUGGGCCACGUAUAAUGGGAGCAACAGCAAAGGAAAACGACGUUUUUUUAGUGAGUGAGUAGGAAAAAAAAUAAAAAAACAUUUGAGGGGCUAACGGGCUCCGUUAAAAUACCUCAGCUGUUCCGUUCCAGAAAUUCCCGCUCAAAUUAAUGAGGCACGACUCUUCAUCUGAAAUUUUCAAAUGAAAUAGAAUUUUGGUCUCCCUCCAAAAACAUAUCUUGUGAACAUUCAUUCACAAUUCCAGAGUAUCAGCAAAAUAAUAUCCCUACCCCAAAUUGGGAAGUUUCAGAUGAGAGGUUUUUGGAGAAAGUGUAUAGUGUUGCAGAAGUAACUGUUGCGGGACAAAAAUUUUUCAUGAAGGCUGCAACAAGACGGAAGUUGGUGAGAUCUAAAGCAGAGAUAGACUCAAUCGAAUUGGACUAAACCCCAAAGGUAAGAAUAUUGCAAACUCAUUGCACUAUUUGGUUUGUUUUGCGACAGAAGAGGGAUGAAUUUACUUGCAUGAUUUUGUUUGUACAACUCGUUUAAGACAGUGUGACAUGAAUAAUGAAAUUGAAAUUCUGGCGAAAACUCCUAAACAAGGAAAUCAUAUGGGUAGCAUAAAUUAGAUACAUUGAGAGCCAACUUAAAGAACGUAUGCACAGGGAACUUAUGCAUGCCAAGUGUUUGUAAAUUUGACUCAAUUGAUGAAUUAAAGUUCUCACCUUUUAAAAUCUGGUUGCAUAGUAUACAUAUAUCUUGGCUAAAAGAGAUUGAGUGGGGUGGCUUGCGUAGCAAAAACUAUCAGGGUAGUUGAUAAGUACAUGUCUAUCAAAAUUUAUAACCGCAUGGCGAGAAAUUUACAUAACUUAGUUGUUUCUUUGAAUUUGCAAUUGGGUGUUGGUUCAUCGGUAAUGUUGUCUACAUGGCACAUAAUAUGAUAUUAAAAUUGCUAUACAGAUGGUUAGUAAUUAUGUUGACUUCAUCGUAGUGUGUAUGUGUUGAAAUGGGCCAAACGUGUACAUAAUUAAUGACUUAUGUGCAAUCUUUUUGUUGAUGGAAUGAGUAAGUGCAAUGGUUCACAUUGUGAUGACUGAUGUACACGUGGUAAUUGACAGAAAAUGCAGUUGUUGAUAGCAACAAGUUGACAGAGGAUGGGAUUCCUAAAACAGGAAUGGGGUUUGAUGCAGAAGAUGAGGCUUAUAAAUUUUACACAUAUGGUUUUGUCAUGAGCUUCAACAUCCAAAAAGACUACUUGAACAAGGACUAGGAUGGCUUGACAACAUCAAGAAGGUACACUUGUUGUAAGGUAUCCCAUAAUACUUGUGUAUGCUUACAUGGUCAUAAAUUUAUAGAAGUUAGCUUAUUGUUUAAAUUUGCAAUUAAUUAUUGGCCCUUACAUACUAUCACGUACAUACACAUAAUGUGAAAAUGAAUUUGGGUUAAUAUCAGAAACCUCCCUUGAGGUUUCUUCUAAUCACAUUUAGCACCCCUCAUAUUUUUGAAAUCACACUUAGCAUCCCUGGAAUGACAACUUUGGUUUCUUGUCAGCCCCUCUAUUUGAAAAUGGUAGUAAAAAAUGAAUUGUAGGAGAGAGACUUUAUUUUGGUUCCACUUUUACCCAAAGCCCAAAAUGAUUAGUGAAUUUUAGAAGAUAAAAAUAGAAAUAAAUAGGCAUAUGAUAUUAAUUUAGAAGCUGAGGGUGUAAAAGUGUAAUAAAAAGAAUGUUAUAACUAAUUAUCAGAGAUUUUGGCGAUAUAGAGAUGCAUAACUAAUUAUGGACCUGGGGCCGGAACGGUUGCACUCCGGAAGCUUGUGUGCAUUUUGCACACGGUGUAACAUCAUUUGUACACGUUGUAACACUAGAAUAACAGCGAGUAAUUAUACUACCUUUAACAGCAGUAACCGUCCCUGCCCCUUCUCCACUAAUUACAUAGUCCAUGAUACUACAUUGGAUCAGUCUAGUAACAUGAUACGUAAGCCUUAUAUUGCAAUCCAAUUCUGAACAAAAACACCAUCUACAACUAGUUGUUUAGAUGGUGAGGAUUGCAAUGCACAAAACUAUACAAAAGUAGUUCUAAGAUUAGUCAAACAGCACCAUAAGUGGCAGGAAAUAUAAAUCAGAUGCACAUUGCACCACUUAUCAACAAAUUGUCCACAAAAGCUAACAUUGCUUCAGUAUUGCUGGGAGCUAAGAAGACUAGUACCUAAACUACUUCAGAUACCACAAGCAAGGAUUGCGGGGAACCUUUAGCACUCUCAAAACAUCAUAGAGAAACUGCUGGUUAUAGUGUUAGAGGCCACUAUUGCAGCAGUAUUAAUGCUAACAGAAGUUUCGGCUUGAGAUCCACCAUUUAGAGUAGCUUGAGCAUUUGGUACAAAGGGAAUUAUACCUUGAUUGUUUACAGCAGCAUUGGUUUUCAUUGAAGACCUUCUUCUCUGCAUCAGAAAAGAACAAAUUUAAACUUUUUUGCUGCAAAACUUUAAAUUACUCCAGUAGUGCACUAGUUCUGAAUUUUGCAGCAGCAAUGUAUGACAUUAUAAUGCUUACCCUCUUAGUAGAAGUGCUUGUGCUAGCCUGCAAAUUAACUUGCACAUUGACAGCUACAUCUUGUUGGCGAAAACUUGGAUUACUCCCCUGACUUGAAACAACCACUGGCACAUUUCCUUGUACCUGAUCCUAGAUCACAGAAGACAUGAUAAACAAGUUAAUAAUAUGUGCAACGUAUAUACUUUGGUACAUAAUCAGAUGAUCAGAUUGAACUUAAUUACCCAAAGCACAGCCCCUGCCAAUCCCGUGUUAGCUAUGCCUCUACCAGGCUUUCCUCUCCUUAGAGCACCCUGCAAUGUAACAACUUCAAAAUUGAGCAUAUAAUUAUCUAGCUCCCACAAGUUAGCUAAUAUUUUGUGAUUAUCAGGACAAAUUUGGUCCCUUUUACAUGUAUACAUAGUCAAGUAACUAACACCUAACGUGAUGUAUAUUUUUGUAAACUGAUUGUACCUCAUAAAUCACCCUGUGUAAAGUACUCACAGAUAAGCAAGAACUACUCAUACAAGUAAAAUUACAUAUCUACUAUAGGGAGAUGCACAAAUUGAUCAAAGGGCUAAAUAACCAUUCGAAAUUUAUGCGUAUACAUGCACUACCUUUUAUAGAUAUACACAAUCAAGUAACUAACAUCUAACAUAAUGUACAUUUUUGUAAACUGAUCGUACAUCAUACAUCACCCCUUGUAAAGUACUCAUAAAUAAGCAAGGACUACUCAUACAAGCAAAAUUACACAUCUACUAUAGGGAGAUGCAUAAAUUGAUCAAAGGGCUAAAUAACCAUUCCAAAUUAUGCGUACCAUUACACUACCUUUUAUAGAUAUACAUAAUCAAGUAACUAAGAUCUAACAUAGUGUACAUAUUUGUAAACUGAUUGUACUUCAUAAAUCACCCCGUGUAAGGUGUUUAUAGGCAAAUUGUGCGCCAAAACAAUGGCAUUUUUGUUAUUUUCUGGUUUCCAAUAAUUUUUCUUAUUCAUUAUUUUUUUCCAGCAUUUCCCCGUUUAAAACUUUGCCUGGUGUUGGUGGUUUUUGGGUAAUUUCUCACCUUUUGAUUAGGACAACCUGUCACAUCCUAUUGUCAGGGGUGCUAAGUGUGAUUUCAAAAACAUGGGGGGUACUAGAUGUGAUUAGAAGAAACCUCAAGGGAGGUUUCUGAUAUUAACCCAAUGAAUUUACUAUACAGUUGUUCGCUGGUUAUAUAGAAUCGAUAUAAGCGUACAAAUUGGGAUCUAAUAUGUUAUACCCUGCAUGCAAUUGUUAAUACAUUAUAUCUGAUUGGACUAAACCCCAAAGGUAAGAAUAUUGCAAACUCAUUGCACUAUUUGGCUUGUUUUACGACAGAAGGGGGAUGAAUUUACUUGCAUGAUUUUGUUUGUACAACUCGUUUUAAGACAAUGUGACAUGAAUAAUGAAAUUGAAAUUCUGGCGAAAACUCCUAAACAAGGAAAUCAUAUAGGUAGCAUAAAUUAGAUACAUUGAGAGCCAACUUAAAGAACGUAUGCACAGGGAACUUAUGCAUGCCAAAUGUUUGUAAAUUUGACUCAAUAGACGAAUUAAAUGACUUAAAAUAUUUAUAGGUAUAUAAAAUAACAGGGAGAGUGUGAAGGUAAUUGUUACUUGCUUUUUUUUUUAUUCUUGUUACAGAAUAGCAGUGACACCGUAUAGUUUAAACUGUAUUACCGACCGUGUAUGGACGCUUACAUCACAGUAGACAAAGAUAAAAGUUAAGUAAAGCGAGUUACACUAAUGAAAUAGGGAGUACAACACUGCAAUGCCUGACUCACAAUGCGUACAUUUAUGACUAUAAACCGUAACUGUCAUCUAACAACAUGUAUAUUAUCGGAAACCUAUUGUGCACAAUUGUGACACUAUAUGACCAUCACUCACAUAUAUGAUUUUGUCAUAGAUUUCAGCAUCCGAAAAGUCUAACUAAACAAGGAUUAGGAUGGCUUGACAACAUCAAGAAGGUACACUUGUUGCAAGGUAUCCCAUAACAUGAUUACAAUGAUAUUUGCCUACUCGUAAUUGCUUUUAAAGUAUGGUGUAACUUGUUGCACGGUAUAAAUUUUACUACUUGUAAUUGCUUUUAAAGUAUGGCGAAAAUUUUGAUAACUUGUAAGAUUUUGCCUAGACGACGUAUGUGAUGUACACCAUGUUUAUUGGAACGUAUAGCAUGUUAGUCAUUAAUAACAUUUAUAUCAGAUGUUUUUAUUAGAUGGUUAUUUGUUCCAAUUGUCUAUGAAAUUGACAAUUAGUGCUUAUGAGAGUGCAUUAAAUUAGAUAGAUAGUUUACUUCAAUGAAUGGCCAGUACAUGCAUACUUAGUGAAUGUACAAUCUGAUUGAAAUAAUGUACACCAUUUAACCGACCAAAUACAAUGUGUACAAAUUUUUGAAUAUGCGGUUAGUUGUCCAUAUGCAUAUUGCAAUUAGCCGUUGCAGCAACAACUUGUACUGAUUUUUAGUAAAUUUUUUUACUUGUAUGAGUAGUACUGAUUUGUCUGUAAACACUUUAUACAGUGUGAUGUAUAAAUACAAUUAGUUUACGAAAAUGUACAUCAUCUUAGGUAUUAGUUAUUUAAAUGUGUAUAUCUAUAAAAGAUAGUACAAUGGUAUGCAUACCUUUGGAAAUGUUAUUGGUGUUUCGACCAACUUAGGCAUCUCCUUACAAGCUGCAGUAGAUGUGUAUAUUACUUGUAUGAGUAAUACUAAUUUGCCUAUAAGUACCUUAUACUGGGUAAUCUAAAAGGUACAAUCAGUUUAUAAAAAUAUACAUCAUGUUAGGUAUUAGUUACUUGACUGUGUAUAUCUGUGAAAGGUAAUGCAAUGGUAUCUAUAACUUUGAAAUGGUUAUUAGCCUAGAUAAGGUGUGUGAUGUACACCAUAUUUAUCAGAAUGUACAAUAUGUUAUUCAUCAAUACGAUGCAUAGAAAUUGUUAAAUAUACAGUUAUUUGUUCACAUGCAUAUUGCAAUUAGUCAUCACAGCAAUAUGCAUAGUGCAAUGGUAUGCAUACAUUUGGAAUGGUUAUUGAUGUUUUGACCCACUUGUGCAUCUCCUUGCAGGCUGCAGUGCGCGUGUAAUUUUAUCUAGGUGAAUAAUACUAAUUUGCUUAUAAACACCUUACACAGGGUGAUCUAUAAGGUACAAUCAAUUUACAAAAAUGUACAUUAUGUUAGAUGUUAGUUACUUCAAUGCGUAUAUCUAUAAAAGGUAGUGCAAUUGUAUACAUAAAUUUGAAGCAGUUAUUUAGCCAUUUGAUCAAUUUGUGCAUCUUCCUAUAGUAGAUGUGUAAUUUUACUUGUAUGAAUAAUCUUUGUUUGUCUGUGAGUAUCUUACACAAGGUGAUCUACGAGAUACAAUCAGUUUACAAAAAUGUACAUCAUGUUAGGUGUUAGUUACUUGACUAUGUAUAUAUAUAAAAGAGAGAUUAGAUAUAAUGCAGAAAAAAGUAAUUACAUGAGUUGGAAUGUAUUAUACAAACUUUGGUAUAGUUGAUAUUAAAAUUUCUCUGUUGAGGGUACACGUUGUUAGUGGAUAUGGAGUAGUGCUAUAUGUUAUGUACGCUUACAUGGUCAUAAAUUUACAGAAGUUAGUCCAUCGUUUAAAUUUGUAAUUGGUUGUUAGCCCUUACACACUGUCACAUGCAUACACGUAAUGUAAGAAUGAAUUUAAUAUAUAGUUGUUAAUUGGUUACAUAGAGUUCAUAUAGGCAUACAAAUUGGGGUUUGAUUAGCUAUACUCUGUAUAUAAUUGUUAACACAUUAUAUCGUAUUCACCUUAUUUUGCAGCAUGUCAUGGGCAAAGAUAGCGUCUUUUGACAAAUUAAUGGAUAUCAAUCAAUACUGGUGAAGCAAAGACAUUAGGUAUGUUUAGCCUAUUUUACGAUAUGUUUAAGGAAAUAAAGAUUUUUAUUUCACAAAUUGGUGAAAAUUAGUUACAUUUGGGGUGUGUUUGUUUGAAUGUAAAAUGUUUUCCUGAAAAUGUUUUCCAAAUUUUCCUGUGUUUGGUAAUCAUUUUAUCUUGGAAAAAGAUUUAUGCGGGGAAUAUAUUUUACUUCACUUGGUGGAAAAUAACUUCAUCUUUUGACUUACUAAAGUUAUUUUCCUUCAUUAAAACGAGCGGCUCUUGCACUUCACAAUAGAGCUCCCUACCCACAUUCUAACAAAAACAAACAAAGACUUUGCGCUAAAGAUACAGAGAGUAGGCAAUGAAGAUUGGAGAGACUCAGAAAUCACCAACAAUAUGAUCAUUUCUGAUGGCAGCCAUCUCCAACUCUGGCAAGGUGCCUUGGGUGAGAUUCUUAUUUAGGGCUUUGUCUUGAAUAUCUUUUUAUUUUUUCCAAAAAAAUCUGAUAAAAUCGGUUGUUCCAAUCUAGGAUUCUAUCGAUUUUUUUUUAAUUUUGUUGCUAUAAUUCUUGAGAAUUGUGGCACUAGUUUCACAGAGGAAUUUGGAUUUUUUUUUAAAUUUCAGUUUUCUUUUUCUAUAAUUAUAUGAAGCUCUAGGAAUUCUGGUAAAAUUUAUUGCUCCACUCCCAUUUUCUGACGAUUCUUAUUGAGGUAAGGGCUUGAGCUUGCAUGAUUGUUUUUGUAUCAAUUGAUUGAUAGAUUAAGAAACUUCAGUAGUUUUUUUUGUAAAUUAUCAAUCAAUUGGUGUCCUUAAAGUUUGAUUUUGUCUUUCUAUUGAGAAAUUUGUUGUUAAAUGUAUAUGGCUGUUAUUGAUUUCUCUGAGCGAUAUGAAUACUGAAUGUUGGGAUUUCUUGUCUAGAGAAUUUAAAUUUUAGGAUUUAUGUUUUGGGAUUGGGGUAAAGGUUAAGUUGUUAAGACGUUCGCAAGGUGAGGUUCUCUAGUAUCUUAAAUAUUCAUUCAGUUGCGCAUAUACUCUUCUGGGAUUAGGGAGAAGAAAGAAGAGAAAGGAGAGAGCGUGUGUGUCGAAAGGUAAACAAUAGAAAGUAAUGAAAUGCUCAUCAUUUUGAGUCAAAUCAAAGAGUUUGUUUUCUUUUCUAACCAUCUAGAUACUUCUGUUUUCCUUUCUUUAUGGCCACUGUGUUAGUGCUUCAUUUUUGCGCAUCUUGCAUAUGUAUUACUUAUUUAUUUUAAAUUGUGAAUGAAACAAUCAAGUGAAGAUUAAGUUUGUGUGCUAAUAUUAUGUUACUCUGAUGCUUUUUUCCCCUUGUUUUAAUUUUGUAGAGACAUACAUAAAUAGUGGAUUAUCCUAAAAGAGACUGCAAUGGAAUUUUGCCGGACUAGUGGGAUGUUAUUGCAGUAUGAAUUGCCGCAUAUGGACCGCCCUGCCAGAUUCUUUUGUCCAACAUGCCCAUAUGUAUGUCACAUAGAUAGUAAGGUAAGUCAUUAUAAAUCCUUGUUGAGGGUUUAUUUACUGGCUAUUCACAAUGUCCAUUGUGUCAUUGCUAAGUUAUCAACGCAUGUGGCAGGUUAAAAUAAAAAGAAAGCAUCAGUUAGUUAAGAAAGAACUAGAUCCUAUCACGUAUUAAGAUAUUUAUUUUUCCUGUUGUGUUUCAGCAUCACCUUGGAGGUGAUCUACAAGUGGAAAAAAGGAGGGCUGACUGAGUACCUUGCCACUUGCCUUGGCCUUGGGAAUUUGUAGGUGCAGGCCAACUGGAUUUGUUCAAAGCUCUGGUCACUAAAUUUUUUCCUGUAAAACGUUCACAUGAACAUUGGUGACGUGUUGUAUAGAUGUUUCCUUUUGUAUCCAUGAUUUACUACCUAGGCAACUGAUAUUUUUGGGACCAUUUUCCAUUUGGAGAUGUGAUUUUCCUUUUUGUUGAGCAAUAUUUUAUAUUUUGGCUUAUAUUUGCCUUUGUAUGUAUUGAAUUGUUCCAGAUUUUUGAUCCAACGGAGGCCAACAACAUUUAAAGCAGGGAUUUGAAUCAUUCUAGGCUUGAUUAGGGUGCUUGUAUGUACCAAUGGUUCUAACUCUGUACCAUGAAUAAGAUUUUUGAUUCUGGAGCUGAAAUCUUGGUUUAUAUUCCAAUAUAGGAUUCUCUGCAUUUAGGUUCUUCUCCCUUUUCAAAGGAACAACAUAAUGACAUGAUACUAUACCAAUAAAGAAUAGUUGUUUAGCUAGGUUUUUGUUUGGUUUUUAACUCUUCUUUCCCAACCAAUUCAUUAGUAUCAUUAAUAAUUCCAUUUAAGAAUUCAUGGUGUAAUAUGAAUAAAUAUUUUAUAGAAAUGAUAAUAUGAUUAUAAUGGAUAGAAACUAAAAUUAACUUCUAACGAAAUGAAAGUUUUAAGAGUAGAAAAAUAUUUGCAACAUAUCAACAAACAUAUUAGAAAAUAUUUUCAUUGAUAAACCAAACAUUGGAAAAUUAUGAAAAAAGGAAUUUGAAAAAUAUUUUCACUUAAUAACCAAACACUGGAAAAUUAUGGAGAAAGAAGUGAUUUUUCAGGAAAAUGACUUCAAUGGAAAAUAUUUUCCCUUGUCCCUAGGAAAAUAUUUUCCAUUUUGAUCCAACCAAACGGACCCUUAGUUACUUAUAAGUUACAUACAUGCUGAUUGAAUAAAAAUUUAAUUAGUCAUCUAUCACUAAUAGUCAAACUGAUAUGUAUUGAACAAAGUAAAUAGCCUUUACAAUUUGCAUGAGCAGUGGCAAGAUGGCACGGAAAAGGAUAAAAAAGAAUCCAAAUGAAAAGGAAGAAAUAUGAAAAGUGGGAACUAUUGACCUUGCAGAACCAAUCCCACCAUUUAUAAUUAGAAAGUAAAAAAAGAAAUCAACUUGAGAAGAAGAAAUGGAGCAAGUGAAACUCAGUUAACAGCAUUGUAUAACUCUUUUAAUUUAUUUUUAUAGAUUUUUGUUAGCACAAUAUUUGUAAUUUUCAAUUUCGAUUUAUACAAAAUGUUAUGUAGUGAUAGGUAAGAAUCCUUCUAGAUAUCAUUGUAAUUAUCGUAGAUUUUUGUUCAAUUUGUAGAUUUGUUUGAAGCAUUGUAUAUAUCCAUUAGAAUUGUUGUCCAUAAUGUUAUAACUAGAGUAUUCAUUUGGUUUAUUUUUAUAUGCAUCACAGUUAAUAAACUUAAGGAUAUUUGUUCAAAGAUCAAUUAAAUGAUAGAAGUAUGCCAAAAUUGAUAUUCCAACCACGUUUUUAAGGUUUUUAGUUUGGGGUUUGAUAAAAACAGAAACGAGUGACACUAUGAUUGAGUGUAACAAAUUUACUGAUGGGCAAUUACUACUUUUUGAGAUUAUAAUAUAUUGACAACUAAAAUUUUACCUAAAGCUACUAUUUCCAUAAUAGUGGUAUAUGACUAGUUAAAUUUGUGUUUAAUCAACAUGUAUGUAACUUAUAAAUAACUAAAUGUAACUAGUUUUCACCAAUUUGCAAAACAAAAAUUUUUAUUUCCUAAAACAUAUCAUAAAAUGGACUAAACCGUUUGUAAGAUGAUAGCAACAAAAAGUCAAUAAAUUCUAACAUGGGGUACAACAUCGGGAUGUUACUAAUUAGCAAUAGAAAUUUUUUUUUACCAAUUCAUAGAAUCGAAGUUACUACUUUGGAUAUAUUGUAAAACAAAUCGAGCUAACAAUAAAAAAAAUUAACAACAAAUACUACUUAAAUACUAACUAGAUGUACAAUACUGAUAAAUAGAAUCUAAAAUUAGCAAUUUAACUUUUUUUCCUCUAGUACAUUGUAAAAUAGAUUGAACAUGUGAUAAUGCAUUAAGAACUAAAUGUAAGUACAUUCUAGUGAGUGUUAUGAGUCUAGCAUAAUGAAACUAUCUAAUUAUCCAAUAUAAUUUCUUUGCUCCACCAGCAUUGAUUGAAAUCCAUUGAUUUGUCAAAGAAGUUAUCUUUGCCCUUCACAUGCUACAAAAUAAGGAGAAAAAGAUAUAAUGUGUUAACAAUUACAUACACGGUAUAGCUAAUCAAACCCCAAUUUGUAUGCUUAUAUGAACUCUACGUAACCAGCAAACAAUUAUAUGGUAAAUUCAUUCUUACAUUAUGUAUAUGUACGUGACAAUGUGUAAGAGUUAACAACCAAUUACAAAUUUAAAUAAUAGACUAACUUUUUAUAAAUUUAUGACCAUGUAAGCAUACAUAACAUAUAACACUACUCCGUACCUACUAACAACGUGUACACUUCACAAAAAAAUACUAAUAGCAUUAUACCAAAGUUUCUAAAAUACAUUCCAACUCAGGUGGCUACUUUUUAUUGCACUAUAUCUAAUCUCACUGUUGCAGAUAUACAUAGUCAAGUAACAAACACCUAACAUGAUGUACAUUUUUAUAAACUGAUUGUACCUCAUAGAUCACCCCGUAUAAGAUACUCACAGACAAGCUAGUAUUACUCAUACAAGUAAAAUUAUGCAUCAAUUGUAGAGAGAUGCACAAGUUGAUCAAAUGGCUAAUAACCAUUCCAAAGUUAUGCAUACCAUUGCACUACCUUUCAUAGAUAUACACAGUCAAGUAACUAACAUCUAAUAUGAUGUAUAUUUUUGUAAACUGAUUGUACUGAUAGAUCAUCCCAUGUAAUUUGCUUAUAGACAAAUUAGUAUUAGUCAUACAAAUAUAAUUACACACCCACUGUAGCCUGCAAAGAGAUGCACAGGUGGAUUAAAGCACCAAUAAUCAUUCCAAAUGUAUGCAUACCAUUGCACUAUGCAUGUGGUUGCGAUAUACAUGUGGACAAAUAACUGCAAAUUAGCAAUAUCAAUAAACAAAAUCUAAAAUUAGCAAUUUAACCUUUCUUUCCCCUAGUACAAUAUAAAAUAGAUUGAACAUGUGAUAAUGCACUAAGAACUAAGUGUAAAUAUAUUUUAAUGAGUGUUAUGAGUUUGGCAAAAUAAAAAAAAACUAUCUAAUUAUCCAAUCUAACUUCUUUGCUCUACCACCUUUGAUUGAUAUCCAUUAAUUUGUGAAAAGAAGCUGUAUUUAUCCUUGGUAUGCUGUAAAAUAAAUUGAACAAGAUAUAAUGUAUUAACAAUUGCAUGCAGGGUAUAACAUAUUAGAUCCCAAUUUGUACGCUUAUAUCGAUUCUAUAUAACCAGCGAACAACUGUAUAGUAAAUUCAUUGGGUUAAUAUCAGAAACCUCCCCUGAGGUUUCUUCUAAUCAUAUCUAGUACCCCCCAUAUUUUUGAAAUCACACUUAGCACCCCUGACAAUAGGAUGUGACAGGUUGUCCUAAUCAAAAGGUGAGAAAUUACCCAAAAACCACCAACACCAGGCAAAGUUUUAAACGGGGAAAUGCUGGAAAAAAAUAAUGAAUAAGAAAAAUUAUUGGAAACCAUAAAAUAACAAAAAUGCCAUUGUUUUGGCGCACAAUUUGCCUAUAAACACCUUACACUGGGUGAUUUAUGAGGUACAAUCAGUUUACAAAUAUGUACACUAUGUUAGAUCUUAGUUACUUGAUUAUGUAUAUCUAUAAAAGGUAGUGUAAUGGUACGCAUAAUUUGGAAUGGUUAUUUAGCCCUUUGAUCAAUUUAUGCAUCUCCCUAUAGUAGAUGUGUAAUUUUGCUUGUAUGAGUAGUCCUUGCUUAUUUAUGAGUACUUUACAAGGGGUGAUGUAUGAUGUACGAUCAGUUUACAAAAAUGUACAUUAUGUUAGAUGUUAGUUACUUGACGGUGUAUAUCUAUAAAAGGUAGUGCAUGUAUACGCAUAAAUUUCGAAUGGUUAUUUAGCCCUUUGAUCAAUUUGUGCAUCUCCCUAUAGUAGAUAUGUAAUUUUACUUGUAUGAGUAGUUCUUGCUUAUCUGUGAGUACUUUACACAGGGUGAUUUAUGAGGUAUAAUCAGUUUACAAAAAUAUACAUCACGUUAGGUGUUAGUUACUUGACUAUGUAUACAUGUAAAAGGGACCAAAUUUGUCCUGAUAAUCACAAAAUAUUAGCUAACUUGUGGGAGCUAGAUAAUUAUAUGCUCAAUUUUGAAGUUGUUACAUUGCAGGGUGCUCUAAGGAGAGGAAAGCCUGGUAGAGGCAUAGCUAACACGGGAUUGGCAGGGGCUGUGCUUUGGGUAAUUAAAUUCAAUCUGAUCAUCUGAUCAUGUACCAAAGUAUAUACGUUGCACAUAUUAUUAACUUGUUUAUCAUGUCUUCUGUGAUCUAGGAUCAGGUACAAGGAAAUGUGCCAGUGGUUGUUUCAAGUCAGGGGAGUAAUCCAAGUUUUUGCCAACAAGAUGUAGCUGUCAAUGUGCAAGUUAAUUUGCAGGCUAGCACAAGCACUUCUACUAAGAGGGUAAGCAUUAUAAUGUCAUACAUUGCUGCUGCAAAAUUCAGAACUAGUGCACUACUGGAGUAAUUUAAAGUUUUGCAGCAAAAAAGUUUAAAUUUGUUCUUUUCUGAUGCAGAGAGGAAGGUCUUCAAUGAAAACCAAUGCUGCUGUAAACAAGCAAGGUAUAAUUCCAUUUGUACCAAAUGCUCAAGCUACUCUAAAUGGUGGAUCUCAAGCCGAAACUUCUGUUAGCAUUAAUACUGCUGCAAUAGUGGCCUCUAACACUAUAACCAGCAGUUUCUCUAUGAUGUUUUGAGAGUGCUAAAGGUUCCCCGCAAUCCUUGCUUGUGGUAUCUGAAGUAGUUUAGGUACUAGUCUUCUUAGCUCCCAGCAAUACUGAAGCAAUGUUAGCUUUUGUGGACAAUUUGUUGAUAAGUGGUGCAAUGUGCAUCUGAUUUAUAUUUCCUGCCACUUAUGGUGCUGUUUGACUAAUCUUAGAACUACUUGUGUAUAGUUUUGUGCAUUGCAAUCCUCACCAUCUAAACAACUAGUUGUAGAUGGUGUUUUUUGUUCAGAAUUGGAUUGCAAUAUAAGGCUUACGUAUCAUGUUACUAGACUGAUCCAAUGUAGUAUCAUGGACUAUGUAAUUAGUGGAGAAGGGGCAGGGACGGUUACUGCUGUUAAAGGUAGUAUAAUUACUCGCUGUUAUUCUAGUGUUACAACGUGUACAAAUGAUGUUACACCGUGUGCAAAAUGCACACAAGCUUCCGGAGUGCAACCGUUCUGGCCCCAGGUCCAUAAUUAGUUAUGCAUCUCUAUAUCGCCAAAAUCUCUGAUAAUUAGUUAUAACAUUCUUUUUAUUACACUUUUACACCCUCAGCUUCUAAAUUAAUAUCAUAUGCCUAUUUAUUUCUAUUUUUAUCUUCUAAAAUUCACUAAUCAUUUUGGGCUUUGGGUAAAAGUGGAACAAAAAUAAAGUCUCUCUCCUACAAUUCAUUUUUUACUACCAUUUUCAAAUAGAGGGGCUGACAAGAAACCAAAGUUGUCAUUCCAGGGGUGCUAAGUGUGAUUUCAAAAAUAUGGGGGGUGCUAGAUGUGAUUAGAAGAAACCUCAAGGGAGGUUUCUGAUAUUAACCCAAAUUCAUUUUCACAUUAUGUUUAUGUACGUGAUAGUAUGUAAGGGCCAAUAAUUAAUUACAAAUUUAAACAAUAAGCUAACUUCUAUAAAUUUAUGACCAUGUAAGCAUACACAAGUAUUAUGGGAUACCUUACAACAAGUGUACCUUCUUGAUGUUGUCAAGCCAUCCUAGUCCUUGUUCAAGUAGUCUUUUUGGAUGUUGAAGCUCAUGACAAAACCAUAUGUGUAAAAUUUAUAAGCCUCAUCUUCUGCAUCAAACCCCAUUCCUGUUUUAGGAAUCCCAUCCUCUGUCAACUUGUUGCUAUCAACAACUGCAUUUUCUGUCAAUUACCACGUGUACAUCAGUCAUCACAAUGUGAACCAUUGCACUUACUCAUUCCAUCAACAAAAAGAUUGCACAUAAGUCAUUAAUUAUGUACACGUUUGGCCCAUUUCAACACAUACACACUACGAUGAAGUCAACAUAAUUACUAACCAUCUGUAUAGCAAUUUUAAUAUCAUAUUAUGUGCCAUGUAGACAACAUUACCGAUGAACCAACACCCAAUUGCAAAUUCAAAGAAACAACUAAGUUAUUUAAAUUUCUCGCCAUGCAGUUAUAAAUUUUGAUAGACAUGUACUUAUCAACUACCCUGAUAGUUUUUGCUACGCAAGCCACCCCACUCAAUCUCUUUUAGCCAAGAUAUAUGUAUACUAUGCAACCAGAUUUUAAAAGGUGAGAACUUUAAUUCAUCAAUUGAGUCAAAUUUACAAACACUUGGCAUGCAUAAGUUCCCUGUGCAUACGUUCUUUAAGUUGGCUCUCAAUGUAUCUAAUUUAUGCUACCCAUAUGAUUUCCUUGUUUAGGAGUUUUCGCCAGAAUUUCAAUUUCAUUAUUCAUGUCACACUGUCUUAAACGAGUUGUACAAACAAAAUCAUGCAAGUAAAUUCAUCCCUCUUCUGUCGCAAAACAAACCAAAUAGUGCAAUGAGUUUGCAAUAUUCUUACCUUUGGGGUUUAGUCCAAUUCGAUUGAGUCUAUCUCUGCUUUAGAUCUCACCAACUUCCGUCUUGUUGCAGCCUUCAUGAAAAAUUUUUGUCCCGCAACAGUUACUUCUGCAACACUAUACACUUUCUCCAAAAACCUCUCAUCUGAAACUUCCCAAUUUGGGGUAGGGAUAUUAUUUUGCUGAUACUCUGGAAUUGUGAAUGAAUGUUCACAAGAUAUGUUUUUGGAGGGAGACCAAAAUUCUAUUUCAUUUGAAAAUUUCAGAUGAAGAGUCGUGCCUCAUUAAUUUGAGCGGGAAUUUUUGGAACGGAACAGCUGAGGUAUUUUAACGGAGCCCGUUAGCCCCUCAAAUGUUUUUUUAUUUUUUUUCCUACUCACUCACUAAAACAACGUCGUUUUCCUUUGCUGUUGCUCCCAUUAUACGUGGCCCAUUGCAGUCCUCUCAUUUUUUUUUGUGAGAGGACCGCUCAGGGACGGUCCUCAGAGGACCGUCCCUGCCCCGUAUCCAUCGCUUACACUAUAUGUUUAGGUUGAGGGAUCUGACAUAGCACUCAAAAUCCUCGCGGUUGUUUAGAUCAUAAUUAUCAAACCCAAUCCGGCCCAGUAAUCAUGGCAUCAAGUUGGGCUAGGUCGAGAACCCAUUCGGUUUUACUGCAUGUCGAAUCUAUUCCUUUUUUGUAGAUACCAGGAGGAGGAGAGCACCGCGCAUCACGCGGUGUAAUUUUCAUUCUUGCCGACAAAUGCCCGGUUAUUCAAAUUCAGAUGUUAAUAAAUAUGAAUCUUUACUAUACUAAAGGUGGGAGUUCUAUUGCUACAGUGAAAAUGGGCCGGUUAUAGCGUAAUUUGUGUGAGCUUGAGGGGCAGUUUGGUCUUUUGCCAUUCAGUGGUGGUGGCUUUGUUGGAAAUGUAAGUUUGUUGCUAUCAGCUGUCUGCAUGGCUUUGGAACUUCGAUGCUGUCCGUGUGGCCUGGCUUUGGAACUUCCUUUUGUUGCAAAGAUCUUCAGGACACGCCAACAAGAACUAAGGGCUGGCCCAGCUGCACCAGGGAAAAGAAUAGAAGAGGCAUCUGACUCAUAAGCUACUAGCACGAAAGCCUAGCGAACAAAGAAGCGCAGCCCCUUUCUGGCUUAGCAAGGCGCAUCUGUUUUCUUGCUCCCUUGUUGCGCAUUAAGGACUAUACGCUCAGAAAAAGCUUAUUUAUCGCACCUUUACUUCUCUAUGGUUAUGCUAUAUCCCCUUUCCUAUAGGACGAGCCAUAAGAAUCUAUGAGAUUGAUUGAACAAGCCUUUAAUUUAAGGCGAAGAAAAAUCAUCGAACUAAUGGACGGAACCUUCAAAAGCCAGGGUAAGGUUUGGGGCACCAUUUCCCUAUCCUGUUAUUGGUAUUGUGGUAUAAGCGGCAAUGCCUUUCGUUUUAGUUGAAAAAACUGCUUUCCCUAACCAAGGAAUUAGUUCAACCAAAAAAGGGAAAGAAAGAAAAAAAAUAAGAAAAUAUGUAUAUUUAUCCUUGCAAGCUGGAACCAUUCGAUAUUAAAAGUCCGAGACUUAUUUUCAAUUAAUGAUGUCUUCUCCGAAUAAACCAUUUUUGCUUUCUUCAUUCUUAUGUAUGAACCAAACUCAUAGUAGGAUAAAUUUAAAUAACAAUUAUAUGUCACGCAUCCAGACCUAUUAAUGAAAAAAAAAGGCUAUUGACUAUACAAAAAAAAUUAAUUUAUUUUUACAUUAUUCUAAAAAUAGUUUUUAAAUAUGUUUAAGAGCUCAUCCAAUAUAGCAAACAAUGGAAAAUGAUAAAACCAUUUUAUAAUUUUAGGCAUUAUUUAGUAAUUAAGACUACAUUGAAAAUGUUAGAUAACCAUGCCUGAUAAUUCUACUUAAUUGUUAUCAUGACUUACUGAUUAAUGCUAAAUUGAGAAUAUUAGAUAACCUAAUGAAGAUGUUGAAAGGUUGGGACGAAAAACUUUCGCUAGAAAAAUCUUGUGAGCCAGAUGUUUAGACUUAUCUUAAAACUUUAACCGGUCACGUUAUUUCCCACACAGCAUUUAGUAGUAAUUGUGAAGAAAAAACAAAAAAGUUUAGAAUUUCAACAAAAACAGGCUGGCCAUAUUGUGACAGCUGAAAGGUUAUUAUAUAUCCCUAGAAUGAGAUAUAUUACUGGUUUCAAUCUUUUCCUCCCAGUGUUUAGAAAACAUAUUCCCCUGUUCUACAAGAAUGUGAAGAUAGUUCCUGUUGAAUGUGGCGUUUGUCCCACAUCGGACAAAGCCAGAGGAAGACGGCUCAUCAGGGCCUAUAAAUAUAUGGCCUUGGUGGUGAAGACAUUUGCACCACUCAAGAGAGUUAUAUGAGCUAUUAGCUUCUUGAGUCAUCUAGCCCAUUCAAUUAAAUAUUUUAGGCUCUCUUGUUUUGAGUUUAGGAAUUUUUCCUAAACCUUUUGUAAGUGCCUAUUGGCCUAGGAACUACUUUCCUACGGCUUUUGUAUUUCUUUUUCAUAGUAGAAAUAUUGCUCCUCCCUCGCCCGUGGACGUAGGUCAAUUUGACCGAACCACGUAAAUCUUUUGUGUCUUUUAUUUGCUUUGUUAUCCGUCUUUAUAUGGUCGAUUUUACCGCCUAAUUAUUAUAUGGCUGGUAUCUACCGCCUAUCUAUUAUAUGGUCGGUUAUACCGCCUACUUUGUGCUAACUUGAGUUUGUCUAUUUCCUGGCCCGAUCCUAACAAACUGGUAUCAGAGCUGGUUGUUAUAUUUUGCAAGACAGGUUCAUCUGGUGGGAUCCGUCCAUCCUGUGGGGCCCACUCAUCCUGUGGGGUCCGUUUAUCCGUGGGGCCCGCUCACCUUGUGGGGUCCGUUCAUCCCCGUGGGCCCGCUUAUCUCGUGGGGUCCACUCACCCUGUGGGGCCCGCUCACGAGACUUGCAUAUUUGUUUGGCCAGUUUUUUGAGACAAAUUUCAAAUUACAGAUUUUGUGGUAACAAUGACGAUAACAAAGACGGUUGUCGAGAAAUUCGACAGGAAUGUCAACUUCGGCAUGUGACAGCUCAAGAUGGAGGCCAUUCUUGUUCAAGACGGAGUUGAUUUGGCAAUUCAAGGAAUUGAGAAAAAGCCAGAAGAUGUGACAGAUGCAAAUUUUGCUGAGAUGGAUAAGAAGGCAAGAUCCAGUGUUAUCCUAAAUCUCUCCGAUGAGGUAUUGCGUGAGGUAGCAACGGAGACUUCGGCCAAGGCAAUGUGGGAUAAAUUGAAAGCCUUGUAUAUGAAGAAGACAGUCGAGAAUCGGCUAUAUUUGAAGCAGAGUUUGUACAUGCUUCGGAUGUCUGAAGGUACAUCUAUACUCUUCCAUCUUGAUAAAUUUGAUUCCAUUAUUAUGGAUUUGGAGAAUAUAGAUUCGAAAAUUGAUGAUGAAGAUCAGGCCCUAUUACUUUUAUGUUCCCUUCCUCAGUCCUUUAAACAUUUUCGUGAUACUAUGAUAUAUGGAAAGGAAACAAUUUCGUAUCGGAAAAUUAAAUCUGUAUUAAAAUCUAAAGAGCAGAUAAAUAGGGAUAUUACUGGGGAAACUAGUGGGAGUCAAGCUGAUGGCUUGUUUGUUCGGGGUAGAUCUGAAAGGAGAAACACAGAAAAUAGAAGUAGAUCUAAAUCCAGACAUAAAAAUGUGGUGUGCAACUAUUGUAAAAA
This 160218-nucleotide long non-coding RNA is filed under the name Coffea arabica (coffee). Its description in RNAcentral is "long non-coding RNA (CARA_LNC002778)". Lineage: Eukaryota; Viridiplantae; Streptophyta; Magnoliopsida; Gentianales; Rubiaceae. The record is from RNAcentral.